UAAAUGCUUAUGAUCCUCAACUUUCCUCCUCACUGUCCCAGUGUCCCUGCAAACAAUUCUGAUUUUCCUGCCAGAGAAAAAAAACUGAGAAACAAUGGCGGCUGAACAAGAAGCUGUGAGCAAUAAGCGAGUGAUUCUGAGCAACUAUGUGACAGGUUUUCCAAAAGAAUCAGACAUGAAGAUAACAAGUGGAUCAAUAAAGCUGAAGGUAGCAGAGGGUUCAAAAGACACAGUGCUUUUGAAGAAUCUUUAUCUUUCUUGUGAUCCUUACAUGCGAUGGCGUAUGAGCAAGCUUGAUAGACCUUCUUUUGUUGAUUCAUUCCAUCCUGGUGAGGUUAGUUCAUCACGACCCAUCUCUUGAUUUUUCCAUUUGGUUUAAGUUUUGGUGAGUUUCUGAGUUCAUUUUUACGGUUUUGGAAUGUGAACACAAUUUUGGUGCUGUAACUGUCAUUAAUGAUAUGUAGUAAUUCAAUCAGAAUUUGGAUUUAUUGCUGAUAUAAGCUCUGCUCAUUUUUUAAAAUCUGGUGUCCACAUGCAUGUUUAUAAUCUUUUUGGUUGAGAUUGUAUGUAGAUUCAUACAGUAUUCUUGUCUAACAAUUACUAACCACAACCUUAUAAGACGAUCGAAACUAAGCUCAGAUCAAUAAUCCAAUCAAGAGAGGAUCCUAACUCAAGCUUGUCAUGUAUGGGAAUAUUUCGGUUAAAUUGUAAUCAUGAUCAUGAAUCAUGCAGGAAAAAGGGAAGUUGAGGUCAAUUUAUGCACUUGAUGGAAUUAAAGAACCAAUAUUUGGUUUACAUUAUUUCUUAGUAAUGGUGACUGUGCCUUCUAGCAGAAUUUUACAUGCUUUAUGUUCUAACUAAGCAUCAAUAUUUGAUCGUGAUCAUUAGCGAGGUCAAUAAUUUUUUUUGACUAUUUUUUCAACAUAAGGUCGAUUUGUUGAAGAACAAGUUUGGAUUUGAUGAUGCUUUUAACUACAAGGAAGAGCCAGACUUGGAUGCAGCACUCAAAAGGUCAGCUGCAACAAACGUUUCAACUCUAAUAUUUCAUUUUAAUAUUACAGAGCUUUGGUUGAAGUGUGUGAGUUGAUCCCAAAAACGUAACUUCAUCAGUGUCUCUGUUUUCAAAAAACAGGACAAAUAGAAAUCUGAUUUUGCUUUAAAAAUUUCCUAGAUGCUUCCCUCAAGGAAUCGACAUAUAUUUCGAAAACGUUGGGGGAAAGAUGCUGGACGCAGUGCUACUCAACAUGAGGCUCCGGGGCCGCAUUGCGGUAUGCGGUAUGAUCUCGCAGUACAACCUGGAAAAACCUGAAGGCGUACACAACUUAGAGCAACUAAUCGGGAAACGGAUUCGCCUGGAAGGAUUUCUAGCUGGUGAUUACUAUCACCUCUAUCCAAAAUUCUUGGAACUGGUCAUUCCUGCAAUCAGAGAAGGAAAGAUGGUGUAUGUGGAAGACAUAGCCGAAGGACUCGAGAAUGCUCCCGCAGCCCUUGUCGGGCUCUUCACUGGCCGGAACGUCGGCAAGCAGCUAGUUGCAGUUGCUUAAUACAAAAGCCAAUAUGGAUGAGCUGAGAAUAUGUGACUGAAUCCAUUGUCCGGUUAAAAAUGUUUGCAUGUGUUAAUAUGAACUAUCCUCGUUUAGUAAUGGGAUUGGAUUGUCCUGUCAUUACUUAAUUUUGUUGAGCUAGGGCAUCUGUGUGUAAAGUGUCAAAUAAUUUGGAUUCAGACAAGAACUUAGUGGAUGCAUUGAAGGAUUUUUUUUUUCUUUUUUUUUCUUUUCCAAGAUAUUGAGAUAAUGAUUGGAACAUUUGAGGGAUAAGAUCAAAGUAUCUUUUAGGAUACCUCAUUGGUAAGUAUUAAAAUAUCAAUUGCGUCUUUAUAAGGACAGGUGGUCCAGGAUCAAGAUUAAUGAAGAACAAAUUACAGCCAUUAGAUUAAAGUGAAAUUAAAGCUGUGAAUAGUACACACUUGUUGUGUGAAAAACUUAAAGGAGACAUUCCUCUGUACAAAAUUAACUUAAUAAUAUGUCCUUAUUCAUUCAUUUGAUUCUUCCUUCUCAAUCGUCAUUAAUAAAUUAAUAAUACAAAUAAGUCCCCGUUAAAGGUUAAGUCCCCGAUUGGCUUUACCGUCACGCUCAUGCAUGAUCAAAUUUCAGUUAAUGCUGACGUGAUCGAUGAUGAUUUCAUUGGGAGCUUCCUUUGUCGUGGCACUCUCAUGUUCACAUUUAUUUUUAGGGUUAAUAAUAAUAAUAGCUUCUAGAAACGCUUUGUUUUAAUGAGAUUUUAUUUUUCAAUUAGUGUAAAAAAAAAAUAACAAAAAUUAAUAAAAACUGAUUAUUUAAUGAUGUUCGGCCCUCGAGACAGUUUAUACUCGUAAUUUAUUGUUUGAAAAUUAUUUCAACAUAUGAAAAACAAAAUUUCCCAAAUUUACAACGAAUUUUAAAACAAAAUUUCGAAAUUUCAAAGAAAAUUACAAAUUUGACUAGAUUGACUGGAAAAAAUAAAAUAAAUAAAAUCGUCAAAAAUCCUGGGACCGACCAUUUCAAAAGUCUGGCUCUUUUCCAGGCUUUCCUUCCAAAUUUUCACACACAAAAUUUCUCGUAACUGCUACACAUUAAACGCGUUUCACAUUUUCACUCUCUCUCUAUAAAUAAAUACGCACAUAAAAUUUCUCACCAUCCAAAAACAAAAUCUACAUAAAAAAUGGCGGGUGAAGAAGCAGUGAGCAACAAGCAGGUGAUUCUGAGCAACUACGUGACAGGGUUUCCCAAGGAAUCAGACAUGAAGAUAAUAACAGGCUCAAUAAACCUGAAGGUGCCAGAGGGCUCAAAAGACACAGUGCUUUUGAAGAAUCUUUAUCUUUCCUGUGAUCCUUACAUGAGAGGACGUAUGAGUAAGCUUGAUAAGCCUUCGUUUGUUGCCUCCUUCAACCCUGGCGAGGUCAGUUUCUUCAAUUCCCACCUCUUGGUUUCAUAAUCUUUUAUGGUCUUAGAGGUGUUUUAGGGAAACAUUAUGGUUUUGGUUUGUGGGCAUGAAUCCUUGAAGAGAGUAUGAUGUGUCGGACUAUGUAUGCAAUAAUAAGUAUAGGGGAUCUUGUUAAGAGAAGAUUCUCUUAAUGAGAUUAAAACUUUUGUCUUAUCAAAACAUAUGUUUAGUUAUGAUAUCAUGUUAGCAUUGUUUCUGAGGAUUUGAUUGCUUGCUUUGGGAAAGGGAUGUUGAGGUUACAUUAUUCAGUAAUGAUUUUUUUUUUUUUUCAAAUGUUCAAAUUAUGCAGCCUUUGAGCGGAUAUGGAGUGUCCAAAGUGUUGGAUUCCACACAUCCAAAUUAUAAGAAAGAUGACUUGGUCUGGGGCUUAACCAGUUGGGAGGAGUACAGUCUCAUCCAAUCACCACAACAUCUGAUUAAAAUUCUGGAUACAAAUGUGCCUCUGUCAUACUAUACUGGGAUUCUUGGUAAGUUGUUACUAAAUUUAUCGAUGUCCAGUUUGCAUGAGCCGAAAAUCGUGUUUUAUUCAAUGCAAUGAGAUAGGGAUAUAUAAUAUGCCUGCUUGAACGUCUAGCAUUUUGAAUUUUCAACAAUUGGUCCGUCUGUAUGGGCAUGUAACUGAAGGAUUUCAUUUGAGGAAUUUACUAUUGUUGCUGAUUAUUGGGUAUUUUUCUGUUGAUUCUAGGUAUGCCUGGUUUGACUGCAUAUGGUGGUUUAUAUGAGCUUUGCUCUCCUAAGAAAGGAGAGUAUGUCUAUGUAUCUGCAGCAUCUGGAGCUGUUGGUCAGCUAGUUGGGCAAUUUGCAAAGUUGGUUGGUUGCUAUGUUGUUGGAAGUGCAGGAAGCAAAGAAAAGGUGAGUUUGCACUCUUGACCCUUAAGCUCCAAAUAAAAACAUAAUAACUUCCAAAAGAAUUGUGCAUGUCACAGUAUUUGUGUUCUAACUGAUCAUGGAUAUUUGAUCAGUAGUCUAGUAGAAACAGACCUAUUAAUACAUAGUUGAUUCGUCCUCAAGAAAAUUUAGUUGAUAUAUGCUUGAAAUUAUAUUCUGUUUUUUAUGCCAGAUUAUAUUAUUAGAUGACUAUAUUAACCAGAUUCUUUUUCUUUGUGCUGUUUCUCAUUUGAUUACGUUUUCAACAUUAGGUCAAUCUGUUGAAGAACAAGUUUGGGUUUGAUGAUGCUUUUAACUAUAAGGAAGAGCCAGACUUGGAUGCAGCUCUUAAGAGGUUAGCACGAAUGAAUGCUUUAACCACUUUUCUCACUUCAUUAUUACAAUGCGCUGAUUGAUGUUAUCUGCGUUGGUCCUGUAAAUGUAAAACAGGACAAACAGAGAUCACUGAUCUCAUUUGUUACAUUGAUAUUUUCUACCAUUGCCAUACAUAGUAUAAACUUGGAAUGAAGAUAGAUAUUCAAUUCAGAGGGAAAUUUUCACUUGCAGCUAACAGAAUCAUGUUUGUGAUGUAUGUUUAUUUAGGAAAUGAAAAGAUUCGUUGCAUUAUUUUAUUCCAAGUUUGCUGAAAUCAUAUUUGUUUUCCCAGGUGCUUUCCUGAAGGCAUCGACAUCUAUUUCGAAAAUGUUGGGGGUAAGAUGCUUGAUGCAGUCCUACUCAACAUGAGAAUUCAUGGCCGCAUCGCCGUAUGCGGAAUGAUCUCACAGUACAACCUUGAGAAGCCUGAAGGCGUACACAACUUGAUGCAAGUAGUUGGAAAACGAAUUCGCAUGGAAGGGUUUCUUGCCGGUGAUUUCUACCACCAAUAUCCGAAAUUCUUGGAACUGGUUAUGCCGGCAAUCAAAGAAGGAAAGUUAGUAUAUGUCGAGGACAUAGCUGAAGGCCUGGAGAAAGCUCCAUCAGCCCUAGUUGGGAUAUUCACUGGGCAGAAUGUUGGAAAACAACUGGUUGUAGUUGCUCCUGAAUGAUAUGAUUACAAUAUGCUUUAAAAGUGGACUGUGCCAUGCACUUUAAAAGCUUAGUGAAGAUGCCUCUGUCUUAUUUUUGAUACAUGUUAUGUUUGUUUGAUCAAGUUGUACUCAGCUAUAAAUGAAAGAUUCAGAACAUGUGUAUGGUACUGGUUUCUAAAUCAAUGAACGCUUUGAAAUGUUAGUGUUUUCACUGGAGAAUGCAGUUUAAUUCAUCAACAAUGUCCCAACAAGACCCUCAAGAGUGGUAGCUUGCAAAGUUAAUUACUAUAUUUUUUUCUUUCCGAUAUAUUGUUCAUUUCAUAGAAAGUUUACAUUAAUUAAAGUCUCAUGUUUCUUUGAAAGGUAAGCAAGUGUGAAUGUUUCUAUCUAGAGCUGGAAAAUGCAUUUCCGUGCAACUUACUUGAUGAAUGAAGUUUUCAUCUCUGACCUUGAUGUUUCCCAGAGCUGCAUUCAUUUCAGCUGAUCUAUUUCAUUUCGUUUGCAAAGGAGUGACACAAAACCUCCUUUGUUAAGGGGAGAAUUUAGAGUGGCUUCAACGGUUAACAAAUAGCCUAAUGUAAGACUUAAUCAAUUUCCUGCCCGGUUGCUUACCACUACUUAUCACUUUAACGUAUGAAACCUAAUCAAGAUUCCUUUGAUGAUUUUUCUAUUUGCUAAUUGAUUGAUAAGCUCUUCAGUGAAGAUAUAGUGUCCGCAAGCCAUAUGUUGAUAGAGUUAGAGUUUGCAGAAGCUACUGUACCAUAUGUUGUUAGAGGCGGUAAAAACGGAGGCAGAUCAACACACAUUUAAAUUUCAAUGACAAUUUACUGGAAAUAAAUUUCCUAUGACCCUACAUGUGACUAAUUGAUGAGAACUUGACAAUGACAAAAGAAAGUGUAUGAGCUUUGCAGGCUGGCUUGCCAAUAUUGACUGUAUGGCACCAUCCGCAAGUAAGUAUCAUUACUGUUUAAUCAACUUGGUGGAGUCCACUGGGACCACCCCACAUGGUCAGUCUUAUCUCUACUCCUAAAUUUUCAAUAUUCCAUACAUCAAACCAAUUGCAGUUUUGAUAUCAAAUUCAAUUUUAUUGUUGGUGACGAUUCUGAUUCCUUUCAUUCUCACAAAACGGAACCAUGGUUGCUGUUGGAGAGAUCUUACUCAACGCCUUCCUUGAGGUGUUGUUUGACAGGUUGGCUUCUCGUAAUUUGCUCCGCUUUGUGCGUCAACUCCAAGGCGGGGUUGAUUCGGAGCUCAAGAAGUGGGAGAAAAAGCUGAAGAUGAUUCAGGCUGUGCUCUGCGAUGCAGAGGAGAAACAACUGACCGAUGAGGCUGUGAAGAUGUGGCUGGACGAACUCCAAGACUUAGCUUAUGACGCUGAGGACAUUCUUGAUGAGUUUGCUACUCAAGCUUUGGAAAGCAAGUUGAUGGCGCAAAACCAGGAUAGCUCUGGCCAGGUUCUCAGUCUCAUCCCGGCUAGUUUGAAUCCGAAUGCUAUUAUGUUCAAUUAUAGCAUGGGGUCCAAGAUUAAAGAUAUGACUAGCCGGCUGGAGCAACUCUGCCAAGAAAGAAUUGAACUUGGACUGCAACGGCUUACUGGAGGGGCGUCAUCAACCGCUGCUGCUGCACACCGGAGGCCACCCAGUUCGAGUGUCCGAACAGAACGUGAAGUAUUUGGAAGAGAAGAAGAUAAGGCCAAAAUUCUUGAUAUGGUCAAUACCCCAAGUGAUCACGCCAACUUUGUUGUAAUACCUAUUGUUGGAAUGGGCGGGAUAGGAAAAACAACUCUUGCUCGGGAGGUCUACAAUGACAAGGCAGUUGAGGAUUCCAAGUUUGACGUAAAAGCAUGGGUUUGUGUCUCCGACAACUUUGAUGUUUUCAACAUUUCAAAGGCACUUCUCGAGUCAAUCACCUCCGCAGCUAGUGAUCUCAAGACUUUAAAUGAAGUGCAGGUUCAACUGAAAAAAGCAGUGGACGGAAAAAGAUUCUUGCUGGUCUUAGAUGAUGUUUGGAACGAGGACUACAGCUUGUGGGUAGACUUAAAAGCUCCGUUCCUGGGUGCUGCACCAAACAGUAAGAUGAUCGUCACCACACGCAAUUUAAACGUUGCAUCAACAAUGGGACCAAUUGAACAUUAUAAUCUCAAGAGUCUGUUAGAUGAUGAUUGCUGGUCCAUUUUCAUACAGCAUGCAUUUGAAGGUAGAGAUCUUAACGCAUAUCAAAUUUCAGAAUCAUUCAGCAAGAAAGUUGUUGGCAAGUGUGGGGGCUUGCCUCUGGCAGCAAAAACGCUCGGGGGCCUUCUGCGCACAACAAGGCAUGAUGCGUGGGACGAUAUAUUGGAUAGCAAAAUAUGGGAUUUACAUCAACAAAGCAGCAUUCUCCCUGUGUUAAGAUUGAGUUACCAUCAUCUUCCGUCUCAUUUGAAAAGAUGUUUUGCUUUUUGUGCCAUCUUUCCAAAAGAUUAUGAAUUCACUGAGAAGGGGCUAACUUUCUUGUGGAUGGCUGGAGGUAUUAUUCGACAGUCAAGAAACAGUGAGCAGCUGGAAGAUUUGGGCAGCAAGUGCUUUCAUGAUCUAGUGUCAAGGUCUAUUUUUCAACAAACCAGCUCUGGUAGUUCUAAAUUUGUAAUGCACGACCUUAUCCAUGAUUUUGCUGAAUUGGUUUCUGGAGAGACCAUUUUAAGGUUAGAGGAAUCCACCAACUUGUCGUCAAGGAGAUUUGAAAGAGUUCGCCAUUCUUCCUAUGCCCGUGGUUGGCUUGAUGGUAAAAAUAAGUUUGAGGUUUUCUAUGAAAUUGAACAUCUGCGAACAUUCUUGCCAUUCUGCAUAAGAGGUGGCCCUAAUACUAGUUACGUAACUAGUUUACUUCUAUAUGAUUUGUUGCCGAAGUUUAAAAAGUUGAGGAUGCUAUCUUUAGAAGGAUACCAGAUUGGUGAGUUACCAAUUCCAUUUGAAGAUUUGAGACCUUUAAGGUUCCUCAACCUUGCCGACACUGACAUAAGAAGUUUACCCGAGUCAACAUGCAAAUUGCUGAACUUGGAAAUUUUGAUAUUACGAAAUUGUUCCCGUUUGAUAAAGCUUCCGCCCAAAAUGAGGAAUUUGAUCAAUUUACGCCAUCUCGAUAUAAAAGGUGCAAAGCUGCUGAAGGAGAUGCCAUUGGGAAUGAAAGCGUUGAGGAGUCUUCAAACAUUGUCCAAUUUUAUUGUAGGCAAGGGUGAAUCUGCAUCUGGUUUGGAAGAUUUAAAAAGUUUAAACUUUCUUUGUGAUGAACUCUGCAUUGCUGGAUUAGAGAGUGUGAAUAGUCCACAGAAUGCAAGAGAAACCGCAUUAUGCGAGAAGCACAAUCUUGAAGCAUUGACUCUAGAAUGGGGGUCUCAAUCUAACAGUCCUCGGGAUGCAGUACUAGAGGAGAAUGUACUUGACACUCUACAGCCUCAUAAACGUAUAAAAGAGCUGGCAAUCAGGCACUAUGGUGGUGCAAGAUUUCCACUUUGGAUCGGACAUCCUUCGUUCUCCGAGAUGAAGGUCCUUAAAUUGGAGAACUGUGACAAGUGUGUAUCUCUGCCAUCGCUUGGCCUGAUGAAUUCACUUAAGCACCUUGCUGUUAAAGGGCUGAAGAAACUAAAAAGCAUAGAGUCUGCGGUCUUUCCAUCAUUGGAGAUUCUAAGUUUUGAGAAUUUGCCAGAAUGGGAGCAUUGGGACACCAAUAUCAAUGGAAAUGUGCACGUUGAAAUAUUUCCUCAUCUCCAAGAACUUUCCAUUGCAGAAUGUCCCAAACUCUCUGGAGAACUGCCUGAGCUCCUGCCCUCCUUGGAGACACUUGUCGUUAGUAAAUGUGAACAGUUGGCAGUUCCAUUGUCUUGCUAUCCGAUGCUCUGCAGAUUAGAAGUUGAUGAGUGCAAAGAACUCGUGUGCGGGACUCCAAUUAAUUUUAAGUUGGUAAAGUCUUUGACCAUUUCAAAUAGUUCAUUAGACAUGAAUGGAUGCAAUGGGAUGCUAUACCAUGGUCCAGCUGGCUCUUCACUGUCUAAACGCAUGACUAUUACAAAUGUUUUGGAGUUUGGAAAAUUAUUGAAGCCUGGAUUUCAGAUAUUAGAAUAUUUGGUAAUUGGCAAUUCUGAACAGCUCAAGUCAUGGAGGCGGGCCAGGAGACCUAGACGUUUUAAUGAACCAGAACACGGGCUAAAAAUUCUCGCUUCCCCUGAAGAGGUAACAAUUGAAGAAAGUUGCGUAAAUCUUGUUUUGUUUGCAGAGAUCAAUUUCUUUCCCAGAAAUCUGCGCUCUCUUCUAAUUUUCAAUAACAUACCUUUAAAAUCCUUACCCGAGGAAAUGAUGGACAACAAUUCACAACUGGAAAGCUUGUGCAUCAGAAAUUGCGAUUCUCUAACAUUCAUCACAAGACACAAGCUACCUUCAUCUCUAAAAAGUAUAGCAAUUAAGAAUUGUGAGAAAUUGCAACGUCCGUUCGAUGAUGAAGAGGAUGCUUCUUCUUCUUCUUCUCCUUCAUCCUCGUCUUCCCCAGUGAUGCUGCAAUGCCUGACUAUAGAGAACUGCCCAGAGCUCACCAGUUUAUCAUCGGGAAUCCAAUUCCUUGAGGCGCUUGAAGUACUCGAGCUAAGGGAUUGUCGAAAGCUGGAGUCAUUACCGGAUGGCCUGCAAAAUCUUAACUGUUUACAGAGCAUUCAUAUAGAUGGAUGUCCAAGUCUUGUUUCCUUCCCAGAAAGAGGGCUUCCCAACACCAUUUCGAGAGUUUACAUUCGUGGUUGUGAGAAGCUUGAAGCCCUGCCCAACGACAUGCACAAACUCAACUCUCUCGAAACUUUAAACAUACGGAAAUGUCCAAAUCUUGUAUCGUUUCCAGAGGAAGGUUUUCCUACCAGUCUAGUAUCACUUACAAUUGGAUAUGUCAAAAUGUAUAAGACACUCGUCCAGUGGGGGUUGCAUAGGCUUACCUCUCUUACACACCUCGAGAUUAUUGGAUGUGAUGAUGAAGCAGAGUGUUUUCCAGACGAGGAGAUAGGAAUGAUGCUGCCCACCUCUCUCACUCAUCUGCAACUUUCGGAAUUCAAAAAAUUGAUAUCUCUCUCUUCGACGGGUUUUCAGAGCCUCAACUCUCUUCAAUCUUUGUGGAUAUUGGGUUGCCCAAAUCUCACAUCAUUCCCAGAGGUGGGCCUUCCAUCCUCACUUUUGGAAUUACACAUUGUCAAGUGUCCAAAGCUUAAAGAAGUUUGCAAAAGAGACCAAGGAGAAGAGUGGCCCAAAAUUGCUCACAUCCCUUGUUUUGAGAUAGACUGGAAAUUCAUAUACGAUCCAGAAUCAGAGGAGUAGAUUCUCCUAUUAAGGUCAGUUGAUUUUUUAUUAUCCGUUAUAACAAGCUCCUCCUUUUUUAUUUUUUUAAUAAUAAUUUAGCAGUUCUAUAUAAUUAUAAAUCCUCCGCCCUUAAUUGAAAAUGUCACUCAUUUGAUUCCAUUUUCACAAGUCAGAUCGUAUGUUGAGGUUAUUUGCAUUUUAUCGGUGUUUAUUAAGGUAAUUAGUGCGUUAUAGGUUGAUUACUCACAGAUUAAGUUAUAACAUUUAUCUUAAAAUUUAAUGUCAUAGACAGAGAUGAUUUUUUAAUCCAAAGUUUUCUUGAUUCACUUCAAUUAGCAUUUUCUUUUCCCCAGAUCAGGCACGCGGAGAGUUCCAAUCAAGAAUUGGAGCAUGUGAAUGGGAUUUUUGUGAAAACAUAAUGAUGCAGGAACUGGGAUCUCAAAGUCAACAGAAUUUUAUUUACUCAUUGACUUUUCAACUCCUGUGGUUAUUUAUGGGUGAAAGAAAGAUAAGGGCAAUUUCAAGAAAUUUGCAAACUCUGUCAAUUUCUUUUAAUUGUACCAAUUUGUCGUUUAUGCUUUGGUUUUAUUUUUUCAGUUUUGUUUAUUGCUUAGAUGGUAGCAUACUUGAAAUGAUACAUAGCCUUCACCGGCAGAAUUCUAGUCUUGGCUUUCACCUCUCUAACUCAUCUCAUCUGUUCCUAUUGGGAUUCCAGAAAUUGAAAUUUCUGUCAUCAAUGGGUUUCAAAGCCUCACCGCUCUCCGAUUUUUGUGGAUCGGGAAUUGCACAAAUCUCACAUCAUUUCCAGAGGUGGGCCUUCCAUCCUUGCUUUUUGGAAUUACAAAUUGGAAAAUGCUACUUUCCCCGGGUCAAAUCCCAGGUCAAACCCCGAAUUAAACCAAAACGACACCGUUUUGGUUUCUUUUUUUUGUCCUUUUUGCUUCCAUGAAACGUGGUCGUUUCAGCCAAACAAAAGCAAAUGUCUUCGUUUUUUACUUCCUCUCCUCUUCGAUUCUCCUCUUCGUUUUACCAACAGACCAACAGAGCACAAAUUGCAGAAGUCACUUGCACAUCAAUUCAUCACAAAAUGCAGAGUUUUACUAAAGAAAAAAACGAUGCCGUUUUUCUUGCCAAAUAUUUUCCAUUUCCUUCGUUCAUGGAGCUCCUGCCACCGCCAAAGCCAAAUAUUUCCCCUUUCAUUUCCUUCGUCAAUCAAGCUCCAGCCACUUGCUUCGUCGAUCGAGCUCUAGCCACAGCCAUUCGCAAAUCGCAGUCCACAAUCCGCGCCUGAAAUUGUCAUUCACAAUCCACAACUCACAACCAUGACUUCACACAGAGAACGACUCCCACAGCCUUCACGCGACAGCGAGAUCGAGCUCUUUAACAUUCGAAGAACAUAUCUGGUUGCGAAAGUUGAUUUUUAAUUUGCUUGCGAGCUGAGAUGCUUCGAAUUCUCUGUUUUUUUUUUUUUUUUGUAAAUUACUAAGCCAAAAGCUUUGCAUAAGCUUCUGCUUCGGUUUUGAAGAUUGUGAAGCUGGAAAUGUUUUUUCCCUUUUUAUAAAUGGAUAAUUGAAAGUUUGAACUUUACCUUCGUACUUUCUUUUUCAUAAAUUGCUCAUGGUGCAGUCUCAUUUUGCUAGUUGAAGAAACAGUUAAGGGGGUCUGUAGUUGGGAAGAAAGAGGAAACGAAAAUGAAAAGAAAAAGCUUAAGUCUCGGUGCGUUCAAGUAGCAUUUUUUCAAUUAAAAAAUUUAAUUCUCAAAACGGCGUCGUUUUCUAAAGUUUCGGGGUUUGACCCGGGAUUUGACCCGGGGUAAAUAGCAGAACUCUUACAAAUUUACAGUUGUCAGAAGCUUGAAAAAGUGUGUAAAAGAGAUCAAAAUUCUUGUCUUGGCUUUCACGUAGGGAUGGCAAAAAUCCCCACGGGGACGGGUACCCUCGGGGAUUUUCCCCAUUCGGGGAGGGUAUGGGGAUAAUUUCAUACCCAAUUUCUUAUUCGGGGAGGGGACGGGGAAAUUUUGUUACCCAAUUUCUUAUUCGGGGAGGGGACGGGGAUGAGGUGGAAUCCCCAUCCCCUACCCAUUUCCCCAUUUUAAUUUUUAAUUUUAUUUUAAUUUUUUAAAAUUACUAGUAAAUAAAUAAUAAAAUUUAAAUUAUAAAAUUAUAAAUAUUGGUAAAAAUAAAAAAUAUCAAAAUAUUUAUAUUAUUAAACUUUUAGGCUUAAUUAACUAAUUAAAGUCCUAAAUUUUUAUUUAGGACAUUAAAAAGACCGAGUAGAUUCUAUUAGCCCAAAAGUUUUUUAUUUUUAAUAUUCUUUAAAUAUUUUAAACUUAAAUCUAUUUUUUAUUUAUUUUUAGAUGUUAUAAUUGCCCACAUCGAAUCACAAUUUUAAUAUCUAAUCUAAUCUAAUCUAAUCUAAUAUUUACUCUUGAUUUGCUCCGAUUUAACUAUUGUGUUGUAAAGGGAAUAGUCCACAUUUAUAAAGUGCCCACGCCACCAUUAAAAAAGUUAAUUUUGAAUCUAAAUUCGAUUUUAUUUGUAACAAUUUUGUAUUAAACUAUUAAUUUGUUCAUGAUAGUUUGUAAAAGAAGUUUGUAUCCCUUGCAUGCUGUGUUACUUACUAAUUUAAUGUAUGUGACUUUUGUAAUGGAUAUUAAUGUAAGAUAUAUUUCAAAUUUUACUUUUAUUUGAAUUUUUUAUUUUAAUAUGAUUAACUCAAAAUCGAAAAAAAAAUAUUAGUUAUUCGGGGAUCGGGGACCCUCGGGGAUCCCCUGUUAUUAUUCGGGGAGGGGAUGGAGAUUCGCUCAAGUAAUUCUGACGGGAACGGGGAGGGGACGGGGACAUACGCAAAAUAUCGGGGAUGGGUACGGAGAGAUUGGUCCCCUCCCCUCCCCUCCCCAUUGCCAUCCCUACUUUCACGGAUAGUUUUUAUCACGUAACCACGUGAGGAAGCAUGUGCUGGAGCCUGAAUUCAGUUAGUUAAAGUUUGUUAACCACGUGUCAACAAACUGUAUAAUCUGGAAAAUAAGCUAGCUAUUGAAACAGGGUAUAAAGGCUGGUUUUUCAGGGACUAUCGAGAGCUGAUUCUAGAGUCUUGUAGAAAGAGGUUUGUGAGAGAGAAAGUGUCAUCUUGUUCUCUGUAAAAUCCGAUAUAGGGCUCUGUAACGAUCUCCAUUGUUGAAUCAAUAAAACUCAUCUAGAAGCUUCUCUCGUGGACGUAUUCUGAGCAAUCAAUGCACAGCUGAACCACGUAAUAUCUUGGUUUCUGUGGGUUCUUGUUUUGGUUCUUGAUAAAUUCUUGUUGUUGUAUUGAGGUGUGAUUUGAUCUGUCUAAACUUGUAUCUGUGCAACUUGAAUUGAUUUGAUGAUAAGAAUCUUGGGCAGUGAUCAGAUUCGUUUAGUUUAAAGAACAAGCUGAUUACUACCGUACCUAUGCAUGGACCUGCAACCUGUGCUGACAAAACUGAAACUGUGAGUUUGAGGUAAAAAGGUCCUGGACCCUCACAGUUUAACUUUGACUUGUUGCUUUCUGGAUAAACAUAUUUUAGAAAUUUGCAAUUUGUUGUUAAUUAUGGUAUGUGAUUUUCUUCUUUGUUUUCGCUUUUGUAGAAUCUACCGUAUUACAUAUUGGCAGUUGUAUCUGAGGUACCUUUUUUGCAUUUAACUUGCCUUUAUCUGUUUUGCCUGUUACUUAACAACACAAACACAUCAUUUCCCAAACAUUUGGAGAAGCAUCUCAAGAUGCUUAACAAACUUGACAAACUUCAAGAUGCUCCCAAGCCUUGAUUCUUCACAAUGGAAGACCUGUGAGUACACUUAUGCCCGCAAUUAUUGUGAAGUGAUUGCAACUUUGAUGCAGCGAAAUGGUUUGCUGAUGCAAAGCUUUAAAACUGUUAAGAAUUACCCUGCAGGCUUGUUGGAUGUUGUAUACUCCAAAAGCCACCAACACCAAGAACUAUAACAGCAAGACUAGGUUUGCAUUAAUUCAAUUAGCUGAAAUAAUGAUGCAAAUGGCACUAUCCAGCUCGACUUAGAGACUAGUCAGGUCAAUCAUCCAUUUCAUCAACAGUUAAUGUCAGGAUGGUGGCUAGCAGAGGAAACAAAGGAUAUGUUGGAAUCAAUAAGAACAGUGAGAAGCAUGAGAGGAGCUUUGAUUAUAAGUAGGCUCAAUGAACUAGUGUUGGUAAGUGGUAAUUAGAGCAAUUUGUGAGCUUAGUAGAGUUUCAAUAUUUUCUGUUUGGGAUAUAGUUGAUAAGUUGAUACUCUGAUUAAGAAGGCUGAUUAUAGUAGCUGACUAUAUUAACCGGGUUCUCUUUUUUGGUUUGCUGUUGUUUUUUCUUUCAAUAUCUUUUUCAACAUUAGGUUUAGCUGUUGAAGAACAAGCUUGGGUUUGAUUAUCAGGUAAGAACAAAUGAAUGCUUUAACCAUGUUUCUCACUUAUCACAAUGCACGGAUUGAAGGCGUCUGAGUUGAUCCUGAAAAUUUGAUGGAAACACUUCUCUGUUUUCAUAAAACAGGACAACCAGAAAUAUCUGAUCAUGCCUGAGAAUUCGUCGCAUUGAAAUUUUCUACCAUUGCCAAACAUAGAAUAAACCAGGGAUACAUUAGCUUAAGACUCAAUUUUGAGAAGGAAGUUUGUACUUGCAGACUAUAAAAUCAUGUCUACCUUGUAUGUUUCUGUGGGGAAUGAAAGAUUCUGUGUGUUCUUUUACUUCGGGUUUGCUGAAAUCACAUUUGUUUUCUCAGAUGCUUUCCGGAAGGUAACAACGUCAAUUUCAAAAAUGUUGGGGUAAGAUGCAUCAUGCAGUGCUGCUCAACAUGAGAAUUCCUGGCCGCAUUACCCGUAUGUGGAAUGAUCUCACACUACAACCUUGAGAAGGUUGUAAGGAGUACACAACUAGAUGCGAGUAGUUUCAAAAUGAAUUCACAUGGAAUUAUAUGUUGCCGCUUAUUACUAUCACGUCUAUCCGAAAAUUCUUGGAAUUUGUCACCGGCAUUGAAGGAUUGUAUACGUGAAGACAUAGCUGAUGGCCUUGCGAAAGCUCCAUCAGCACUUAUAUCGGAAACAGCUGGUUGUAGUUGCUCCUGAGUGAUAUGAUUAAUAGAUACUGUAAAAAUGAACUGUGCCACUCAUAUCGAAAACCAGCUGUUAUGAUGUGUUGGUAAUGUGUUUGAUGCUUGUUUGAUUUAUGUUGUAUUCGGCUAUAAAUCAAAGAUCAGAACAUGGGUGUGUUACUGGUUUCCAAAUCAAAAAAUGCCUUGUGAUGUUAGUGUUCACUGUUUUCACAGGAGACCAGGUUCCUUGUUAAUGAGUCAAGAAGAAGACAAGUGAAUCCAUGUCUGAGUUCAAAUGUGUCUUUUCUAUUUCUUUUACCGACACAUUUAUUUUGAUUUCUUUGACUAGAUGACUAAAGAGUAAAGAUAGAAGAAAUCAAAACAAAUGAGUCAGGUCCCACCUGGCCCAUUGGCCCAUCUCUCUUCCAGCCCAAAUCACUCUCAUUCGCUAUUUUGCCACCUUCAUUUCACUGCCCUCAUAGCUCCCCGUUCUCACGGUGGCUGCCAUCUUUCUGCUCACGCAUCUUUCAAAUUUCAAACCUAACAGCAUUCUGUUGCUCUGUCGUGGGUACUUCAACUUCUGUCACCUUCGGUAAGCUUAUCUCUGCCCCUCUGUGGCUGUCUCUCUCUUUACAAUGUUGUUUCUUAUUCAAUUUACAGAAUUGAAUUCACUGUUCAGUUUAUGGGUUAGAUUUUUAUUCAAAAUAAUAUUAAACCCACCUCAGAUUUUAUCCCGUAGUAUGUAAAGUUCAUGUAAAGUUUCCACCUUUACGACCGUCCGAUGUUUAAAGUUCUAAUUUUGUUCCGGGGUUUUAUCAGUGUAUUUAGAAAUUAUGUCCAUUGUUUUUAUGAAAAUGGAACUAUUUUCAUUUGUUUAUUUCUCUAUGGAUGAGAAAACCGGUCUUUAAGCUUUAUAAUCUUUAUUUGAUUAUUAGAUUUCUCUUUUGUUAUUCAGAUGAGUUCAGUUUUCCAAUUCUGUGCAAUUGUUUUGUUGCAUUUUUCAAUUUUAUCUUUUUCCAAUGCGACGUUUAUGUUUGUAUUUUCUUAAAAGUGGACAUGAAUUUUGAUUUGUUGUUGCUUUGUUGUGAUUGAGUAGCCAAUUUUAAGUCCAUAUUAAACUUUCUCAAUUAUUAGUUGAAUUAUUUGGAUUUGAAAUUUUAAGUUCUUAAAACCGCCAUUUUAACUUGUUUGUUAAUGGCUCUGUUGAGCUUCAACAUUUGUUUUCAAGAACAAAAUUGAUGGAACUAUAAACCUUCGUUUCUCACAUGCGGGCAACAUGUUAUGUUAGACAGAGUGAAAUCGACAGAAGAAACCAAAACAUUGGAAACAGAGACACAGAGAGAGAUCAGCAGAAAUGGCUUGGUGCAGAGUACGCUCAGCUUCAUCGACACUCUUCAUUAGGCUUCUCUGCCCUUUCAUUCUCAACAAUAACACUACUUAACGCUAUCAGUCCUGUGGUACUCUUGUUUCUAUACUUGUGGAAUCUCUUUUUUAAUCCUCAAAGUUUGAAUUAAAUUAUAUUGCCUCUGUAUUUCUGCAGAAACGGAAUCAGUUGGUGAUGACAUUAAUUCUCAAGUUGGAAGUUGCAUGCCACUUUCUUGUAUGCAUGUUGGGACCAUCAUCAACAACAUUGAGGUAAACUCAGCCAAGAUUUUGAAAAAGAAUCCACUUCAAGGUACUGCUUAGUUUCUGGAAAUGAGAAAUUGAUUGACACUAGACGUCAACCCACCAUUGAUACAGCGUCUAACCCCAGCCAUGAAGCUAAGAUGCUUAGGAAGGCUGGUCAGAGCCAUUGGUUGGGCCAAAGACCUGUGAUUAGAGGAGUACCCAUGAAUCCAGUUGAUCAUCCUCGUGGUCGAGGUGAGGGACAAGGCAAAAGUAGUGGUAAGCAUGGAAGGUGUUCACUUACACCUUGGGGCAAGCCUUGUAAGUGGUGUAAAACUGCAUCUCGUAAGAAGAAAAGGAAAUUUAGCCGUCUGAUAAUAUUGUCCUUCUGUGCUAUUUAGCCUUUUUAAUAUUGUUACAUUGUUUGUUAUAUCUUUGAUGUUAGUUUUGGACCAGCUUUUAACUGAUCCAUAAUGAAACUGAAGUUUAAUUUUCGAUUGAACUUUUACUGGUUUUACUCCUGUCAUUUCAAUUUAGCUUUGAUUUAAGAUGCUGAAUUCUGUGAUUGGAGUAUGUAGAUUGGAAAGAGAGAUAUUAUGGGAUAGAAUAUAGAUUUUGUGUUUUGGUUUCUCAUGUUUAGAGAUAUUCUGUUCUUUUUCAUUUAUUCAAUUUGGUUAGUGGUGAUCUCUUAAAGAGUUAAUGCAUGUGUGUUUAUGUACUUUUCUUUUGGCCUUGAUUCUAUUUCUUGGGGAGUUUAUACAGAUUCCUCUUUUAUGCUUCACAUGCCACAUGCCACAUGAAAGAUGAAAGCCUUUUGUGUGAUUAGAAUUGACUUGCAUCAUAGUAACUUUGAACCACUGUAACAUUUUUAUAAUAGCAGUCUGCGAUCUCCUUGAAGGAUUCAAAGCAUUUUUUUUGUUAGUCUUGGCUUGCAUUAAAAUCCUUUAUACCGAUUGGUUGGUCUCCUUUAAAGCAAUUCCUGUUUUAAGUAAUCAAAAUCUUGAUUCGGAAGUGUGUUUUAGCACUACUAAAGGUUCUUUUAAAUACUAAAUUGAUUGUGAGUCUUCUAUAUCAUCUGAUUGAAAUACAUGAAAGCGAUAUUGGCUACAAAAGUACACUUGGGGUUGUUUAUAAAGUCUUCAACAGGAUUUUUUUUUCCCCUUCCUCAUGGUUUAUUUUUUAGUUGUUGUUUAACAAAACACUUAAAAGGUUCUCUUUAUAGGUUUCUGAAAAUAAUUUUAACAUAACCAUUUUUCAGAAGCACUUUAGAUACCUGUGGCAUUUAGAAAAUUUUGUUCCAGCAUUCACAUAAUAUACAUAGAAAUUUGAAUUUAUUUAAUUAUGAGCAUGUGCUAGUGCCUAUUGGCAUCCACUUGUAUAUACAAAUGUAUUAUACAAUACAAUAUUAGCUUGACUGUAGCAUAGAGGAGAAUAGGGUCGGAAUUGGUCUGAAUUCUGAUCUUUGAAUAAAUAUAAUAGCUGAUUGAAGCUGCUCAUGUGACUCCAUUGUCAGCAGCUUACACAAGGUCUUUUAGCUUUUUAAAAAGUUUUGUGAUAUUUCAUAGUUCACAUGGAUUGCUACAGUAUAGAAUACCCAAUUAGGGCAUUUUUAAUUCCUAUGCAUAGGAGUCUUCCUUCAUGCGCACGCGCGUACACACAUAUAUUUCCCACUUCCGUUCACUCCAAAAGUGAAAAUUGCGGGCAAUUUUUAUCUUCAGUAAAAUUGGAGUAGAUGUUGUUCUUAUUGGCGCAAAUUUGCGUACCAUGUUUGUGGGACCCUUAACCUUGCGCCUUUGUUACAAUCAUAUGCAUUCAGGCUUUUGGUAGACCCUUGGAUAGUAUGAUCAGUGUAUUAGAAUUUAGAAUUCGUGUUUAUAAGGGUCAGUUUGGUAAUGUUAUAAUUUUUAAAAUAAUUACUGUUAGCUAUACUAUAGAAAUAAUCAGUUGUGAAUAAAAUCAGUUAAACAGUUGAUAAAUUUUGUUUUUAAGGUGUUGUGAGUUUUAAACAAUUUGUAUGUAUUUAGUAAAUCUCGCUUUUAAAGUAUUAUAAGAAUGCAAAGACUUAAAUAGAUAGAAAUCUAUAAAAUUUAUUUACAUGUGCAUUUAUACAAUAAUAUUUUAUGCAUGUAUAUAAUAAUUAAUAACAGAAAUAAAUAUUUUUAUUUUAUUAAUUAUAUAUUUUUCUUAUUAUCUCAAUAUAAUUGGUAAUAAUAAUCUUUUUAAUAGUACAUUUAUUAAUCAGUAAUCGAAAUGGGCUGGAAUCGGAAUGGGGAAUGAAAAUCAUAAUAAUUUGUUUACUUUAGCUGUAGGAAUCAAAAUCACAUGGAGCUAUAUUAUCAUUAAUAUAUUUAUUUUGUCUUGGAAUCGAAAUAGAUUGUUACAAAUUACUAAACUGAUUUUAUUAUUAUCAAUAUUAUUAUUAAACAAGGUAAAGGGAAUUUUUAAUUUUCACUAGGUGUAGAAAUGUCGAUUCACUUCUCAUUCUCAUUCUCUGUUCUCAUUCCCCCUCCUCAUAGGAUUACCAUUUCACAUUCUCAAAAAUUUAUAAUUGACUCACAUUUCAUUCUCAUUCCUCCUUAUUUUGGAAGUAAAUAAGUUAAAGAAUCAUAUUCCUUUAUUCUUGUUUUUCAUUCACAUUCCUUCUCCUUAUUUUGGAAGUAAAUAACUUAAAGAAUCAUAUUCCCUUAUUCUUGUUCUCGUUCUCGUUCUCAUUCUCAAUUAGUAAGCACACUACAAAUGCAAUGAUUUUGUUUCCUAAUUAAACAAGGAUAAUUUUUAGAUUUUUAUAAUAUAUGUUAAGAUAUAUGUAGAAUUGUAUUAAAUAUGAAACUGACUCCCAAAAUCAUAUUUUAAAAAACUAUUUUUUUCUUAUUUUUUGAAAUUUAUUGUAGGCUAGGGUGAUUUUAUCAAAGUAAUUUUUUUAAAAAUUUUCGGACCCAUUUGGGAUUGUUUUUGGAAGACUCAAAAAGGAUUUUGAAUAGCUAAAAUCUAAGUUUGGUGUUUUAUAAUUUUUUUUUAAAAAAAUUACUUCUGAUAAAAUUAUCUUAUCCACGUUAAAUUUUAAAAAGAAAGGAAAAAGUAAUUUUUUAAAAUCUGAUUUUAAGAAUCAUUUUUAUACUUAAUACAAUUUCAUAAAUAUCCUGAUAUAUAUCAUAAAAAUUCAAAAUUAUCUUUAUUAGUUAGGAAAUAAAAUCAAUAAUUUUAAAAAGAUUAUUAUUAUUUCUAAUUAUAUUGAGCUAACAAAAAGAAAUAAAAUUACUAAUAUAAAAUUUAUUUUAACUAUUAAUUAUUAUAUUUACCAAUAAAAAACAUUUUAUAUACACGUUUAUAAAUAUUUAAAUAAAAUUUAUUCAUGUCGAGUUCAACCAUUUAUAUUAUUACAGCAAUUUAACAACUGGUUGUCGUUGCUCGGGAAUUAUAGAAUUACCAUAUGUUGUAAAAAUGCACUAAGCCAUGCCAUGUGUUUGAUACAGGUUAUGCUUGUUCGAUUAAAUUGUACUCACCUAUAAAUCAAAGAUUCAGUACAUGUGCAUGUUAGUGGUCUUCAGAAUCCAGAAUAAUAAAUGCCUUGAAAUGCUUGAGUUCAAUGAUUUCGCAGAAGACCAAGUUCCUUGUUAAUGAGUCAGCAUGACUGAAUCCUUCACUAAGCCAAAUUUGUUUUCACUUUUAGUUUAGAAAUUGUCAUUAAUUAAGAAAGUGUUUGAUAAAAUGCUUUGGAAGGCACUGUUCGUUGGACGUUUGCCCAGAAUUUAUGAAAUCAUUGGUGUUUCAUCCUACUUGUAACACUCUUCUUUAUUUUCUAUUCUAACGAAGAAAUCUUUUAUUAGAAAAGUGACAAGAUUGCACCUUUCAUUUGUAUGUUAAGGAGGUGUAAAAUUUUCUCGUUAAAAUCCCAUCAUGAAAAAAACUCACGGGCAAAAACCUACUGCAAAUUAAAGAAAGAAGAGUAAAUCAUGAUAAAUACACUCUCUUUUACAAUGCAAGCGGAUGCUUCAAUGAGUGGAUCAUGCGCCAAACUUGUAUAUCGUUGUUGGUAGUGCUUUGUUGAAUCAAUAUGAUAGAUUUUCACUUUUCUUUUUUUUCUUUUCUUUUUUUUUUCCUUGUGGAUACGAAAAUGAUUUGGGUUAAACUAUACUUAAUGCCGGUUUGGUACGACUUCUCUACUAAUUAAAAGAGUUUUUUUUCUUAAAUGUUCAAAAAGAUUUUUUAUUAUAAAUUGUAAUUUGAGUGGAUUUCUUGGGAUUAAACAAGUUACAUUUUUGUCUCUAUAAAGAAGUUCAAGUUAUAGAUUUUGGCAAUAGAGAUGUAGAGGUUUUUUUUUUUUCAGAGAACUAAAUUGUGGAGACUAUCUUUAUUUGGUUAUACAACUUUUUUUUUUUUAAUUUCAUAACAUAAUUUUAAAAGACUUAUUUAAUAAAUUUGAUAUUUUUUUGUAAAAAUUAUCAUUCACGUCCAAACUACUGAAGAUUUUUUUGUUAAACGCACUACUUAAAAGUUAUAUUAAUUAUAAACUUUCUAAAAAAAAAAAACAAUUCAAAGAGUUAUAGCAAACAAAGUGCUAGUUAACUUCAGUCGAUAAUAAUCUUCUAAUCCGUCCUACAAAUGACUUUCGACAAGAGUGGUGCUACUCACAUCUCUUCAAAACCCAUUUGACACCCCGUUUUCUUUAUUUAAAAUUUUAUACAUUUGAAAAUUAUUUUUUCUUUUACUUGACACUCUUCAAAUUCUAAAACUAAGCUUCAAAGAACCUUCGUCAUUAAAUCUCAUUGCCUUCCUUUAUUCUUGUUACUUGAGAAGAAGAAUGAGAGUCUGGAAGAAUGAAAGAAAAUUCAGCGAGAUAGAAAUCUAGUAAUUUCAUACCAUGAUUCAGAAUUUUUUUUUUCUCAAAAGAAUCUACUAUUCUUCUAUAUUUUAUAUAAAAAAAAGAGGAAAAGAGGAAACUGAGAGACUCUUUGUUUAAUGCUUGAAAGUUAGAAAGAAAAGGUCAGGAAGCUGCCUGGUAAUGAGAGUGAUGCAUCAGCACUAAUUUCUAUCUCGAUAGCUACCAAUUACCACCCCUAGAAAGGCUGUUGAUCAACAAGCCAUAUCUACUGGUUUCCUUUCUUUAAAAGUUCUAAUGGUCCCCUUAAAAAUCUCUAUAUGCUCAGUCUUCUCAUGAUAUAUCUGAUUUUCGCUGAGAAUUAUAGCAAGCGCUUCAGAUAUCAUAAUACUUUGUGACUGACUACUGUGCAUGCUUAAUUAUAAGAUUAUUCCUUGUGGCCAAAUAAAAUGACCCCCUUUAGAGCCUCUGUAUUUGAAAAAGCAAGACAAUGAGCUUAAUUAUUGUCAAGGUCUCCAGUAGGAUACUCCUAAAUCCAUAUACCCACCCACCAGAACUCCAAUCUUGAAACUUAUAGAUCAAACCAUAACUUAAUGUGCCUGGCAACCAGGGAUAUGUCAGGCCUUUAAAAAACCACUACAUACAUUUGAGUCUGAAAUUGCUCCAAUUAGUAUUAUGAUUAUUAUUUUAAAAAACUCAACCUAAGCAAAGUGCCUCAGCAUACAAUAUUUAUUGACAACUAAAAAGUAAUAGUGGGUGGGGGUUGCCCUGGGUUUUGUUUAAAAAUUGAAGUAAAAAAUUUUCAAAUUUCAAAUUUCUAGUACAAAGAAAAUUGAUGACUAAAUUAAAUUCUGCAAAUUAAUUUCUAAUAUUACAUGAAAAUAUAUCAAGUUAAUUGGUAACAUUGUUAAUCACUUAAUCCUCAAUCUAAUACGUUAUGUAUUUGUUACUCUGUCUUAAAUCAAAAGUGGCGGUGAUUUAUUUUUAUUUUCACUAAUAAGAAAGGCAUGUUAGAGCUUUUAUUUUGUUGAAAAUGAACCAAAAAACUCCGAUUGGGAGAUUAUAAAUGUAUUUAACAAUAAUUUAACUUCCAUUUUGAAAGUCAUUAUAUUGUUUAUUCAGGAGAAGCGUUCUUUUAUAUUUUAUAGAUAUAAUGUUUGCUAAUCCUAAUUUAAGCUAAAGCAUAUGCAUUUCCUAAUUAAUUCUAAUUUAAGCUUAUUCAACUGCAUUCAAUUAAUGUUCGAUAAUACAAAUUCUAAAUACUAUAUACUCUAAGAAUUUUAAUCGUAAUGACAAGGUGAUCAUUUAAUUAUUACCGUUAAAUUAUAUAUGUAUGGUGGAGACGAGUCCACACGGUUUUGACGAGAAAUUAAAGACAAUAUUUAGUUAAGCUAGUAGUAUUUGUUCUGUUUAGUACGUCGUUUUACCAGCAAGCAUCCCGGCAAUGCACGCAUUAAUAAAAAAAUUUAUCUGUUUGGACUGAUUGGUAGUGAAAAAUUCCACAUACUUUAAAUUAAGAAAAUGCUAAGUAUCUUAAAGAAAACAAUUAAAAUAUUGUCACUUGAUGCUUGAAUCAUUAUUGUUAAAUAUCUCCGUUGAGUUGUAUUCCCCAGCUGUGAGUAUCAUUAUUGUCUUUGCUAUCUAAUCAAUUCAAUUUUCUUUCUGGAGACAAGAUUUUGAUUCCUUUCAUCGUUACAAAAACGGAACCAUGGUUGAUGUGGGAGAGAUCUUACUCAACGCCUUCUUUCAGGUGUUGUUCGACAGGUUGGCUUCCCGUGAUUUGCUCAGCUUUGUCCGUCAACUUGGAGGGGGGGUCGAUUCCGAGCUCAAGAAGUGGGAAAGAAAGCUGAAGAUGAUUCAGGCGGUGCUCAACGAUGCAGAGGAGAAGCAACUGACUGAUGAGGCUGUGAAGAUGUGGCUGGACGAUCUCCAAGACUUGGCUUAUGACGCUGAGGACAUUCUUGAUGAGUUUGCUACUCAAGCUUUGGAAAGCAAGUUGAUGGAGCAAAAUCAGGAUAGCUCUGGCCAGGUUCUCAGUUUCAUCCCGGCUAGUUUGAAUCCGAAUGCUAUUAUGUUCAAUUAUAGCAUGGGGUCCAAGAUUAAAGAUAUUACUAGCCGGCUGGAGCAACUCUGCCAAGAAAGAAUUGAACUUGGACUGCAGCGGAUUACUGGAGGGGCAUCAUCAACUGCUGCUGCUACACAGCAGAGGCCGCCCAGUUCGAGUGUCCCAACAGAACGUGAAGUAUUUGGAAGAGCAAAAGAUAAGGCCAAAAUUCUUGAUAUGGUAUUGGCCGAUACCCCAAGUGAUCAUGCCGACUUUGUUGUAAUACCCAUUGUUGGCAUGGGCGGGAUAGGAAAAACAACUCUCGCUCGGGAGGUUUACAAUGACAAGGCCGUUGGCGGUUCCAAGUUUGAUGUAAAAGCAUGGGUUUGCGUAUCUGACGUCUUUGAUGUUUUGGGCAUCUCAAAGGCACUUCUCGAGUCAAUCACCCGCAGGCCAUGUCUUCUAAACAGUUUAAAUGAAGUGCAGGUUGAAUUGAAAGUAGCUGUGGAUAAAAAAAGAUUCUUGCUGGUCUUAGAUGAUGUUUGGAACGAGGAGUACAGCUUGUGGGUAGACUUAAAAGCUCCGUUCCUGGUUGCUGCACCAAACAGUAAGAUGAUCGUCACCACACGCAAUUCAAAUGUUGCAUCAACAAUGGGGCCAGUUGAACAUUACAAUCUCAGGAGUCUAUCGGAUGAUGAUUGCUGGUCCAUUUUCAUAAAGCAUGCAUUUGAAUCUAGAGAUCUUAACGCACAUCAAAUUUCAGAAUCAUUCCGCAAGAAAGUUGUUGCCAAGUGUGGAGGCUUGGCCCUGGCAGCAAAAACACUCGGAGGCCUUCUGCGUACGACGAGGCAUGAUGCGUGGGAUGAUAUAUUAGAGAGCAAAAUAUGGGAUUUACCACGACAAAGUGGGGUUCUCCCAGUAUUAAGAUUGAGUUACCAUCAUCUUCCUUCUCAUUUGAAAAUGUGUUUUGCUUUCUGUGCAAUCUUUCCAAAAGAUUAUGAAUUCAAAGAGAAGGAGCUGACUUUUUUAUGGAUGGCCGGAGGAAUUAUUCGACAGUCAAGAAGCAAAGAGCGGCUAGAAGAUUUGGGCAGCAAGUGCUUCCAUGAUCUGGUGUCAAGGUCAAUUUUUCAGAAAUCAGCAAUCUCUGCUAGUUCUAAAUUUGUAAUCCAUGACCUUAUCCAUGAUCUUGCUGAAUUGGUCUCUGGAGAAACCAUAUUUAGGUUAGAGGAGGCCAAUACUCUGUCAAGAAGAUUUGAAAGGGUUCGCCAUUCCUCCUAUGCUUGUGGUGGAUAUGAUGGUAAAAAUAUGUUCGAUGUUUUCAAUGAAAUUGAACAUCUACGAACAUUCUUGCCAUUACGCUUACGCAUAAGAGGUGGCUUUAGUUCUGGUUACAUAAGUCGAACGGUCCUAUCUGACUUGCUGCCAAAGUUCAAAAGGUUGAGAAUGCUAUCUUUAGAAGGAUACUGUAUUGGCGAGUUACCAAUUCCAUUUGAAGAUUUGAGACUUUUAAGGUUUCUCAACCUUGCUGACACUGACAUAAGAAGUUUACCCGAGUCAACAUGCAAAUUGCUGAACUUGGAAAUUUUUAUAUUAAGAAAUUGUUCCCGUUUGAUAAAGCUUCCAGCCAAAAUGAGGAAUUUGAUCAAUUUACGCCAUCUGGAUAUAAGAGGUGCGAAGUUGCUGAAGGAGAUGCCAGUCGGAAUGAAAGAGCUGAAGAAGCUUCAAACAUUGUACAAUUUCAUUGUGGGCAAGGGUGAAACUGCAUCCGGUUUGGAAGAAUUAAAAAGUUUAAACUUUCUUUGUGAUGAACUUUGCAUUGCUGGAUUAGAGAAUGUGAAUAAUCCACAGAAUGCAAGAGAAGCGGCAUUAUGCGAGAAGCACAAUCUUGAAGCACUGACUCUAGAUUGGGGGUCUCAAUUUGACAAUUCUCGAGAUGGAGUAGUAGAAGAGCAUGUACUGGAAAUUCUACAGCCUCAUAAACGUAUAAAAAAGGUGGCAAUCAGGAACUAUAGAGGUGCAAGAUUUCCACAUUGGAUAGGAGAUCCUUUGUUCUCCAAAAUAGAGUUCCUUGAAUUGGAGAACUGUGACAAUUGUGUAUCUUUGCCAUCGCUUGGCCGUUUGAGUUCACUUAAACACCUUGCUGUUAAAGGGCUGAAGAAACUAAAAAGCAUAGAGUCUAAGGUUUAUGGGGAGGGUUUCUCAAUGCCUUUUCCAUCAUUGGAGAUUCUAAGUUUCGAGAAUUUGCCAGAAUGGGAGCAUUGGGACACCGAUAUCAAAGGAAAUGUACUUGUUGAAAUAUUUCCUCGUCUCCAUAAACUUUCCAUUGUGGAAUGUCCCAAACUCUCCGGAGAACUGCCUGAUCUCCUGCCCUCCUUGGAGACACUUGUUGUUAGUAAAUGUGAAAAGUUGGUAGUUCCAUUGUCUUGCUAUCCGAUGCUCUGCAGAUUAGAAGUUGAUGAGUGCAAGGAACUAGCGUGCGCGACUCCAAUUGAUUUUAAGUUGAUAAAGUCUGUGACUAUUUCAAAUUGUUCACUAGACAUGUAUGGAUGCAAGGGGAUGCUAUACAAUGGUCCAGCUGGCUCUUCACUGCCGAAAUCCAUGACUAUUACAAAUGUUUUGGCGUUUGGAAAAUUAUUGAAGCCUGAAUUUCAGAUAUUAGAAACUUUGGUAAUUGACAAUUCUGAACAGCUCAUGUCAUGGAGGCAGCGUGGGAAUUUCCGAGAAGAAUAUUUGGCCGUUCGCCGAAGGCUUAUCAAACCAUUACAAGGGCUAAAUAUGCUCGCUUCCCCAGAAGAGGUAACAAUUGAAGAAAGUUGUGUGAGUUUUGUUUUAUUUUCAGAGAUCAAUUUCUUUCCCAGAAAUCUGCGCUCUCUUCUAAUUUGCAGCAGCACAGCUUUAAAAUCCUUACCCGAUGAAAUGAUGGACAACAGUUCACAACUCAAAAGGUUGUAUAUCAGAGAUUGCGAUUCUCUAACAUUCAUCACAAGACGCAAGCUACCUUCAUCUCUAAAAAGUAUAGAGAUUCAGAAUUGUGAGAAACUGCGACAUUUGUUCGAUGAUAAAGAGGAUGCUUCUUCUUCUUCUCCUCCUUCAUCCUCGCCCUCCCCAGUGAUGCUGAAACACCUGAGUAUAAAUAAUUGCCCAGAGCUCACCAGUUUAUCAACAGGAAUCCAAUUACUUGAGGCGCUUGAACACCUCGACAUACGGGAUUGUCGAAAGCUGGAGUCAUUACCAGAUGGCCUUCACAAUCUUAACUGUUUACAGGAGAUUACUCUAAACAGUUGUCCAAGUCUUCUUAGAGGGCUUCCCAACACGAUUUCAAGGGUUGACAUUUACAGCUGUCCAAGUCUUGUUUCCUUCCCAGAAAGAGGACUUCCCAACACGAUUUCAAAGGUUGACAUUUUUAAUUGUGAGAAGCUCGAAGCCCUGCCCAAUGACAUGCACAAACUCAACUCUCUUCGAGAUUUAAGCAUAUUGGGGUGUCGAAAUCUUGUAUCCUUUCCAGAAGAAGGUUUUCCUACCAGUCUAACAUCACUUAGAAUUGGAGAUUUCAAAAUGUAUAAGACACUCAUCCAGUGGGGGUUGCACAGGCUUACCUCUCUUAGACGCCUCUAUAUCGUUGAUUGUGAUGACGAAGCAGAGUGUUUUCCAGACGAGGAGAUAGGAACGAUGCUGCCUACCUCCCUAACUCAUCUAUCCUUUCGGGGAUUCCGAAAUUUGAUAUCUCUGUCUUCGACGGGUUUUCAGAGCCUCAACUCUCUUCAAUACUUGUGGAUCAGGGAUUGCCCGAAUCUCACAUCAUUCCCAGAGGUGGGCCUUCCAUCCUCACUUUUGGCAUUAUGCAUUAUCGAUUGUCCAAAGCUUAAAAAAGCGUGCAAAAGAGAUCAAGGAAAAGAGUGGUCCAAAAUUGCUCACAUCCCUCGCAUUGACAUAGACAGGAAAUUCAUAUACGAUCCAGAAUCAGAGGAGUAGAUUCUACUAUUAAGGUCAGUUGAUUUGUAUUAUCCGCCAUAACAAGCUCCUCCUUUUUUUUUAAAUAAUAAUAAUAAUUCUUACCAAUUAAUGAUGGUAAGAUGUGUACUUAUUCUUUCUUCCGGACAACCUUGCCUUCUUUCUUCGGUAGCAUAUCUAAUGAAUAUUUCUCUGUUUAGUUAAGGAUGAAUGCUUGGAGUGGAGUAUUUGGUAACAUUUCUGCCGUAGAUGAAACCUUGAAGAAAUGCCUGCACUUCCUGAGACCAAAUACAGGUCUGAUUCACAACAACACCUGUCCCAGAAAAUAUGAUACAAGCCAAAGCCAUGUUCUGAAGCAGAAAUAACGCAUUUCAAUUUUUAUCUGGUAAAAAUACACAGCCCUCGCCUACAAAAUUCUUAUCUUGGCUUUCACGGAUAUUUUUAUCACGUAACCACGUGAGGAAGCAUGUGCUGGAGCCUGAAUUCAGUUAGUUAAAGUUUGUUAACCACGUGUCAACAAACUGUAUAAUCUGGAAAAUACGCUAGCUAUUGAAACAGGGUAUAAAGGCUGGUUUUUCAGGGACUAUCGAGAGCUGAUUCUAGAGUCUUGUAGAAAGAGGUUUGUGAGAGAGAAAGUGUCAUCUUGUUCUCUGUAAAAUCCGAUAUAGGGCUCUGUAACGAUCUCCAUUGUUGAAUCAAUAAAACUCAUCUAGAAGCUUCUCCCGUGGACGUAUUCUGAGCAUUCAAUGCACAGCUGAACCACGUAAUAUCUUGGUUUCAGUGGGUUCUUGUUUUGGUUCUUGAUAAAUUCUUGUUGUUGUAUUGAGGUGUGAUUUGAUGUGUCUAAACUUGCAUCUGUGCAACUUGAAUUGAUUUGAUGAUAAUAAUCUUGGGCAGUGAUCAGAUUCGUUUAGUUUAAAGAACAAGCUGAUUACUACCGUACCUAUGCAUGGACCUGUAACCUGUGCUGACAAAACUGAAACUAUGAGUUUGAGGUAAAAAGGUCCUGGACCCUCACAGUUUAACUUGGACUUGUAGCUUUCUGGAUAAACACAUUUUAGAAGUUUGCAAUUUGUUGUUAAUUACGGUAUGUGAUUUUCUUUUUUGUUUUCGCUUUUGUAGAAUCUACCGUAUUACAUAUUGGCAGUUGUAUCUGAGGUACCAUUUUUGCAUUUAACUUGCCUUUAUCUGUUUUGCCUGUUACUUAACAACACAUCAUUUCCCAAAGAUUUGGAGAAGCAUCUCAAGAUGCUUAACAAACUUGACAAACUUCAAGAUGCUCCCAAGCCUUGAUUCUUCACAAAGGAAGACCUGUGAGUACACUUAUGCCCGCAAUUAUUGUGAAGUGAUUGCAACUUUGAUGCAGCGAAACGGUUUGCUGGUGCAAAGCUUUAAAACUGUUAAGAAUUACCCUGCAGGCUUGUUGGAUGUUGUAUACUCCGAAAGCCACCAACACCAAGAACUAUAACAGCAAGACUAGGUUUGCAUUAAUUCAAUUAGCUGAAAUAAUGAUGCAAAUGGCACUAUCCAGCUCGACUUAGAGACUAGUCAGGUCAAUCAUCCAUUUCAUCAACAGUUAAUGUCAGGAUGGUGGCUAGCAGAGGAAACAAAGGAUAUGUUGGAAUCAAUAAGAACAGUGAGAAGCAUGAGAGGAGCUUUGAUUAUAAGUAGGCUCAAUGAACUAGUGUUGGUAAGUGGUAAUUAGAGCAAUUUGUGAGCUUAGUAGAGUUUCAAUAUUUUCUGUUUGGGAUAUAGUUGAUAAGUUGAUACUCUGAUAAAGAAGGCUGAUUAUAGUAGCUGACUAUAUUAACCGGGUUCUCUUUUUUGGUUUGCUGUUGUUUUUUCUUUCAAUAUCUUUUUCAACAUUAGGUUUAAGAACAAGCUUGGGUUUGAUUAUCAGGUAAGAACAAAUGAAUGCUUUAACCAUGUUUCUCACUUAUCACAAUGCACGGAUUGAAGGCGUCUGAGUUGAUCCUGAAACGUGCCUCAGCAAGUAUUAUGAUUAUUAUUUUAAAAAACUCAACCUAAGCAACGUGCCUCAGCAUACAAUAUUUAUUGACAACUAAAAAGUAAUAGUGGGUGGGGGUUGCCCUGGGUUUUGUUUAAAAAUUGAAGUAAAAAAUUUUCAAAUUUCAAAUUUCUAGUACAAAGAAAAUUGAUGACUAAAUUAAAUUCUGCAAAUUAAUUUCUAAUAUUACAUGAAAAUAUUAUCAAGUUAACUGGUAACAUCGUUAAUCACUUAAUUCUCAGUCUAAUACGUUAUGUAUUUGUUACUCUGUCUUAAAUCAAAAGUGGCGGUGAUUUAUUUUUAUUUUCACUAAUCAGAAAGGCAUGUUAGAGCUUUUAUUUUGUCGAAAAUGAACCAAAAAAACUCCGAUUGGGAGAUUAUAAAUGUAAUUAACAAUAAUUUAACUUCCAUUUUGAAAGUCAUUAUAUUGUUUAUUCAGGAGAAGCGUUCUUUUAUAUUUUAUAGAUAUAAUGUUUGCUAAUCCUAAUUUAAGCUAAAGCAUAUGCAUUUCCUAAUUAAUUCUAAUUUAAGCUUAUUCAACUGCAUUCAAUUAAUGUUCGAUAAUACAAAUUCUAAAUACUAUAUACUCUAAGAAUUUUAAUCGUAAUGACAAGGUGAUCAUUUAAUUAUUACCGUUAAAUUAUAUAUGUAUGGUGGAGACGAGUCCACACGGUUUUGACGAGAAAUUAAAGACAAUAUUUAGUUAAGCUAGUAGUAUUUGUUCUGUUUAGUACGUCGUUUUACCAGCAAGCAUCCCGGCAAUGCACGCAUUAAUAAAAACAUUUAUCUGUUUGGACUGACUGGUAGUGAAAAAUUCCACAUACUUUAAAUCAAGAAAAUGCUAAGCAUCUUAAAGAAAACAAUUAAAAUAUUGUCACUUGAUGCUUGAAUCAUUAUUGUUAAAUAUCUCCGUUGAGUUGUAUUCCCCAGUUGUGAGUAUCAUUAUUGUUGUUUGUGCGAUAUGUUUCGACGAAGACCAGCAGUGAUGAGCAGGCGUCUGGUAGCAGGGUUCCUCGAACAGGUAUAUCUUGCAAGAGUCUGGUAGCAGGGGGAGCAAGAGCAGGAGUAUCCUGCUCGUCCACGAGUACGUCAUCCACGAGGCCGGUCUCCUGUUGGGAGCGUAAAGCCAUUCCUGCUAUAUUCCUGCUAGCGGUUGAGUCGAGGAGACCCGGUCAACGACAGUUGACGAGACAUGCUCUCCAGUCCGAGAAUCAAGGCGCGAAGGCCACGCAACCACCCACGACUACGGAAAUGGAGCAUCCACUUUCGAGAAGUGGGAGGAUGACAAGCGCAAAGGGAGGAAAUGCAUGGGCUCAGAAGUGGCCUAUAAAAAGGUAACCAACGAAGGUAAAAGGGUUAGCAAUUUUGAGAUUAUAACAGAGACUAAGGAAAUUCUAAAGAAGAGAAAACUAUUAAAAAGCCAUAAGAUCUGUGGCAAGCGUUCCCAGAGCCUUCAUAUCUGACUUGAGCGUCGGAGGGUUUACGCCGGGAAAACAACCGGCGUGCUCUGACUUGUUUCUGUGGACGCAGGAAUACUUGGAGAAGAAAGCAUACAAGGAGAGAUCCUGGUCGAGGUGAGGUUGAUUGAGCAGAUAUCCUGGUCGUAGGAAGAGCGUAACCAGAAUCUCGCAUCAAUAUUUUGGCGCCGUCUGUGGGGAGCUGAGCAAAAAGUUUCUGUUGAUAGCAAAGAAGAGGAGUGAAGCAAGUGAAAAGCAAUGGAGACAGGAGGAAGUAGUGCACAAGGGGGUGAUAUGAGGCUUAACGAUUCCGUGACGCUGAGGGAGAUAGCCAGUGAAGCACGGGAAAAAGCCAUGUUCGACCGGAUGGAACGGAUGGAAAAGCAGAUGGAGACCUUGACAACCAUCCUACAUGAGCUGCGGAGCGAACGAAGGGUAACCCAGGAGGAAAGGGUGAGAGGUGGUGGAGUGGCACCAGGUCCCGAUAGUGCGAGGAGAAGUCAAACCACCGGGAGAUUUGGUGGUGAGAGAGGUAACAUACCUCUGCAGGGAAAUUGCAUAGAGAGGAAGAGCAGUCCCCGGCAAGACAGAUUUUUGACGAGGACGACGGGGUGGCGAAUGCAGAGGAAGCAGAGUUGAGGCAAUACUUGCAUGAUGUAGUGCAAGAGCGGGAUCAAGUCGCAGCACGUGACCCUGGUCGUGCAGAGCAGCUGGAGGAGGAAGUGUGCAGGCUAGCGCAGAUAAUUGACGACAUACAAGGAAGGAGCAGAGCUCCUGGUUGGAGGAUAAUGCUGGACGGAGAAUCACCGCUCGCAGCAGAGAUCAUGAGGGCAGUUAUUCCAAGAGAUUUCCGCCUCCCAGACCUUAGAUAUUCGGGAUGAACUGAUCCGCUGGUGCACAUAGAGCGCUUCAACGACAUAACUGGGGUACAAGGAUUAUCUCAAUCCUAAAGGUGCAGGGUGUUCCCACUAUCCCUUGAGGGACGCGCACGAGAGUGGUACAGGAAACUUCCUCGGGGGAGCAUUAAAACCUUCGAGCAGAUGUGCCAGGAAUUUGCAGAACAGUUCCGUGGGGCAAUGGCACCAGAAGAUGACAUGAUGGAGUUGAAAAACAUGAAGCAGGGGGAACAAGAAACACUUCGGGAAUUCAUCAAGAGGUUUCACCGUGCUGUCCUCGACUUGGGAGCCUUCAACCACCCUCAAACGUUAAGGGGAUUGAAAGAAGGGGUGAAGAUAGGAAGGCUGUGGUACAACUUGAGAAGCCCAGUUAUUCAGACGUAUGCGGCCGCAUACGAGCAGGCUAAGAGAGACAUUGAGAUUGAAGAGGAGAAGGCAGCACAGAUUAAGACAGACCAGUUAGAAGGGUGGGGGAGGAAAGAGAAGAAAGCAUUACCGGGGAAUGGGCCGAUCAGGAGGAGGAACCACCAGGCCUCGAGUAGUGGAGCAGAAGGUCGGGUAACUGCUUACCAGCCUCAUCAGAGGCCACUACAGUAUCAGCACAGCAGGGCGCAACCUCCUCGUUCCCCAGCUGGGGAGCCUUGGAGAAGGCAUGACUCGGCGUAUGGUGGUCUUCAUCAACACUCCCACGGUAGUAGAAGGGGCAGACCAGAAGCGCUGCCACCGCCUCCAACUCAGAACGGAGCAAAUAGAGAAAGGGCAGUGCACCUGAUCGACCAGAACCAGGACUAUGGGCGAUAUACUUCCUUGAAGAUGUCCCUGGCCGAGGUGUACGAGGCCAUAAAGGAUCGAGGGUCGUUAUACCUCCCUGCCCCAAUAACAAAGCUACCCAGCAGGAGGGAUAGGGGACGCUAUUGUAAGUUCCAUGGCACUCAUGGCCACACCACAGCAGAUUACAGGGAUCUCAAGACCCAGGUUGAAGAUUUGGUGAGAAAUCGGUAUCUGGACGAGUUUAUAGAUGGGACCUUCCCAAUGGUAGCCUCGACCAGCGAAUGGGAGCAGAGUGACAGGAACUUGAGGCGCGAGCAGCCUGCAGUAAGGGUGAUAGCUGGGGGCCCAACAUUGGCCGGAGAUUCCAACAGGUUGAGGAAGAAUUACGCUAGAUACGCCAUGACCAGCAAAGAUGUAUUCUUCACCACCCCAGCAGCCAAACGUGCAAGAGUCAGGCAAGUGCCAAUUAUGUGGACAGAUGAGGAUGAAGAAGGGAUUCUAUACCCCCACGAGGAUGCUUUGGUCAUCAAGGCCACUGUUGCCAGCAAGAAGUUUGACAGGAUACUGGUUGACACAGGGAGCUCAGUUGAUGUGUUGUUUAAGUCAACCCUGGAGGAGAUGGGAAUAGCAGACCUGAAGUUGGAUUACACCAAUACCUCCUUGAAGGGGUUUGGAGGAGGAAAGUUGGUCCCUCUGGGCGUGGUCGAGCUGCCUAUCACGAUUGGGAGCUCCCCGACAGAAGGGACAAUGAUACUGGACUUUGUGGUAGUGGAUGAGGAAGGUCCUUAUCAGAUGAUCCUAGGCCGGCCAUUUCUGACGAUGAGCAAAGCGGUGCUGUCCAGCCAUUAUCUGGCUCUCAAGUACCGGGUGAAUGGGGUAGUUGGAGUGGUACGAGGAGACCAGAGGAUCGCAAGAAGCUGCUACUCCUCGGCAGCAAAGGAAGCAAUGCAGAUAACAUCCCUUGAUACCCGAGUGGAAGCCAGGAAUGGCAGCUAGUUGGACCCGGAGUUUACAAGCUGGUUCGCACGGAUGGCCACAAGGUGAAACGCCCAUGGAGCGCGACACACCUCAGGAAAUAUUUCUAGUAAGACUUACUCAUCUUUUAAAGUUAUUUCUGUUCGUGCCCGUUGUUUUCUAUUUUUCAUUUCUUAUUUCAAAGCAAUCUCAUGUAAGCCGAAUUCAAUAAUAAAUGAAUCAAUGAGGAGUUUCAGUCAACUACACUGUUCAAGAAAUUAUCAAAGGCAUGCAAAGGCUAGUCAAGUCUCAAAGCCUGUUUAUGGCGAGACCAGAAGCCAAGCGUGCCAGGAUCUGCUCGACCACGAGAAGGCGAGCAGAGUCCCAAGCUUUCAAGAAAUUAUCAAUGGCAUGCAAAGGCUCACCAAGUCUCAAAGCCUGUUUAUGGCGAGACCAGAAGCCAAGCGUACCAGGAUCUGCUUGACCACGAGAAGGCGAGCAGAGUCCCAAGCUUUCAAGAAAUUAUCAAAGGCAUGCAAAGGCUCACCAAGUCUCAAAGCCGGUUUAUGACGAGACCAGAAGCCAAGCGUUCCAGGAUCUGCUCGACCACGAGAAGGCGAGCAGAGUCCCAAGCUUUCAAGAAAUUAUCAAAGGCAUGCAAAGGCUCACCAAGUUUCAAAGCCUGUUUAUGACGAGACCAGAAGCCAAGCGUGCCAGGAUCUGCUCGACCACGAGAAGGCGAGCAGAGUCCCAAGCUUUCAAGAAAUUAUCAAAGGCAUGCAAAGGCUCACCAAGUCUCAAAGCCUGUUUAUGGCGAGACCAGAAGCCAAACGUGCCAGGAUCUGCUUGACCACGAGAAGGCGAGCAGAGUCCCAAGCUUUCAAGAAAUUAUCUAAGGCAUGCAAAGGCUCGCCAAGUCUCAAAGCCUGUUUUAUGGCGAGAUAGAAGCCAAGCGUACCAGGAUCUGCUCGACCACGUGAAGGUGAGCAGAAUCCCCAAGCAUCGGAAUAUUUUCCAAGGCAUGCAAAGGCUCGCCAAGUCUCAAAGCCUGUUUUAUGGCGAGACAGAAGCCAAGCAUGCCAGGAUCUGCUCGACCGCGCGAAGGCGAGCAGAAUCUCAAGCAUUGAAGAAUUUUCCAAGGCAUGUGGCAAAACCAUAUGCCGAGCCAGAACCUGCUAAACUAGACGAAGACGAGCAGAUUCUCAGACGAAAAAUAACUCAUGAUUACAACACAAGAAAGUAAUCAAAAACAUUUUUAUUAAUUUGUUAAUAAUUAACAGAGGAGAUAAUCUUCACAAACAUUGUUCAUUACAAUACAAGAAAUAUAUUAAGAGGACGGUGGAUCCGUAAGCCGAGCAGCCUCAGUCGGUUGGUCCACCUCAGGUGCUGGGGGAGUAUCACCGGUCGCGUCCGGGGGGGUGCUUGCCUCACCCACAUCAACAGGAACGGCACGAGGAGGAGAGUUUUCCUCAACUACGAUUGGUUCCACCGUUUCGGCAUCUUCCUUUGCAGCCUCCUCGUCCAUAUGUUGGGCGACACCAGUUGCAAGGUCGUCCAUCUUCAGAUCAGGAUGCUGCUUCCCGAGGACGACCAUGAUGCAACGAUAGGAAUGCCGAAGCCCCUAGUCGUACUGGUUGUCGGCCUCCCUCUCCAAGUUCUCGACCUGAGCUCGGUGGGAAUCGCGGAGAGAUUCGAGCUGAGCCUCAUAUAUAGCCUUCUGCCUUUGCAGAUCCUCCUCGACCUUGGUCAGCUCCUCCUCGAGGGUAAUGGCUUUUGCUUGAGCAAGAGAUUCUUGCUCUAUCAGCUUGAGGUUCUCAACAUUCAGCUCCCCUGCUUUCUUCUCGGCAGCGUCAGCUCUGGUCGUCGCCGAUUGAAUGUCCUCCUUAAUCUUGCGGUCGUAGCGGCCAACCUUCGCCUUGUAAUAGGUGGUCAUGCAGCUGAGGUAGAAAGCGCUAUACUGCAUGGCCCCCACCAGCUCACCCAAGGUGCAGCCGUCAAAGUCCUCCAGGUCCUUCUUGCUCACGAGUUUAGAUAACUCAUUGAGGUAGGGGACCAAGUGUUCUGCUUGGCUGUCAGGUAAGCGAGAUCGAGGCCCGACAGGAGGAGAAGAGGAAGCAGGAUCCGUGGCUGCUCCACUAGUUUCCCCAACUUUGGCAGGAGCAGGAGGUAAAGUCUUCAAGGGAGAGACUUGCUGUACGAUGUUGGCCUGCUUUGCAGAAGGGGCGUCCUUGUUCUGGUCCCUCUUCGUGGCUUGAGGUUGAGAACGUUUCCUGUUCAGAGCCCCAAUCACAGCGUCCUCCAUCUUAUGGCCAGGGAGUACCAAGCGAGACUCGAGCAAGUUGUAAACAGUUAUCAAUUCUCGGCUCGGGCAAGAGUUGGCUAGUAUAGCCUCGACCCGUUUGAGCUGAUCAGGUUGGAGCGAGAAGUGAACACCCCAAGAACCUGCAACACAAACAAACAUUUGAUUAGAGACAAACCAGUAAAGUGCAAACAACAAGGGAGACAAGACAUCUAAUACGAGCAGGCAACCUGGGACCAUGAAACGGGGUGGGACGCGACAAUCCUUCCCGUCUAUUUGUGCAACUUGACCCCAAGGACCCCCAGCAAAAAAGAAUUUCCUCUUCCAAGUCCCACCACCACCAGUUGGAAGAUCAGUUAUGGGUUUCUUGCUCUUGGUACUAGAUUGGAAGUAGUACCAGCCGGCAUCUUUGGGGCUGCUCUUUAGCUGGUACAGGUGCUUCACCUCAUCAACCGUGGGCUCGCUUUGGCAACAUCUGUCCCACAAUAUGAACAGACCAGAGAGCACCCUCCACCCAUUGGGGUUCAGUUGACCAGGAGCUAGAUUGAGCCCGUGGAGUAUGCGAGCAAAAUAGGGUUGCAAGGGGCACCUUAACCCGUACUUAAAACUCUCCUGGAACAAGGUGACAUAUCCCCUAGGAGGCCUGCUAGGACUAUCUUUUUUUCCUGGGAUCCUAAGGAGUACUUCACCAGGAAUAUGAUACCUGAGCCAGAGGUCAUCCAGCUCGUUGAAUGUGGUCGUGCAGGUCAUGUAAUCAAUAGCAUAAUCCCGCAACAAGGCUCUACCUCCUACUGUACUACGCCCUUCUGGUCGCAGUGUUCCCGGUGAAGAUCCCUCACCAGAGUCACCUCCUUGAUCCUCACUUAGGGUGUCUUCCGAGCCAGAAGGUCCUUCCUCGCCACUACUUCCGCUCGUGGAGGUUGUUUGGGGGGACAUCCUCCUAGCGCUAGUCCCGACACUAGACCUAGUGGGCUCUAAGGGGAUCCCGGGGUCAAAAGCAGAAUCAGUGAGCAGACUAGGCAAGAAACCUAGUUCGUCGUCAUCAGUCUCAAUGACUUUCUCCUUACCCUUCGACAUUCCCUAAGUUCUAACCAAAACACCACCACCGACUACAACCCCAAGUAAAGCAAAGAGAAAAGAAAUUAUCUACAACUAUCCGAGACCGAGGAGAUAGAAGUAAUACCUGAAGUAAUGGUUCAGUUAGAGAAAGGCAGGGGAGGAGACUUUUAUGCCGAGACUUCUUUGCCGGAGAGACAGAGACAGAGAUGGAGUAAAUGACGAAUUUUCCCUUUGAGAGGUUUUGGGUUUUCCUAAUGGAGAAUGAACUUUUGGAUUGCCAGCAUUUAAUAGCAUCGAAUCCCAAGGGUCUCGUAACCGUCGGUUUAAAAUUCAAAUAGAUGGGUAGAUUUCUGCCACAUCACCUGGUCCACAAUUAAAUGCGACACGACUCUUGGCAGCCUUUUCCUAUCCCGCGCGAGCAAGAACUGUCGAGUUUCUACUGUUGGCUCACUACGCUACCCAACACAAGAAACUGGGGGACUGGUGUUUGUGCGAUAUGUUUCGACGAAGACUAGCAGUGAUGAGCAGGCGUCUGGUAGCAGGGUUCCUCGAACAGGUAUAUCUUGCAAGAGUCUGGUAGCCGGGGGAGCAAGAGCAGGAGUAUCCUGCUCGUCCACGAGUACGUCAUCCACGAGGCCGGUCUCCUGUUGGGAGCGUAAAGCCAUUCCUGCUAUAUUUCUGCUAGCGGUUGAGUCGAGGAGACCCGGUCAACGACAGUUGAUGAGACAUGCUCUUCAGUUCGAGAAUCAAGGCGCGAAGGCCACGCAACCACCCACGACUACGGAAAUGGAGCAUCCACUUUCGAGAAGUGGGAGGAUGACAAGCGCAAAGGGAGGAAAUGCAUGGGCUCAGAAGUGGCCUAUAAAAAGGUAACCAACGAAGGUAAAAGGGUUAGCAAUUUUGAGAUUAUAACAGAGACUAAGGAAAUUCUAAAGAAGAGAAAACUAUUAAAAAGCCAUAAGAUCUGUGGCAAGCGUUCCCAGAGCCUUCAUAUCUGACUUGAGCGUCGGAGGGUUUACGCCGGGAAAACAACCGGCGUGCUCUGACUUGUUUCUGUGGACGCAGGAAUACUUGGAGAAGAAAGCAUACGAGGAGAGAUCCUGGUCGAGGUGAGGUUGAUCGAGCAGAUAUCCUGGUCGUAGGAAGAGCGUAACCAGAAUCUCGCAUCAACAAUUGUCUUUGCUCUCUAAUCUAUUCAAUUUUCUUUCUGGAGACAAGAUUUUGAUUCCUUUCAUCGUUACAAAAACGGAACCAUGGUUGAUGUGGGAGAGAUCUUACUCAACGCCUUCUUUUAGGUGAUGUUCGACAGGUUGGCUUCCCGUGAUUUGCUCAGCUUUGUCCGUCAACUUGGAGGGGGGGUCGAUUCCGAGCUCAAGAAGUGGGAAAGAAAGCUGAAGAUGAUUCAGGCGGUGCUCAACGAUGCAGAGGAGAAGCAACUGACGGACGAGGCUGUGAAGAUGUGGCUGGACGAUCUCCAAGACUUGGCUUAUGACGCUGAGGACAUUCUUGAUGAGUUUGCUACUCAAGCUUUGGAAAGCAAGUUGAUGGCGCAAAAUCAGGAUAGCUCUGGCCAACUUCUCAGUUUCAUCCAGGCUAGUUUGAAUCCGAAUGCUAUUAUGUUCAAUUAUAGCAUGGGGUCCAAGAUUAAAGAUAUCACUAGCCGGCUGGAGCAACUCUGCCAAGAAAGAAUUGAACUUGGACUGCAACGGAUUACUGGAGGGGCAUCAUCAACUACUGCUGCUGCACACCAGAGGCUACCCGGUUCAAUUGUCCCAACAGAACGUGAAGUAUUUGGAAGAGAAGAAGAUAAGGCCAAAAUUCUUGAUAUGGUAUUGGCCGAUACCCUAAGUGAUCAUGCCAACUUUGCUGUAAUACCCGUUGUUGGCAUGGGCGGGAUAGGAAAAACAACUCUCGCUCGGGAGGUUUACAAUGACAAGGCCGUUGGCGGUUCCAAGUUUGAUGUAAAAGCAUGGGUUUGCGUAUCUGAUGUCUUUGAUGUUUUGGGCAUCUCAAAGGCACUUCUCGAGUCAAUCACCCGCAGGCCUUGUCUUCUAAACAGUUUAAAUGAAGUGCAGGUUGAAUUGAAAGUAGCUGUGGAUAAAAAAAGAUUCUUGCUGGUCUUAGAUGAUGUUUGGAACGAGGACUACAGCUUGUGGGUAGACUUAAAAGCUCCGUUCCUGGCUGCUGCACCAAACAGUAAGAUGAUCGUCACCACACGCAAUUCAAAUGUUGCAUCAACAAUGGGACCAAUUGAACAUUACAAUCUCAAGAGUUUGUCAGAUGAUGAUUGUUGGUCCAUUUUCAUAAAGCAUGCAUUUGAAUAUAGAGAUCUUAACGCACAUCAAAUUUCAGAAUCGUUCCGCGGGAAAGUUGUUGCCAAGUGUGGAGGCUUGGCCCUGGCAGCAAAAACACUCGGAGGCCUUCUGCAUACGACGAGGCAUGAUGCGUGGGAUGAUACGUUAGAGAGCAAAAUAUGGGAUUUACCUCAACAAAGUGGGGUUCUCCCCGUAUUAAGAUUGAGUUACCAUCAUCUUCCUUCUCAUUUGAAAAGAUGUUUUGCUUACUGUGCAAUCUUUCCAAAAGAUUAUGAAUUCAAUCAGAAGGAGCUGACUUUCUUAUGGAUGGCUGGAGGAAUUAUUCGACAGUCACGAAACAGUGAGCAGCUGGAAGAUUUGGGCAGCAAGUGCUUUCAAGAUCUAGUGUCAAGGUCUAUUUUUCAACAAACCAGCUCUGGUAGUUCUAAAUUUGUAAUGCCCUAUCUUAUCCAUGAUCUUGCUGAAUUGGUUUCUAGAGGGACCAUUUUCAAGUUAGAGGAGUCCACCAACUUGUCGUCGAGGAGAUUUGAAAGAGUUCGCCAUUCUUCCUAUGCCCGCGGUUGGCAUGACGGUAAAAAUAAGUUUGAGGUUUUCUAUGAAAUUGAACAUCUACUAACAUUCUUGCCAUCACGCAUAAGAGGUGGCACUAAUACGAGUUACAUAACUCGAACGGUUCUAUCUGAUUUGUUGCUGAAUUUCAAAAGUUUGAGGAUGUUAUCUUUACAAGGAUACUGUAUUGGUGAGUUACCAAUUUCAUUUGAAGAUUUGAGACUUUUAAGGUUUCUCAACCUUGCUUACACUGACAUAAGAAGUUAUCUGAGUCAACAUGCAAAUUGCUGAACUUGGAAAUUUUGAUAUUAAGAAAUUGUUCUCGUUUGAUAAAGCUUCCACCCAAAAUGAGGAAUUUGAUCAAUUUACGCCAUCUCGAUAUAAGAGGUGCGAAGUUGCUGAAGGAGAUGCCAUUCGGAAUGAAAGAGUUGAAGAAGCUUCAAACAUUGUCCAAUUUUAUUGUGGGCAAGGGUGAAACUGCAUCUUGUUUGGAAGAUUUAAAAUGUUUAAACUUUCUUUGUGAUAAACUUUGCAUUGCUGGAUUAGAGAAUGUUAAUAAUCCACAGAAUGCAAGAGAAGCCGCAUUAUGUGAGAAACACAAUCUUGAAGCAUUGACUCUGGAUUAGGGGUUUCAAUUUGACAAUUCCUGAGGAGUAGUAGAAGAGCAUGUACUGGAAAAUCUACAGCCUCAUAAAUGUAUAAAAAAGGUGGCGAUCCGGAACUAUGGUGGUGCAAGAUUUCCCCUUUGGAUAGGAGAUCCUUUGUUCUCCAGGAUAGAGCUCCUAAAAUUGGAGAACUGUGACAAUUGUGUAUCUUUGCCAUCGCUUGGCCUAUUGAGUUCACUUAGACGGCUUGCUGUUAAAGGGCUGAAUAAACUAAAAAGCAUAGGGUCUGAGGUUUAUGGGGAGGGUUUCUCAAUGCCUUUUCCAUCAUUGGAGAUUCUAAGUUUCGAGAAUUUGCCAGAAUGGGAGCAUUGGGACACCGAUGUCAAAGGAAAUGUGCUUGUUGAAAUAUUUCCUCGUCUCCAUCAACUUUCCAUUGUGGAAUGUCCCAAACUCUCGGGAGAACUGCCUGAGCUCCUGCCCUCCUUGGAGACACUUUUUGUUAGUAAAUGUGAAAAGUUGGUAGUUCCAUUGUCUUGCUAUCCGAUGCUCUGCAGAUUAGAAGUUGAUGAGUGCAAGGAACUAGCAUGCGGGACUCCAAUUGAUUUUAAGUUGAUAACGUCUGUGACUAUUUCAAAUAGUUCCUUAGACAUGAAUGGAUGCAAGGGGAUGCUAUACGAUGGUCCAGCUGGCUCUUCACUACCAAAGCCUAUGAUUACUACAAAUGUUUCGGAGUUUGGAAAAUUAUUGAAGCCUGGAUUUCAGAUAUUAGAAACUUUGGUAAUUGCCAAUUCUGAACAGCUCAAGUCAUGGAGGCAGAAUGGGGAUUUUCCGGAAAAAUACACGGCCCCUGAACAUAGGUUUAAGAAACCAGUACGAGGGCUGAAUAUGCUCGCUUCCCCUGAAGAGGUAACAAUUGAAGAAAGUUGCGUACGUCUUGUUUUGUUUCCAGAGAUCAAUUUCUUUCCCAGAAAUCUGCGCUCUCUUCUAAUUAACAACAACACUGCUUUCAAAUCCUUACCCGAGGAAAUGAUGGAAAACAAUUCACAACUCGAAAGGUUGUAUAUCAGAGAUUGCGACUCUCUAACAUUCAUCGCAAGACGGAGGCUACCAGCAUCUCUUAAAAGGCUUGAGAUAGAAAAUUGUGAGAAAUUGCAACGUCUGUUCGAUGAUGAAGAGGAUGCUUCUUCUUCUUCACCUUCACCCUCGUCUUCCCCAGUGAUGCUGCAACACCUGAGUAUAGAGAACUGCCCAGAGCUCACCAGUUUAUCAUCGGGUGUCCAAUUCCUUGAGGCGCUUGAAGACCUCGACAUACAGGGUUGUCCAAAGCUGGAGUCAUUACCGGAUGGCCUGCCCAAUCUUAAAUGUUUACAGAGCAUUUAUAUACGGGGAUGUCCAAGUCUUGUUUCCUUCCCAGAAAGAGGGCUUCCCAACACGAUUUCAAGGGUUGACAUUUGCAGUUGUGACAAGCUCAAAGCCUUGCCCAAUGAUUUGCACAAACUCAACUCUCUUCGAGAUUUAAGAAUACGGCUGUGUCGAAAUCUUGUAUCGUUUCCAGAAGAAGGUUUUCCUACCAAUCUAACAUCACUUACAAUUGGAAAUUUCAAAAUGUAUAAGACACUCGUCCAGUGGGGGUUGCACGGGCUUACCUCUCUUAAACGCCUCUCGAUCAGUGGAUGUCAUGAAGCAGAGUGUUUUCCAGACGAGGAGAUAGGAAUGACGCUGCCCACCUCUCUCACUCAACUGCUCCUUUAGGGAUUCGAAAAACUGAUAUCUCUGUCUUCGACGGGUUUUCAAAGCCUCAACUCUCUUCAAUACUUAUUGAUCUGGGGUUGCCCAAAUCUCACAUCAUUCCCAGAGGCGGGUCUUCCAUCCUCACUUUUGGAUUUAGGCAUUUACAAUUGUCCAAAGCUUAAAAGAGCGUGCAAAAGAGAUCAAGGAAAAGAGUGGCCCAAAAUUGCUCACAUCCCUCGCAUUGAGAUAGACAGAAAAUUCAUAUACGAUCCAGAAUCAGAGGAGUAGAUUCUAUUACAAAGGUCAGUUGAUUUCUAUUAUCCUCUAUAACAAGCUCCUCUUAAUUUUUUUUUUCUAAGUAAUAAUUUUGCAGUUCUGUAUAAUUAUUAAUCGUCUGCUCUUAAUUGAAAAUGUCACUCACUUGAUUCCGUUUUCACUAGUCAAAUUGUAUGUUGAGGCUAUUUGCUUUUUAAUUAUAACACUUAUCUUAAAAUUUAAUACCAAAUUUUUUUGAUUCACUUCAAUUAGCAUUUUGUUUUCCCCAAAUUAGGCAAGCCGAGAGCUUCAUUAACUAGAGUUUUUUAUUUUUCGGACCUUGCAUCUGAAAGGUUCAGUGUAUUUUUUUUUUUUUCAAAUUUAUUGUUCAGAUCUCAGACGAGUAUACGGUUUAGAUUACAAAACACCUAUGAUUAAUUUCUUUUUUUUUUUUUUAAUUUCAGGGAGAAGAAGUGGUCAGUUUCAAUCCGGAAUUGGAAUAUGGCAAUUUGGUUCAAGCACACACACCUGGUCACUUGGUCAGUGAACCUGAACUUUACGCAGUUUUUUCAACUCAGUGAUUUUUGGAACGCAUAUUGGUGUAAGGAAAUCAAUAGAAAUUUAUGCAUAGUCAAAUUCUGAUAUUUGCUAUAAUAUUAUACAUUCUAAAGUUUCUCCAGUUUGUUCUCAGAUUACCAUCAUUUUUUGCCUUCACCAAAAAAAAAUCGAGUGGCUUUCCAGUGGAUAUUUAAUCGGAGGUAUGACUGGAUUUUUUUCACUUCUGUAAAUCUUGCAUUUUAAACUGGCAAAUUUAACUUUAAUUUUAAUACGACUUGUUUGAGGGAAAUACUCCGACGAGACCAGACGUGAUGAGCAGAUGUUUGGUGGCAGAAGUCUGCGAGCAGGUGUGUCCUGUAAGAGCCAGGUAGCAGGGAAACAGGGGCAGAAAUAUCCUGCUCAUCCACGAGCAUGUCAUCCGCGAGGCCAAUUUCCUGUAAGAAACAUAAAGCCAUUCCUGCUGUAUUCUUGCUAAGGGUUGAUUCGAGGAGACCCGGUCAACGACAGUUGGCGAGGCAUGCUCUCCAGCCCGAGAAUCUAGGCACGAAGGCCACGCAACCACCCACGACUACGGAAAUGGGGAAUCCACGUUCGAGAGGUGGGAGGAUAACAGACGUAGACUGCGGAAAACUGGGAUUCAGAGGAAGCCUAUAAAAAGGUAGCCAACGAAGGUAAAAGGGUUAGCAAUUUUGAUUCUAAAAGAGAGAAAACAACCUAACAACCAUAAGAUUUUUGGCAAGCGUUCCCCGAACCUUCAUAUCUGACUUGAGCGUCGGAGGGUUUGCGCCGGGAAAACAACCGGCGUACUCUGACCUGUCUGUGUGCGCAGGAACCUCUGGAGAAGAAGCUUUACGAGGAGAGAUCCUGGUCGUGGUGAAGUUGAUCGAGCAGAGACCCUGGUCGUAGAACGAGGAGAACCAGAAUCUCGCAUCAACACGACUUUGUUGGUGCCUUGUGUUCCAGAAACUAGAAUGAUGUGUAGUUUUCAGAUUAAGGGGCUUGUAAAUUCUCUAGUAAGAAUCCAAUAAUUUGCUUUUGCACAUUCAUUUUAUUUGUGGAUCCUUGCAUCUGAAUUUGAUCAAUCCAAAAGGAAUUGCUUUUAGACAGAAGAAGAAUUGCAGUACCUAGCCUACGACAUAGUAAAUGGACCUGCAAACCUGUAACUAUUAGUUUGAGGUAAAAAAUUCAUGACCCUCACAUGUUAACUUCUUCUAGUUACUUUCAUCAAAAACACAUUUAAGAAAUUUGCAAUUUUUUGUUAGUUUUGUAUACCGAUGUUGUUUUCUGUUUUAGCAUUUGUAUAAUCUACUGUAUUAUAUUUUGGCGGUUGCAGUAUCUGAGGUAUCUUUUGCAUUUAACUUGCUUUAUUUGUUUUGCUUGUGACUUAAGAACACCAAUAUUUGCCAGAGAUUUAGAGAAGCAUAUCAAGAUGCUUGGCAAACUUGACAAACUUCAAGAUCCUUCAUUCUUCACGACCCAAAACUUGUGAGUACACUUAUGCCCGCAAUUAUUGUGAAACGCUUGCAAUUUUGAUGCAGCGAAAUGGUUUGUUGAUGCAAAGGUUUAAACUUUUAAGAUUUACACUGCAGGGUAGUUGGAUGCUGUAUAGUCGAACGGCCACCAACAUCAAGAACUAUAACUCCAAGACCGGGUUUGCAUUAAUUCAAUCAGCUGAAAUAAUGAUGCAAAUGACACUAUCAGCUGGACUUAGAGACCAGUCAGAUCAAUCAUCCUUUUAUCAACAGUUAAUGUCAUGAUGGUGUCUAUCGGAGGAAACAAAGGAUGUGUCGGAAUCAAUAUGAACAGUGAGAAGAAUGAGAGGAGCUUUGAUUAUAAGUAGGCUCAAUGAACUCAUGCUGGUAAGUGGUAAUUAAAGAAAUUUGUGCGCUUAGUAGCAUUCAAUAUUUUCUGUUUGGGAUAUAGUUGAUGAGUUGAUACUCUGAUUAAGAAGCCUGAUUAUAGUAGCUGACUUUUUUUUUGUGGUUUGCUGUUGUUUAUUCUUUCGAUUAAUUUCAACAUUAGGUUGAUCUGUUGAAGAACAAACUUGGGUUUGAUUAUGCUUUAACUACAAGGAAGAGCCAGACUUGGAUGCAGGCGUUCAGCUUUUAAUGGGUAAGAACAAAUGUAUGCUUUAACCAUGUUUCUCACUUAUUACAAUGCACACAUUGAAGGCAUCUGAGCUGAUCCUGAAAAUGUGAUGGAAAUACUUCUCUGUUUACAUAAAACAGACAAAUAGAGAUCUCUGAUCAUGCCUGAGAAUUCGUUGCAUUUAAAAUUUCUACCAUUGCCAAAAAUAGAAUAAACUACGGAUACAUUAGCUUAAGACUCAAUUUUGAGAAGGAAGUUUGCACAUGCAGCCUAAAAAAUCACGUCCGUGUUGUAUACUUGUAUGUUUCUUUGGGAAAUGAAAGAUUCUGUGUUCUUUUAUUUCAAGUUUGCUGAAAUCACAUUUGUUUUCUUAGAUGCUUUUGGGAAGGUAACAACAUCAAUUUCAUAAAUGCUGGGGUAAGAUGCAUCACGCAGUGCUACUCAACAUGAGAAUUCCCGGCCGCAUUACCUGUAUGUUGAGUGAUCGCACAGUACAACCUUUAGAAGCUUGUAAGGAGUAGACAACUAGAUGCGAAUAGUUUCAAUAUGGAUUCGCAUCAAAUGAUCUCUUGCCAGUGAUUACUAUAACCUCUAUCCCAAAAUUCUUGGAACUGGUCAUACCAAUAAUGAAGUAUUGUGUACGUUGAAGACGUAGCUCAAGGCCUUGCGAAAGCUCCGUCAGCCUUUGUAUUGGAAAACAGUUGGUUGUAGUUGCUUCUGAAUGAUAUUAUUAAUAGAUACUGUAAAAAUGAAGUGUGCCACUCAUUUUCAGAGCCCUGUUAAGAUGUGUUGGUAAUGUGUUUGAAGGUUGUUUGAUUUGUGUUGUAUUCAGCUAUAAAUCAAAGAUUCAGAACAUGGUUAUGUUACUGGUUUCCAAAUAAAAAAAUUGCCUUGUGAUGUUAGUGUUCAUUGUUUUCACAGGAGAUCAGGUUCCCUGUUGAUGAAUCAAGAAGGCAAACGCAUCCAUGCCUUAAGUUCAAAUGUGUCUCUUCUAUUUUCUAUUACUGACUCCUUUAUUUUGAUUUCUUCAUUGUAAUGGAAUUGGUUUUCAUUCCAAAUUAGUCAAAACCUCCUAGAGUCAUUAAGUUCUGUUAGCAUUUGAAGAUAGAACUAGAACUAAAUGAUUGACUGGAUUAAAUUCCGAUAAAGAAUUAAGUUAUGUAUUUAGAGAUAUUUUGUUUUUUUUUUCAUUUGUUCAAUUUGGUUAGUGGUGAUUUCUUAAAGACUCAAUCCAUGUGCGUUUAUGCAUUUUUCUUUUGCCUUAAUUUCUGUUUCUUGGGGAGUUUAUACAGAUUCUUAUUUUAUGCUUCACAUGCCACAUGAAAGAUCGAAGCAUUUUGUGUGAUUAGAACUGACUUGCAUCACAGUAACUUUAAACCACUGCCACAUUUUUAUAAUAACAGUCUGAGAUCUCCCUGAAGGAUUCAAAGCAUUUUAUUUUAUAUUAACCUCCUUUAAGUGGGUUUCGACACUACCACAAGUUCUUUAAAUACUAAAACGAUUUUGAGUCUUUUGUAUCAUCUGAUUGAAAUACCUGAAAGCACUCGUGGCUGCAAAAAUAUAUCGAUUUUGAGUAUGGCGUGCAUGUAAAUUAUAUCGAUUUUUUCUAUAUGACAAGUAAGACUCUCUUUUACAAUGGCACGGAUGCGUCAUUGAGUAAUCAUGAUUCUUGCUGGUAGUGCUUUGUUGUAUCAAUCUGCUAGCUAUUCAGCUUUCUUUCUUUCUUUCUUCUUUUUUUUUUUUUUUUUUUGUUUUCAAAUAGCUUGUGGUUGUAGAAAUAUUUCAAUUAAACUAUACUUAAGUACUUAUUUAGUAUAACUUCUUUACUAGCCAAAAUAAUUUUUUUUUGGUUUUUUAUAAUUUAAUUAUACUUUAACUAGAGUUUUUGGGAUUAAACAAGUGAUAAUUUCUCUCUAUUAAGAAAAACUCAAAAUUUUUUAAUUACUAGAAUGCGUCUAAAUUAAAUUACAAUUAUAGACACUAAAAUAUAGUAAAUUUUUUUUUUUACUCUUUAAAACUGUCUUUACAUUCGAUAUCAUAUUUUUUUCUUAAAAUCUAAAUUGAUAUUUUUAUUUUAUUUUUGAUUAAUCUUAGAACACAUAUAAAGUGAUUCAUAUUGAUUUUAUACUAACAAACUAUCAUAGCACAUUCGAAAAUAAUUAACUCGUUCUUAUUUGCAUAGUGAAAAAGGCAAAUAGCUCACCCAAAUGUUAAGGAACUGGAGAGCUGCUGCUGGAGACGAAAGGAUGUGAAAAGCAUGGUAAAGAAAAAUUGCAUAAUUCUCACUUAGAAGAGGAAGAAAAAAAAAAUACAAUUAGAAUGAGAGGUAGCCAGUAGCCAGUAGCCGCCACCACCACCAGUCAAACUAUUUCGACACACUAAUACUGUAAUACAUAUCAAAAUGCAAUAUCGGUCCUAACAAAAUGAAAAUAAAAAUUCAUUACGAAUAUGUGUUAAAGAUAUCCCAAGUAUUGAUGUGAUUGAAAUAUUUGAGAUUGAAGUAGAAAUAAGACUCAAAAUCAAUUGAGAGGAAUAAAUGAGAAACUCUAAUACUAAUAAAAUAUAUUCACAAAUCCUAAUGCUAAUUAAAAUCACGGAUUAAAAAAAAUAAUAUGAAUGAAUUACAGGCGCAACUGUUUCAUUAAAAAAUUAAUAAAAUCGUGUAUUAAUAUUUUGUACACAUACAUUUUUCCAUAUAUAACUUUUGGUAAUUUAGUUUUCCACUUAUCAUUUUUACUCCAAAAAAAUAAUUGAGAAUAUUAUUUAUGUUUUGGUGCAAAAUAUUUAAACAACAUAAAAAUUUUCAGUUUAAUAAAUCUAAACAAUUCUCAAGUUAUAAAUGAAUUUAAUGGGUUUAAUUAGUAAAAAUACUAUUAUUUUAUAAAUUGGGUUUAGUAAUGGUAUAUUGGGUAUUUAAAUGGGUUUGUUGAGUAAAUUUUAAAAUUUUAAAGUUCAAGGGUAGGUUUAUUUAGUAAAUGGGUUAAUGCAGCAAUUUUCAAACUAAAUUUUUGGAAAAAGAGGCUAUUGAGUUUUUUUUAAGAAAAAGAAUUAAAAUGUUGAGAAUACCUUUAUUUAAUUUUAUAAUCUAAUUUUAAAAAAUUUACCCAAUAAAUUUUAUAAUUUUUUAUAAAAAUUAUCAUUAACAUCCAAACAGCUGAAGAUUAAAAAAAAAAAAAGAAGGGAACUGUACUAGCAAAAGUUAGAUUAACAAUAAAUUUAGUCCAAAGAAUAAAGUUAUAGCUAAAAAGUGCUCCUAUCCUAUUUUUCUCUAUUUUAACAAUAAUCUUCCAAUCCAUUUUACAAUGGACUUAACAAAUGGGCUCAAUCUCUAAACUUCAUUUUCUUUUGCUAACCCAUGGCCAUUAGCCAGAAAGCCUAAAACAAUUUUAGGAUCACAUGUGUAAAUGGAACCCCAAGAUUGAUCAAGAAUUAACAAGACAAGAUGAAGAGAUGAUCUUGUAACUAAGAAUGAAGAAAUUGAAUCAAGACAGUACUCUAGUAAAACCCAGAAAACAGAGCUUGAAGAAUCACGCACAAAGCAGUAAAUUUGUAAAACCAGAAUUGGAGCUUCACUUCUCAAGAUAGACGAAACAGGAUACAAUCUAGCUUUGGUCAACUUCGUUUGGCCACGUCAUAAAGUCUUCCCCCACAGUCUUUCCCGCCAAAACAGAAAAGCUUUAAAAGCCAUUUACCCUCCUGAGUUACUUGCUCCUAUUACAUCAAGGCCCUGUAAGUCUAUAUUUAUUAUUACAAAAGCACCCUUAAACCGAGAUUUGAGAUAUUUUUUCAAAGAUCGAAGCGCAUGAUUUCACGGCUAUGUUGCAUAGUGAAUUUUAGUGCUUUACAGUUAAGGGAUAGUUUAAAUUCAUUACAAAGCAUUCGCAAAGAAAUUGUUUUUAAAUGAAACUCCUCGUCUUGACCAGAUUAUUUAUUAUUAUUAAAAAAAAAAUGUUCAAAACUUAGCCAAAGUGAUAAACUCGUAAUUAUUCUACAAAGGGAACAAUUUUGAACGGUGGGAAAUUCCAUAAUUAUGCUUUUCUGUGAAUUAUUUUAAAUAAAAUUAUAAAAAUUAAUAUAAAAUUAUAAUAAUGAUAGAGCCACAAACUCUUGUACAAAUUUAUUUUAUACAAACUCAUGUGGCAUGAUAAGAUUGGUUGAAUUAAAUAUUACUUGGCCCACAUGAUUUGUUUUUAUUAUUUUAUAUUUUUAUUCAACCAAUAAAUUAAUACCACGUCAGUUUGUACAAAAUAAAUUUAUACAAAAAUUUGUGACUCGAUCAUCACUCAUAAAAUUAAUACCCGGUAAAGACUGUAGAGAGACAAGUGCCCCCAACAGAAUCAAGUGAAUAUGCCCCACAAAGAUCACAUGAUCAUUUCUGUUCUUUUUCUUUUUGAUAAUUUUAUCUGUGGUUUCAACUUUUAUGCUUUAUUGUCGUAUCCCGUUGAGGGCUCCGCUGCACCCAUUACAACUUACCCCUAAAUUGCCUCUUACUAACUAAACCGUUAGAUUUUAUGGAAGCACGUUCAAUGUUGAAUUUUAAUUAUGUCAUCGAAUUUCGUUUAGCUCCUUAAACUCCAUUUUAUUUGUAAUUUCUUCAUAAAAUAUUCAAAGCUUCAUCAAGCUCCUGAUGGACCAUCAUGGCUAGGGGUGCAUUAGAGCCGAACUGAAAUAUGUUAGUUCAGUUCAGUUUGGUCAGUUUAAAUCGAAUGGUUUAGAAUAUAUAAACUGAUCAAUUUUAAUUUUGAAUUGAACCGAACCGAAAAUCAAUUGGUUCACUAUUAGUAUUUUUGUAUAAACAAGAAUGAUUAGUGAUUAUAAUUAAAUUGGACUAAAAAAAAUUCAAACUAAGGUGAAAAAUAUCAAAUCUUAGACAAUAUAAAAAAAAAUAUUAAAUUUUUUUAACCGAAACGAACCGAAUUAUUUUGACUCAGUUUGGUUCAUAAUUUUUUAAACCAAACUGAUUUAUUCCCACCCCCUAAUCGUGGCUCUCUAUCUUUAGUCAUUCACCCUUGAGUUUGAUGCCAAUUGUUGGGUUUCAAAUGAUUAUACACUCAAAUGGAACCCUCAUAACAAAAAACUAACAGAAACAAUAAGAACACGAUGUUAAAAUCUUAAAUCAAUCGCAAAAAAGCACCCAAAACAGAUCGAUUAGGAACAGUUAAGAACAAAAGAUUUGAUGGUUCAAAAUCAUAAUGUGACCUACGUACUUUCAUCCAAGAAUCAUACUAAUUGCUUUACUAGUUGUCAAACUCAAGAUCACAAGAUUGUUUAUCACUCUACAUAAAAAUUUUUUUUAGAAGAAAUACUCCCCAAUUUUUCUCUUAAUAGUUAUGAAUCAACACCCCUAGGAAGCCUGUUGAUUUACUUUUCCUUAUUUCCUAUGAUCGGUUGCUGCAACUUAAUCCUUGCCAAGCUCCAACAUAGUCCAAACACUUUUAACGGUACAGGCAUAGUGCACCUUCAGAAACUUUACAGCUCCUCUUAAAACCUCAGGCAUCGUAAGCACAUUAAGCAGCCGACAACACUCUUCUUCAUUUCUUCAUUGUCAAUUUCCUUCUUGGAACAUUGCUCCAUUGAGAGUCUGCUAGAAUUGCUCCAAUUAUUAUUAUUAUUUAAAAAAAAAAGAAAACCCUGCAAUAAGAGUAUAAGACUAAGCAACGGUCCUUUUUUUUUCCCCAUUCUUGAACCUAAAGUAUUUGAGUAUGCAAAUUAAUAAAUAAAUUCAUUUAUUUUUAUUAAAAUUUUGUAAAAUUAUAAUUUUUAAUAAAAAUAAUUAUUAAAAUUUUGUAAAAUCUAAAUUUAGAAAAAUUCAGUUGGGCACCUCUAUUUGAGAUUUAUUUUUUAUUAAAUUUAGGGAUAUUUUUAUAAUUAUAAUUUUUAAUUUUAAAAGUUUUUAUAAGAUAAAAUAGUCUUUUAAUUUAUUUAGGGGGUAAAAUUGGUGUUUUAUUAAAAUUAUUUAAUUGUGUUAAUGCAAAAGUGGCUAUUUGAUACAAAUGUGAAAAGAAAGGUGGUGCAAAAUAUAUGUUAAAAUUUUAUAUUGGUUGGAUGAACAUAAGCUAAAAUAAAGGUGGUGCAAUGAUAAUUUCCCUAUCCUAAAACUUAAUUGACUUAAUUCUUACGGUGCAAGGAAGAGGUUUCCAAGUUUAAAUCUAAAGGCUUGUAUUUAAUUUGGGGUUGGGAAAGCACUGAGAAAUAAAUGUAACUAAGGAAAAAAAAAAAGUCACGCAGUCCAAAUAAGUAGAUAUAUUUAAUAUGAGGUGGGGAUGGGUGAACUGUAAUUCAGAAAAAAAUAAAAUAAAAUUUUAUAUAAAGUUGAGGGUGUGUUUUAAUGGUUUCUUAUGCUGCGUUUAUUUUUUGGACUAGAGUGAGAAUUCUAAAAAGUGAGAAUCCUAUGAUUAGGUGUGUGGAGUGGGAGUGGGAGUAUGGUAUUUACUUAGACUAAAUAAAAGUAUGGAUUGUCAAUCAGAAUCUCAAUUAUUUGUUACUUUGUCUUGGAUUGAGAGUAAAUUAUUUUAAAUUACAAUUUUAUCCUUAUGUAAAGAAUUAUAAUUUGUAAUUAAAAAAUUAAUAAAAAUAUAUUGGAAAAUAAAAUAAAUAUUUUAUUAUAUUUAUAAAAUAAUAAUAAUUAAUAAAAUUCUUAAUUAUGUAAAUCAUAAUUUUUUAUUAAUUUAAAUUUAAAUUAUGUGAAUAAAAUUAUUAAUAAUAGCAACACAAAUGAAACAUUAUUAUUAAUAAUAUAGUAUAAAAUUAAUAUUUUUUUAGAAUAAAAUAUUUAUUAUUAUUAAAUAAAUAAAUAAUAUUUAUUAAAAUUAAUGUUUAAUAUUAUUAAUUUAAAUAUAAUAUUUAUUUAUUUUUAUUUUAUUUUAUUAAAUUUAAUAAAAUAAAUAUGUUAUAAUUAUUAUUUUUAAUAAAUAUGAUAUUAUUUAUUUUAUUAAAUAUUAUUUAUUUAUUUUAAUUAUGAGGGUAAAAAUGGAAGAGGGGGAGUGGAUUCCCACUCCCACCUCCCCCCAUGGGAGUGGGAAUCCCACUCUCCCCUUAAAAAUGGUAAGUAAAUAUUAGAAUGGGAAGAAUCUACACUCUACACUUUCUAGAAAAUAAACACUACCUUUAUUUAAAUCGAUUUGUUGGAUAUUUAGCUAAAAUGAGAGUAGCUCUCUAAUAAUUAUUGCAUUAUUACAAACAUAUCCAACGGUUAUAAUAGCGCGCUGAAUCAAUGCUUCAGAAGGAUGACAGUCUGAGUGAAAAGGAAAUAAACGCUUUCAAUUGAAUUACUACCACUACACUCCAAUACUCUAUUAUUGUUUGUGUGCUUGCUUGUGGACCUUUUUACUUCUUACUAUCAUUAUUGAAUUCCAUUUCCAAAUUUUCAGCAUACUUUUGCUUUCUUUCAGUAUCUUCAGUUUCUCUUUUGCUUGCUAUCAAUUCAGUUUUCUUCUUGUGAAGAUCGAACGGAACCAUGGUUGCUGUGGGAGAGAUCUUACUCAACGCCUUCUUUCAGGUGUUGUUUGACAGGUUGGCUUCCCGUGAUUUGCUCAGCUUUGUCCGUCAACUUGGAGGCGGGGACGAUUCCGAGCUCAAGAAGUGGGAAAGAAAGCUGAAGAUGAUUCAGGCGGUGCUCAACGAUGCAGAGGAGAAGCAACUGACCGACGAGGCCGUGAAGAUGUGGCUGGACGAUCUCCAAGACUUGGCUUAUGACGCUGAGGACAUUCUUGAGGAGUUUGCUACUCAAGCUUUGGAAAGCAAGUUGAUGGCGAAAAAUCAGGAUCGCAUUGGCCAGGUUCUUAGUUUCAUACCGGCUAGUUUGAAUCCGAAUGCUAUUAUGUCCAAUUAUAGCAUGGGAUCCAAGAUUAAAGAUAUUACUAGCCGGUUGGAGCAACUCUGCCAAGAUAGAAUUGAACUUGGGCUGCAACGGAUUGCUGGAGGGGCAUCAUCAACUACUUCUGCUGCACAUCAGAGGCGAGACAGUUCGAGUGUCCCAACAGAACGUGAAGUAUUUGGAAGAGAAGAAGAUAAGGCCAAAAUUCUUGAUAUGGUAUUGACCGAUACCCCAAGUGAUCGUGCCAACUUUGUUGUAAUACCCAUUGUUGGCAUGGGCGGGAUAGGAAAAACAACUCUUGCCCGGGAGGUCUACAAUGACAAGGCCGUUGAAGAUUCCAAGUUUGAUGUAAAAGCAUGGGUUUGUGUCUCUGAUGUCUUUGAUAUUUUGGGCAUCUCAAAGGCACUUCUCCAGUCAAUCACCUCCGCAGCUAGUGAUCUCAAGACUUUAAAUGAGGUGCAGGUUCAACUGAAAAAAGCAGUUGACGGAAAAAGAUUCUUGCUGGUCUUAGAUGAUGUUUGGAACGAGAACUACAACUUGUGGGAAGACUUAAAAGCUCCGUUCCUGGAUGCUGCACCAAACAGCAAGAUGAUCGUCACCACACGCAAUUCAAGUGUUGCAUCAACAAUGAGACCCAUUGAACAUUUCAAUCUCAAGAGUCUGUUGGAUGACGAUUGCUGGUCCAUUUUUAUAAAGCAUGCAGUUGAAGGUGGAGAUCUUAACGAGGAUCAAAUUUCAGAAUCAUUCCGCAAGAAAGUUGUUGGCAAGUGUGGAGGCUUGCCUCUGGCAGCAAAAACUCUCGGGGGCCUUCUGCGUACGACGAGGCAUGAUGGGUGGGAUGGUAUAUUGGAUAGCAAAAUAUGGGAAUUACAUCAACAUAGCAGCAUUCUCCCUGUGUUAAGAUUGAGUUACCAUCAUCUUCCGUCUCAUUUGAAAAGAUGUUUUGCUUUUUGUGCCAUCUUUCCAAAAGAUUAUGAAUUCACUGAGAAGGAGCUGACUUUCUUAUGGAUGGCUGGAGGUAUUAUUCGACAGUCAAGAAACAAUGAGCAGCUGGAAGAUUUGGGCAGCAAGUGCUUUGGUGAUCUAGUGUCAAGGUCAAUUUUUCAACAAACAGCAAUCUCUGAUAGUUCUAAAUUUGUAAUGCACGACCUUAUCCAUGAUCUUGCUGAAUUGGUCUCUGGAGGAACCAUAUUUAGGUCAGAGGAGGCCAAUACUCUAUCAAGAAGAUUUGAAAGGGUUCGCCAUUCUUCCUAUACCCGUGAUUGGUAUGAUGGUAAAAAUAAGUUCGAGGUUUUCAAUGAAAUUGAACAUCUACGAACAUUCUUGCCGUUAAGAGGUAACUAUUGUACUAGUUACAUAACUCGACCGAUUCUAUCUGAUAUGCUGCCAAAGUUCAAAAGGUUGAGAACGCUAUCUUUACAAGGAUACUGUAUUGGUGAGUUACCAAUUCCAUUUGAAGAUUUGAGACUUUUAAGGUUCCUCAACCUUGCUGACACUGACAUAAGAAGUUUACCUGACUCAACAUGCAAAUUGCUGAACUUGGAAAUUCUGAUAUUAAGAAAUUGUUCCCGUUUGAUAAAGCUUCCGCAGAAAAUGAGGAAUUUGAUCAAUUUAUGCCAUCUGGAUAUAAGAGGUGCGAAGUUGCUGAAGGAGAUGCCAGUCGGAAUGAAAGAGCUGAAGAAGCUUCAAACAUUGUCCAAUUUUAUUGUAGGCAAGGGUGAAUCCGCAUCUGGUUUGGAAGAUUUAAAAAGUUUAAACCUUCUUUGUGAUGAACUUUGCAUUGCUGGAUUAGAGAAUGUGAAUAAUCCACAGAAUGCAAGAGAAGCCGCAUUAUGUGAGAAGCACAAUCUUGAAGCAUUGACUCUAACAUGGUGGCCUCAAUUUGACAGUCCUCGAGGUGUAGUAGUGGAAGAGAAUGUACUUGACGUUUUGCAGCCUCAUAAAUGUAUAAAAAAGGUGGCAAUCAGGAACUAUGGUGGUGCAAGAUUUCCACCUUGGAUAGGAGAUACUUUAUUCUCCAAGAUAGAGCUCCUUGAAUUGAAGAACUGUGACAAUUGUGUGUCUUUGCCAUCGCUUGGCCUAUUGAGUUCACUUAAACACCUUGCUGUUAAAGGGCUGAAGAAACUAAAAAGCAUAGAGUCUGAGGUUUAUGGGGAGGGUUUGUCAAUGCCUUUUCCAUCGUUGGAGGUUCUAAGUUUUGAGAAUUUGCCUGAAUGGGAGUAUUGGGACACCAAUAUCAGAGGAAAUGUGCUCGUUGAAAUGUUUCCUCGUCUCCAUAAACUUUCCAUUGUGGAAUGUCCAAAACUCUCUGGGGAACUGCCUGAGCUCCUGCCCUCCUUGGAGACACUUGUUGUUAUUAAAUGUGAAAAUUUGGUAGUUCCAUUGUCUCGCUAUCCGAUGCUCUGCAGAUUAGAAGUUGAUGAGUGCAAGGAACUAGCGUGCGGGACUCCAAUUGAUUUCAAGUUGAUAAAGUCUGUGACUAUUUCAAAUAGUUCCUUAGACAUGGAUGGAUGCAAGGGGAUGCUAUACGAUGGUCCAGCUAGCUCUUCACUGCCAAAGCCCACGAUUACUACAAAUGUUUUGGAGUUUGGAAAAUUAUUGAAGCCUGGAUUUCAGAUAUUAGAAACGUUGGUAAUUGGCAAUUCUGAACAGCUCAAGUCAUGGAGGCAGCAUGGGGAUUUUCUAGAAGAAUAUAUGGUCGCUCGCCAAAGGUUUAAGAAACCAGUACAAGGGCUGAAUAUGCUCGCUUCCCCUGAAGAGGUAACAAUUGAAGAAAGUUGCGUACGUCUUGUUUUGUUUCCAGAGAUCAAUUUCUUUCCCAGAAAUCUGCGCUCUCUUCUAAUUAACAACAACACUGCUUUCAAAUCCUUACCCGAGGAAAUGAUGGAAAACAAUUCACAACUCGAAAGGUUGUAUAUCAGAGAUUGCGACUCUCUAACAUUCAUCGCAAGACGGAGGCUACCAGCAUCUCUUAAAAGGCUUGAGAUAGAAAAUUGUGAGAAAUUGCAACGUCUGUUCGAUGAUGAAGAGGAUGCUUCUUCUUCUUCUUCUCCUUCAUCCUCGUCUUCCCCAGUGAUGCUGCAACGCCUGAAUAUAAAGAACUGCCCAGAGCUCACCAGUUUAUCAUCGGGUGUCCAAUUCCUUGAGGCGCUUGAAGGCCUCGAGAUAUGGGAUUGUCCAAAGCUGGAGUCAAUACCGGAUGGCCUGCACAAUCUUAAAUGUUUACAGAGCAUUCAUAUAGAUGGAUGUCCAAGUCUUGUUUCCUUGCCCAAUGACAUGCACAAACUGAACUCUCUUCGAGAUUUAAACAUACGGGCGUGUCCAAUAUCGUUUCCAGAAGAAGGUUGUCCUACCAAUCUAACAUCACUUACACUUGGAUAUGUCGAAAUGUAUAAGACACUCGUCCAGUGGGGGUUGCACAGGCUUACCUCUCUUAGAAGCCUCGACAUUUUUGGAUGUGAUGAUGAAGCAGAGUGUUUUCCAGACGAGGAGAUAGGAAUGACGCUGCCCACCUCUCUCACUCAUCUGCACCUUUUUGAUUUCGAAAAAUUGAGAUCUCUGUCUUCGACGGGUUUUCAGAGCCUCACCUCUCUUCAAUCUUUGGAUAUCUGGUUUUGCCCAAAUCUCACAUCAUUCCCAAAGGUGGGCUUUCCAUCCUCACUUGUGGAAUUACGCAUUAGAGAUUGUCCAAAGCUUAAAAAAGCGUGCAAAAGAGAUCAAGGAAAAGAGUGGCCCAAAAUUGCUCACAUCCCUUGCGUUGAGAUAGACGAUAAAUUCAUAUACCAUCCAAAAUCAGAGGUGUAGAGUGUAUUAUUAAGGUCAGUUGAUUUAUGUUAUCCACCAUAACAAGCUCCUCCUUUUUUUUUAAAUAAUAAUUUUGCAGUCACUCGCGUGAUUCCGUUUUCACAAGUCAGAUUGUAUGUUGAGGCUAUUUGCCUUUUAAUCGCAGAUUAAAUUAUAACACUUAUCUUAAAAUUUAAUACCAUAGACAGAUAGACGAUUUUUUAAUCCAAAGUUUUUUUAUUCACUUCAGUUAGCAUUUUUUUUUUCCCCAAAUCAUGCAAGCCGAGAGUUUCAAUCAACAGAAUUUUAUUCACUCAUUGACUUUUCAACUGCUGUGGUUAUUUAUGGGUGAAAGAUAAAUUUCUUAGAUGGUAGAUAUAUCGACAUUUUAGAUUUCAGAUAUUUGUCACCAAUUUCAUUCCUUUUUUUAAAAUUUUUUUUAAGCAAGUUUGACUAAUUUUAACCAGAAUUGGAGUAUAAUAUUUUGGAGCAAGCAUACUUGAAAUUUCUGUCUUCAAUUUUUUUGAUGCUUUUUUAAUUUUGAUCUAGUAAAAAUACAUAGCCUUCACCGGCAGGAUUCUAGUCUUGGCUUUCACCUCUCUAACUCAUCUGUCCCUAUUGGGAUUCCAGAAAUUUAAAUUUCUGUCUUCAAUGGGUUUUCAAAGCCUCACCUCUCUUCGAUUUUUGUGGAUUGGGAAUUGCACAAAUCUCACAUCAUUUCCCGAGGUCGAGGAAAAGAGCGGCCCAAACUAUCAGCGGUGUUGAUUCUCUUAUUAAGGUCAGCUGAUUUCUAUUAUCCACUCUGACAAUCUCCUAUUAGUGUUUUUUUUUUAAAAAAUUUGCAGUUCUGUAUAAUUGAAAUGCCACUCACUUGUUUCCUUCUUCACAGGUCAGAUAGUAUGUUAAAGCUAUUAGUGCUGCCUCAUAGGUUGAUUACUCACAGAUGAAAUCAUAACUUUUAUCUUAAAAUUUAAUAGCAUACACAGAUAGACGAUUUUUAGUCCAAAGUUUUUUUUAUUCACUUCAAUCAAAAUUUUAGAUUGCAGAUUUUUGUCGAGUAUUUUCAUUCCAAUUUUUUCAUUUUUUAUUUUAAACCAGAAUUGGAGUAUAAAAUUUUGGAGCGCGCAUACUCUGAUGCAUGCAAUUAACUGUUUUUAAUCGUUGGAUUUUGAAAUUAAUGAUGGUAAGAUGUGUACUUAUUCUUUCUUCCAACAACCUUGCCUUCUUUCUUCGGUCGCAUAUCUAAUGAAUAUUUCUCUGUUUAGUUAAGGAUGAAUGCUUGGAGUGGGGUACUUGGUAACAUUUCUGCCUUAGAUGAAUCCUUGAAGAAAUGCCCGCAGUUCCUGAGACCAAAUACAGGUCUGAUUCAAAACAGCACCUUUCCCAGAAAAUAUGAUCCAAGGCAAAGUCAUGUUCUGAUAAUGUUUCCUUAAGUACUAAGUUGCAAGGAAACUUGAUUCAUUAACUACAGUUUUUUAUUUUUAGGACCUUGUAUCUGAAAGGUUCAGUGUUUUUUUUUUUCAAAUUUAUUGUUCAGAUCUCAGAGGAGUAUAUGGUUUAGAUUACAAAACACCCAUGAUUAAUUUCAUUUUUUUUUUAAUUUCAGGGAGAAGAAGUGGUCAGUUUCAAUCCGGAAUUGGAAUAUGGCAAUUUGGUUCAAGCAAACACACCUGGUCACUUGGUCAGUGGUCACUUGGUCAGCGAACCUGAACUUUACGCAGUUUUUUCAACUCAGUGAUUUUUGGAACGCAUAUUGGUGUAAGGAAAUCAAAAGAAAUUUAUGCAUUGUCAAAUUCUGAUAUUUGCUAUAUAUUAUACAUUCUAAAGUUUCUCCAGUUUGUUCUCAGAUUACCAUCAUUUUUUGCUUUCACCAACCAAACAAAAACAAAAUGAGUGGCUUUCCGGUGGAUAUUUAAUCGGAGGUAUGACUGGAUUUUUUUCACUUCUGUAAAUCUUGCAUUUUAAACUGGCAAAUUUAACUUUAAUUUUAAUAGGACUUUGUUGGUACCUUGUGUUCCAGAAACUAGAAAGAUGUGUAGUUUUCAGAUAAAGGGGCUUGUAAAUUCUCUAGUAAGAAUCCAAUAAUUUGCUUUUGCACGUUCAUUUUAUUUGUGGAUCCUUGCAUCUGAAUUUGAUCAAUCCAAAAGGAAUUGCUUUUAGACAGAAGAAGAAUAGCAGUACCUAGCCUAUGACAUAGUAUAUGGACCUGCAAACCUGAAACUAUUAGUUUGAGGUAAAAAAUUCAUGACCCUCACAUGUUAACUUCUUCUAGUUACUUUCAUGAAAAACACAUUUAAGAAAUUUGCAAUUUUUUGUUAGUUUCGUAUCCGAUGUUGUUUUCUGUUUUAGCAUUUGUAGAAUCUACUGUAUUAUAUUUUGGCAGUUGCAGUAUCUGAGGUAUGUUUUGCAUUUAACUUGCUUUGUUUGUUUUGCUUGUGACUUAAGAACACCAAUAUUUGCCAGAGAUUUAGAGAAGCAUAUCAAGAUGCUUGGCAAACUUGACAAACUUCAAGAUCCUCCAUUCUUCACAACGCAAAACUUGUGAGUACACCUAUGCCCGCAAUUAUUGUGAAAUGCUUGCAAUUUUGAUGCACUGAAAUGGUUUGUUGAUGCAAAGGUUUAAACUUUUAAGAUUCACCCUGCAGGGUAGUUGGAUGCUGUAUAAUCGAAAAGCGACCAACAUCAAGAAUUAUGACUCCAAGACCGGGUUUGCAUUAAUUCAAUCAGCUGAAAUCAUGAUGCAAAUGACACUAUCAGCUGGACUUAGAGACCAGUCAGAUCAAUCAUCCUUUUAUCAACAGUUAAUGUCAUGAUGGUGGCUAUCGGAGGAAACAAAGGAUGUGUCGGAAUCAAUAUGAACAGUGAGAAGAAUGAGAGGAGCUUUGAUUACAAGUAGGCUCAAUGAACUCAUGCUGGUAAGUGGUAAUUAAAGAAAUUUGUACGCUUAGUAGAGUUUCAAUAUUUUCUGUUUGGGAUAUAGUUGAUAAUUUGAUACUCUGAUUAAGAAGCCUGAUUAUAGUAGCUGACUUUUUUUUUGUGGUUUGCUGUUGUUUAUUCUUUCGAUUAAUUUCAACAUUAGGUUGAUCUGUUGAAGAACAAACUUGGGUUUGAUUAUGCUUUAACUACAAGGAAGAGCCAGGCUUGGAUGCAGGCGUUCAGCUUUUAAUGGGUAAGAACAUAUGUAUGCUUUAACCAUGUUUCUCACUUAUUACAAUGCAUGCAUUGAAGGCAUCUGAGCUGAUCCUGAAAAUGUGAUGGAAAUACUUCUCUGUUUACAUAAAACAGGACAAGAGAUCUCUGAUCAUGCCUGAGAAUUCGUUGCAUUUAAAAUUUCUACCAUUGCCAAAAAUAGAAUAAACUAGGGAUAGAUUAGCUUAAGACUCAAUUUUGAGAAGGAAGUUUGCACAUGCAGCCUAAAAAAUCAUGUCCGUGUUGUAUACUUGUAUGUUUCUUUGGGAAAUGAAAGAUUCUGUGUGUUCUUUUGUUUCAAGUUUGCUGAAAUCACAUUUGUUUUCUUAGAUGCUUUUGGGAAGGUAACAACAUCAAUUUCAUAAAUGCUGGGGUAAGAUGCAUCACGCAGUGCUACUCAACAUGAGAAUUCCCGGCCGCAUUACCUGUAUGUUGAGUGAUCGCACAGUACAACCUUUAGAAGCUUGUAAGGAGUAGACAACUAGAUGCGAAUAGUUUCAAUAUGGAUUCGCAUCAAAUGAUCUCUUGCCAGUGAUUACUAUAACCCCUAUCCCAAAAUUCUUGGCAUUGGUCAUACCAAUAAUGAAGUAUUGUGUACGUUGAAGACAUAGCUCAAGGCCUUGCGAAAGCUCCGUCAGCCUUUGUAUUGGAAAACAGUUGGUUGUAGUUGCUUCUGAGUGAUAUUAUUAAUAGAUACUGUAAAAAUGAACUGUGCCACUCAUUUUCAGAGCCCUGUUAAGAUGUGUUGGUAAUGUGUUUGAAGGUUGUUUGAUUUAUGUUGUAUUCAGCUACAAAUCAAAGAUUCAGAACAUGGUUAUGUUACUGGUUUCCAAAUCAAAAAAAUGCCUUGUGAUGUUAGUGUUCAUUUUUUUCACAGGAGAUCAGGUUCCCUGUUGAUGAAUCAAGAAGGCAAACGCAUCCAUGUCUUAAGUUCAAAUGUGUCUCUUCUAUUUUCUAUUACUGACUCCUUUAUUUUGAUUUCUUCAUUGUAAUGGAAUUGGUUUUUUAUUCCAAAUUAGUCAAAACCUCCUAGAGUCAUUAAGUUCUGUUAGCAUUUGAAGAUAGAACUAGAACUAAAUGAUUGACUGGAUUAAAUUCCGAUAAAGAAUUAAGUUAUAUAUUUAGAGAUAUUAUGUUUUUUUUUUUUUCAUUUGUUCAAUUUGGUUAGUGGUGAUUUCUUAAAGACUCAAUCCAUGUGCGUUUAUGCAUUUUUCUUUUGCCUUAAUUUCUGUUUCUUGGGGAGUUUAUACAGAUUCUUAUUUUAUGCUUCACAUGCCACAUGAAAGAUCGAAGCCUUUUGUGUGAUUAGAACUGACUUGCAUCACAGUAACUUUAAAUCACUGCGACAUUUUUAUAAUAACAGUCUGAGAUCUCCCUGCAGGAUUCAAAGCAUUUUAUUUUAUAUUAAACUCCUUUACGUGGGUUUGGACACUACCACAAGUUCUUUAAAUACUAAAACGAUUUUAAGUCUUUUGUAUCAUCUGAUUUAAAUACAUGAAAGCACUCGUGGCUGCAAAAAUACAGUUGGGGCUAUUUCUAAAGUCUUCAACAGCAUUUUCUUUUUAACCUUUAUCCUCAUGGUUGUUUUUGCAGUUGUUCUUUAAGAAAACAUUUAAAAGGUUCUCUUUAUGGAUUUUUGAAAAUAAUUUUAACAUGAGCAAUUUUCAGAAGCACUUUAGAUGUCUGGCAUUUAGGAAAUUUUAUUUCGGUGUCACAUAAAAUACUUAGGAAGUUAAAUUUAUUUAUUUAUGAGCAUGUGCCAGUGCCCAGUGGCAUCCUCUUCACUUGUGAUAGUCAAAUGUAUUAUACGAUACAAUAUUAGCUUGACUGUAGCACAGAGGAGAAUAGGGUUGGUGUUGGUCUGAACCAGCUUAUGUAACAGCUGCCAAAGGAUAAUUUAAUUGUACUUUGAGUAAAGCUUUUGCGAAUUAAACAAGUGAUAAUUUGUUUUUAUUAAGAAAAACUUAAGGAAUUAGGCUAUUUUAACUGACCAAAUUACACAUUAAAAAUUCAUUUACAAAAAUAGUUUUUAGUUAUUAAAAUAUUCCUAAAUUAAAUUAUAAUUAUGGACACUAAAAUAUUUUUUUUAUAUUUUACUCUUUGAAACUGUCUUUAUAUUCGAUAUUAUAUUUUUUUCUUAAACUCUAAAUUGAUUUUUUUUUUUGAUUAAUUUUAAAACACCUAUAAAGUGAUUCAUAUUGAUUUUAUACUAACAAACUAUUAUAGCACAUUCGAAAAAUAAUUAAAUCGUUCUUAUUUACAUAGUGAAAAUGCAAAUAGCUCGUUCAAAUGUUAAGGAAUUGGAGAGCUGCUGCUGGAGAUGAAAGAUGUGAAUUAAACAUCAGAAAAAAAAUUAUGUUUACUAUCUUGCCAGACCAAGCACCGAAAAGCAUCGUAAAGAAAAAUUAGAUAAUUUAGAAGAUAAAGCACGUGGAAUGGAGGCAGAAAGCAAGUAAUGAUAACUCUUUCGACAAACUAAUAUAUACCAAAAUGCAAUAUCAAAAAUGAAAAUAAAAAUUCAUUACGAAUACGUGUUAAAGAUAUCCCAAGUAUAGAUGUGACUGAAAUAUUUGAGAUUGAAGAAGAAUUAAGACUCAAAAUCAAUUGGGAGGAAUAAAUGAGAAACCUCAAUACCAAAAAAUACACGCGCAAAUCCUAAUACUAAUUGUAAUUGCAGAUAAAUAGCAUAAUACGAAUAAAUUCCAUGGGCAACUAUUUCAUUGAGAAAUUAAUUAAAUCGUGUAUUAAUAUUUUGUAUACAUAUAUUUUUCUAUAUAUGACUUUCGGUAAUUUAAUUUUCCACUUAUCAUUUUUACUCCAAAAAAAUAAUUGAGAAUAUUAUUUAUGUUUUGGUGCAAAAUAUUUGAACAAUAUACAAAUUUUCAGUUUAAUAAAUCUAAACAUCUAUUAAGUUAUAAAUGAAUUUAAUGGGUUUAAUUAAUAAAAUUACUAUUAUUAUAUAAAUUGGAUUUAGUAAUGGUACAUUGGGUGGGUUUGUUGAGUAAAUUUUAAAAUUUUGAAAUUUAAGGAUGGGUUUAUUUAGUAAAUGAGUUAAGGGAGUAGUUUGUUGGGAUUCACAUAACGCCACCAAAUUCAAAUGUAAAAUUUAUGGAAAAAGAAGCUAUUGAGUUAUUCUUUUUAAAAAAAGAAUUAAAAUGUCAAGAAUACCUUUAUUUAAUUUUAUAAUCUUAUUUUAUAGUCAUAUUUUAUUUCCACCUUAACAUAAUUUUAAAAAACCUUAACUAAUAAAUUCUAUAUUUUUUUUAUAAAAGUUAUCAUUAAUAUCCAAACGGCUAAAGAUUUUUUUUUUUAAAAAAAAAGAAACUAUGCUUACAAAAGUUGUAUACAUUAACAAUAAAUUUAGUCCAAAGAAUAAAGUUAUUCCAAACAAGCACUCCUAUUCAUCUUGCUAAUGAAUCAAGAUGACUGAAUCCAUUCUCUAAGCCAAAUCUAUUUUCACUUCUAGGUCAGAAAUUGUCAUUAAAAAAGUGUUUGAUAAAAUAUGCUCUGGGAACACUAAUUCGUCAGAUGGUUACUCCAAGUUUAUGAAAUCAAUGGGGUUUCAUCAUAUUCAUAACAUUCUUCUUUAAUGUCUAUUCUAACAAAGAAAUUACUAGAAAACUUUUACUAGAAAAACUAACCACAAUUCAUCAUUCAUUUAUAUCUUAAGUAAGCGUAAGAUUUUAUCAUUAAAAUCUCAUCAUGAAAAAACUCAUGGGAGAAAAACUAUAAAAAUUGAAGAAAAAAGAGUAUGGCGUGCAUGUAAAUUAUAUCGAUUUUAUCUAUAUGACAAAUAAGACUCUCUUUUACAAUGGCACGGAUGCUUCAUUGAGUAAUCAUGAUUCUUGCUGGUAGUGCUUUGUUGUAUCAAUCUGCUAGCUAUUCAGCUUUCUUUCUUUCUUUCUUCUUUUUAUUUUUUUUGUUUUCAAAUAGCUUGUGGUUGUAGAAAUAUUUCAAUUAAACUAUACUUAAGUACUUAUUUGGUAUAACUUCUUUACUAGCCAAAAGAUUUUUUUUUUGGUUUUUUAUAAUUUAAUUAUACUUUAACUAGAGUUUUUGGGAUUAAACAAGUGAUAAUUUCUCUCUGUUAAGAAAAACUCAAACGGUAGGGUUAUCUCAAUCCACCAAACUAUUUAUUAAAAAUCCACUUAUGAAAAUAAUUUUUAAUUAUUAGAAUGCCUCUAAAUUAAAUUACAAUUAUAGACACUAAAAUAUAGUAAAAAAAAUUUUUUUUUACUCUUUAAAACUGUCUUUACAUUCGAUAUCAUAUCUUUUUCUUAAAAUCUAAAUUGAUUUUUUUUUUAUUAAUCUCAGAACACAUAUGAAGUGAUUCAUAUUGGUUUUAUACUAACAAACUAUCAUAGCACAUUCGAAAAUAAUUAACUCGUUCUUAUUUGCAUAGUGAAAAGGCAAAUAGUUCAUCCAAAUGUUAAAGAAUUGGAGAGCUGCUGCUGGAGAUGAAAGAUGUGAAAAGCAUGGUAAAGAAAAAUUACAUAAUUCUCACUUAGAUGAGGAAGAAAAAAAAAAGAAUACAAUUAGAAUGAGAGGUAGCCAAUAGCCACUAGCCGCCGCCACCGCCACCAGUGAAACUAUUUCACAUAAUAGAAGAUAAAGCACGCGUAAUGGAGGCAAAAAGCAAUUAAUGAUAACUCUUUUCGACACACUAAUACAUAUCAAAAUGCAAUAUCGGUCCUAACAAAAUGAAAAUAAAAAUUCAUUACGAAUAUGCGUUAAACAUAUCCCAAGUAUUGAUGAUGUGAUUGAAAUAUUUGAGAUUGAAGUAUAAAUAAGACUCAAAAUUAAUUGAGAGGAAUAAAUGAGAAACUCUAAUACUAAUAAAAUACAUUCACAAAUCCUAAUGCUAAUUAAAAUCACGGAUUAAAAAAAAUAAUAUGAAUGAAUUACAGGCGCAACUGUUUCAUUAAGAAAUUAAUUAAAUCGUGUAUUAAUAUUUUGUACACAUACAUUUUUCCAUAUAUAACUUUUGGUAAUUUAGUUUUCCACUUAUCAUUUUACUCCAAAAAAAUAAUUGAGAAUAUUAUUUAUGUUUUGGUGCAAAAUAUUUAAACAACGUAUAAAUUUUCAGUUUAAUAAAUCUAAACAUUUCUCAAGUUGUAAAUGAAUUUAAUGGGUUUAGUUAGUAAAAAUGCUAUUAUUAUAUAAAUUGGGUUUAGUAAUGGUAUAUUGGGCAUUUAAAUGGGUUUGUUGAGUAAAUUUUAAAAUUUUAAAAUUUAAGGGUGGGUUUAUUUUAGUAAAUGGGUUAAGGCAGCAAUUUCCCAAACUAAAAUUUUUAGAAAAAGAGGCUAUUUAGUUUUUUUUUUUAAAAAGAAUUAAGAUGUUGAGAAUACCUUUAUUUACUUUUAUAAUCUUAUUUUAAAAAAUUUACCCAAUAAAUUUUAUAAUUUUUUACAAAAAUUAUCAUUAACAUCCAAACAGCUAAAGAUUAAAAAAAAAAAAAAAGAAGGGAACUGUACUAGCAAAAGUUAGAUUAACAAUAAAUUUAGUCCAAAGAAUAAAGUUAUAGCUAAAAAGUGCUCCUAUCCUAUUUUUCUCUAUUUUAACAAUAAUCUUCCAAUCCAUUUUACAAUGGACUUAACAAAUGGGCUCAAUCUCUAAACUUCAUUUUCUUUUGCUAACCCAUGGCCAUUAGCCAGAAAGCCUAAAACAAUUUUAGGAUCACAUGUGUAAAUGGAACUCCAAGAUUGAUCAAGAAUUAACAAGACAAGAUGAAGAGAUGAUCUUGUAACUAAGAAUGAAGAAAUUGAAUCAAGACAGUACUCUAGUAAAACCCAGAAAACAGAGCUUGAAGAAUCACGCACAAAGCAGUAAAUUUGUAAAACCAGAAUUGGAGCUUCACUUCUCAAGAUAGACGAAACAGGAUACAAUCUAGCUUUGGUCAACUUCGUUUGGCCACGUCAUAAAGUCUUCCCCCACAGUCUUUCCCGCCAAAACAGAAAAGCUUUAAAAGCCAUUUACCCUCCUGAGUUACUUGCUCCUAUUACAUCAAGGCCCUGUAAGUCUAUAUUUAUUAUUACAAAAGCACCCUUAAACCGAGAUUUGAGAUAUUUUUUCAAAGAUCGAAGCGCAUGAUUUCACGGCUAUGUUGCAUAGUGAAUUUUAGUGCUUUACAGUUAAGGGAUAGUUUAAAUUCAUUACAAAGCAUUCGCAAAGAAAUUGUUUUUAAAUGAAACUCCUCGUCUUGACCAGAUUAUUUAUUAUUAUUAAAAAAAAAUGUUCAAAACUUAGCCAAAGUGAUAAACUCGUAAUUAUUCUACAAAGGGAACAAUUUUGAACGGUGGGAAAUUCCAUAAUUAUGCUUUUCUGUGAAUUAUUUUAAAUAAAAUUAUAAAAAUUAAUAUAAAAUUAUAAUAAUGAUAGAGCCACAAAUUCUUGUACAAAUUUAUUUUAUACAAACUCAUGUGGCAUGAUAAGAUUGGUUGAAUUAAAUAUUACUUGGCCCACAUGAUUUGUUUUUAUUAUUUUAUAUUUUUAUUCAACCAAUAAAUUAAUACCACGUCAGUUUGUACAAAAUAAAUUUAUACAAAAAUUUGUGACUCGAUCAUCACUCAUAAAAUUAAUACCCGGUAAAGACUGUAGAGAGACAAGUGCCCCCAACAGAAUCAAGUGAAUAUGCCCCACAAAGAUCACAUGAUCAUUUCUGUUCUUUUUCUUUUUGAUAAUUUUAUCUGUGGUUUCAACUUUUAUGCUUUAUUGUCGUAUCCCGUUGAGGGCUCCGCUGCACCCAUUACAACUUACCCCUAAAUUGCCUCUUACUAACUAAACCGUUAGAUUUUAUGGAAGCACGUUCAAUGUUGAAUUUUAAUUAUGUCAUCGAAUUUCGUUUAGCUCCUUAAACUCCAUUUUAUUUGUAAUUUCUUCAUAAAAUAUUCAAAGCUUCAUCAAGCUCCUGAUGGACCAUCAUGGCUAGGGGUGCAUUAGAGCCGAACUGAAAUAUGUUAGUUCAGUUCAGUUUGGUCAGUUUAAAUCGAAUGGUUUAGAAUAUAUAAACUGAUCAAUUUUAAUUUUGAAUUGAACCGAACCGAAAAUCAAUUGGUUCACUAUUAGUAUUUUUGUAUAAACAAGAAUGAUUAGUGAUUAUAAUUAAAUUGGACUAAAAAAAAUUCAAACUAAGGUGAAAAAUAUCAAAUCUUAGACAAUAUAAAAAAAAAUAUUAAAUUUUUUUAACCGAAACGAACCGAAUUAUUUUGACUCAGUUUGGUUCAUAAUUUUUUAAACCAAACUGAUUUAUUCCCACCCCCUAAUCGUGGCUCUCUAUCUUUAGUCAUUCACCCUUGAGUUUGAUGCCAAUUGUUGGGUUUCAAAUGAUUAUACACUCAAAUGGAACCCUCAUAACAAAAAACUAACAGAAACAAUAAGAACACGAUGUUAAAAUCUUAAAUCAAUCGCAACGGUCCUUUUUUUUCCCCAUUCUUGAACCUAAAGUAUUUGAGUAUGCAAAUUAAUAAAUAAAUUCAUUUAUUUUUAUUAAAAUUUUGUAAAAUUAUAAUUUUUAAUAAAAAUAAUUAUUAAAAUUUUGUAAAAUCUAAAUUUAGAAAAAUUCAGUUGGGCACCUCUAUUUGAGAUUUAUUUUUUAUUAAAUUUAGGGAUAUUUUUAUAAUUAUAAUUUUUAAUUUUAAAAGUUUUUAUAAGAUAAAAUAGUCUUUUAAUUUAUUUAGGGGUAAAAUUGAUGUUUUAUUAAAAUUAUUUAAUUGUGUUAAUGCAAAAGUGACUAUUUGAUACAAAUGUGAAAAGAAAGGUGGUGCAAAAUAUAUGUUAAAAUUUUAUAUUGGUUGGAUGAACAUAAGCUAAAAUAAAGGUGGUGCAAUGAUAAUUUCCCUAUCCUAAAACUUAAUUGACUUAAUUCUUAUGGUGCAAGGAAGAGGUUUCCAAGUUUAAAUCUAAAGGCUUGUAUUUAAUUUGGGGUUGGGAAAGCACUGAGAAAUAAAUGUAACUAAGGAAAAAAAAAAAGUCAUGCAGUCCAAAUAAGUAGACAUAUUUAAUAUGAGGUGGGGAUGGGUGAACUGUAAUUCAGAAAAAAUAAAAUAAAAUUUCAUAUAAAGUUGAGGGUGUGUUUUAAUGGUUUCUUAUGCUGCGUUUACUUUUUGGACUAGAGUGAGAAUUCUGAGAAGUGGGAAUCCUGUGAUUAGGUGUGUGGAGUGGGAAUGAGAGUAGGGUAUUUACUUAGACUAAAUAAAAAUAUGGAUUGUCAAUCAGAAUCUCAAUUAUUUGUUACUUUGUCUUGGAUUGAGAGUAAAUUAUUUUAAAUUACAAUUUUAUCCUUAUGUAAAGAAUUAUAAUUUGUAAUUAAAAAAUUAAUAAAAAUAUAUUGGAAAAUAAAAUAAAUAUUUUAUUAUAUUUAUAAAAUAAUAAUAAUUAAUAAAAUUCUUAAUUAUGUAAAUCAUAAUUUUUUAUUAAUUUAAAUUUAAAUUAUGUGAAUAAAAAUUAUUAAUAAUAGCAACACAAAUGAAACAUUAUUAUUGAUAAUAUAGUAUAAAAUUAAUAUUUUUUUAGAAUAAAAUAUUUAUUAUUAUUAAAUAAAUAAAUAAUAUUUAUUAAAAUUAAUGUUUAAUAUUAUUAAUUUAAAUAUAAUAUUUAUUUAUUUUUAUUUUAUUUUAUUAAAUUUAAUAAAAUAAAUAUGUUAUAAUUAUUAUUUUUAAUAAAUAUGACAUUAUUUAUUUUAUUAAAUAUUAUUUAUUUAUUUUAAUUAUGAGGGUAAAAAUAAAAGAGGGGGAGUGGAUUCCCACUCCCACCUCCCCCCAUGGGAGUGGGAAUCCCACUCUCCCCUUAAAAAUGAUAAGUAAACACUAGAAUGGGAAGAAUCCACACUCUACACUUUCUAAAAAAUAAACACUACCUUAAUUUAAAUUGAUUUGUUGGAUAUUUAGCUAAAAUGAGAGUAGCUCUCUAAUAAUUAUUGCAUUAUUACAAACAUAUCCAACGGUUAUAUAUGCUUGCCUGUGGAAAUAAAAGUCCCAAGUUUCUUUGAAAGGUAAGCUAGUGUGAAUGUUUUCAUCCGUGCAACUUACUUGAUGAAUGAAGUUUUCAUCCCUGACCUUGAUGUUUCUGGUGGCUACAAUCAUUUCAGCUGAUCUAUUCCAUUUUGUUAAGGUGAGAAUUUAGAGUGGCUUUAACUGUUAGCAAAUAGCCUAAUGUAAGACUUGAUCAACUUCCUGCCCUGUUGUAUGCUUAUGAAUUUUGAUAGAGUUAUGAGUUUGCAGAAGCUACUGUAUUAUAUGUUGUUAGAGGCUGUAAAAAUGAGGCAGAUCAAACACACAUUUAAAUUUCAAUGACAAUUUACUAGAAGUAAAUUUCCUAUGACCCUCCAGGUGACUAAUCAAUGAGAACUUGACAAUAACAAAAGAAAGUGUAUGAGCUUUGCAGGCGGGCACGCCAAUCUUGACUGCAUGGCACCAUCCGCCAUUUGCAAGUGAAUAUCAUUAUUGUUUAAUCAACAUGGUGGAGUCCACUGGGACCACACCACAUGGUCAGUCUUAUCUCUAUUCCUCAAUUUUCAGUAUUCCAUACAUCAAAACAAUUUCAGUUUUGUUAUCAAUUAUAAUUUCAUUGUUGGAGACGAUUCUGAUUCCUUUCUUUCUGACAAAACGGAACCAUGGUUGCUGUGGGAGAGAUCUUACUCAACGCCUUCUUUCAGGUGUUGUUUGACAGGUUGGCUUCCCGUGAUUUGCUCAGCUUUGUCCGUCAACUUGGAGGCGGGGUCGAUUCCGAGCUCAAGAAGUGGGAAAGAAAGCUGAAGAUGAUUCAGGCGGUGCUCAACGAUGCAGAGGAGAAGCAACAGACUGACGAGGCUGUGAAGAUGUGGCUGGACGAUCUCCAAGACUUGGCUUAUGACACUGAGGACAUUCUUGAUGAGUUUGCUACUCAAGCCUUGGAAAGCAAGUUGAUGGCGCAAAAUCACGAUAGUUCUGGCCAGGUUCUCAGUUUCAUCCCGGCUGGUUUGAAUCCGAAUGCUAUUAUGUUCAAUUAUAGCAUGGGGUCCAAGAUUAAAGAUAUCACUAGCCGGCUGGAGCAACUCUGCCAAGAAAGAAUUGAACUUGGACUGCAACGGAUUACCGGAGAGGCAUCAUCAACUGCUGCUGCUGCUGCACACCAGAGGCCACCCAGUUCGAGUGUCCCAACAGAACGUGAAGUAUUUGGAAGAGAAGAAGAUAAGGCCAAAAUUCUUGAUAUGGUAUUGGCCGAUACCCCAAGUGAUCAUGCAAACUUUGUUGUAAUACCCAUUGUUGGCAUGGGCGGGAUAGGAAAAACAACUCUUGCCCGGGAAGUCUACAAUGACAAGGCCGUUGAAGAUUCCAAGUUUGAUGUAAAAGCAUGGGUUUGCGUAUCUGACGUCUUUGAUGUUUUGGGCAUCUCAAAGGCACUUCUCGAGUCAAUCACCCGCAGGCCUUGUCUUCUAAACAGUUUAAAUGACGUGCAGGUUGAGCUGAAAGCAGCUGUGGAUAAAAAAAGGUUCCUGCUGGUCUUAGAUGAUGUUUGGAACGAGGACUACAGCUUAUGGGUAGACUUAAAAGCUCCGUUACUGGUUGCUGCACCAAACAGCAAGAUGAUCGUCACCACACGCAAUUCAAGUGUUGCAUCAACAAUGAGACCCAUCGAUCGUCACCACACGCAAUUCAAGUAUUACGAUCUCAAGAGUCUGUUAGAUGAUGAUUGCUGGUCCAUUUUCAUAAACCAUGCAUUUGAAUCUACAGACCUUAGCGCACAUCGAAUUUCAGAAUCAUUCCGCGAGAAAGUUGUUGGCAAGUGUGGGGGCUUGCCUCUAGCAGCAAAAACACUCGGGGGCCUUCUUCGUACUAAAACGCAUGCUGAGUGGGACGGUAUAUUGGAUAGCAAAAUAUGGGAUUUACCUCGGCAAAGCAGCAUUCUCCCCGUGUUAAGAUUGAGUUACCAUCAUCUUCCUUCUCAUUUGAAAAGAUGUUUUGCUUUUUGUGCCAUCUUUCCAAAAGAUUAUGCAUUCACUGAGAGGGAGCUGACUUUCUUAUGGAUGGCUGGAGGUAUUAUUCGACAGUCAAGAAACAAUGAGCAGCUGGAAGAUUUGGGCAGCAAGUGCUUUGGUGAUCUAGUGUCGAGGUCAAUUUUUCAACAAACAGCAAUCUCUGAUAGUUCUAAAUUUGUAAUGCACGACCUUAUCCAUGAUCUUGCUCAAUUGGUCUCUGGAGAAACCAUAUUUAGGUUAGAGGAGGCCAAUACUCUGUCAAGAAGAUUUGAAAGGGUUCGCCAUUCCUCCUAUGCCCGUGAUUGGUGUGAUGGUAGAAAUAAGUUGGAGGUUUUCAAUGAAAUUGAACAUCUACGAACAUUCUUGCCAUUUUGCAUAAGAGGUGGCGUUACUUCUGGUUGGAUAACUAGCACGGUUCACUACGAUUUGUUGCCGAAGUUCAAAAGGUUGAGGAUGCUGUCUUUAGAAGGAUACCAUAUUGGUGAGUUACCAAUUCCAUUUGAAGAUUUGAGACUUUUAAGGUUCCUCAACCUUGCUGACACUGACAUAAGAAGUUUACCUGAGUCAACAUGCAAAUUGUUGAACUUGGAAAUUCUGAUAUUAAGAAAUUGUUCCCGUUUGACAAAGCUUCCCCAGAAAAUGAGGAAUUUGAUCAAUUUACGUCAUCUGGAUAUAAGAGGUGCAAAGCAGCUGAAGGAGAUGCCAUUUGGAAUGAAAGAGUUGAAGAAGCUUCAAACGUUGUCCAAUUUUAUUGUAGGCAAGGGUGAAUCUGCAUCUGGUUUGGAAGAUUUAAAAAGUUUAGACCUUCUAUGUGAUGAACUCUGCAUUGCUGGAUUAGAGAAUGUGAAUAGUCCACAGAAUGCAAGAGAAGCCACAUUAUGUGAGAAGCACAAUCUUGAAGCAUUGACCCUAGAAUGGGGGUCUCAAUCUGACAGUCCUCGGGAUGCAGUACUAGAAGAGAAGGUACUUGACACUCUACAGCCUCAUGAACGUAUAAAAGAGCUGGCAAUCAGGAACUAUGGUGGUGCAAGAUUUCCACCUUGGAUCAGAGAUCCUUCGUUUCCCGAGAUGAAGGUCCUUAAAUUGGAGAACUGUGACGAUUGUGAAUAUCUGCCAUCACUUGGCCUGUUGAGUUCACUUAAGCACCUUGCUGUUAAAGGGCUGAAGAAACUAAAAAGCAUAGGGUCUGAGGUUUAUGGGGAGGGUUUGUCAAUGCCUUUUCCAUCAUUGGAGGUUCUAAGUUUUGAGAAUUUGCCUGAAUGGGAGUAUUGGGACACCAAUAUCAGAGGAAAUGUGCUCGUUGAAAUGUUUCCUCGUCUCCAUAAACUUUCCAUUGUGGAAUGUCCCAAACUCUCUGGGGAACUGCCUGAGCUCCUGCCCUCCUUGGAGACACUUGUUGUUAGUAAAUGUGAAAAGUUGGUAGUUCCAUUGUCUCGCUAUCCGAUGCUCUGCAGAUUAGAAGUUGAUGAGUGCAAGGAACUAGCAUGCGGGACUCCAAUUGAUUUUAAGUUGAUAGAGUCUGUGACUAUUUCAAAUAGUUCCUUAGACAUGAAUGGAUGCAAGGGGAUGCUAUACGAUGGUCCAGCUGGCUCUUCACUGCCAAAGCCUAUGAUUACUACAAAUGUUUCGGAGUUUGGAAAAUUAUUGAAGCCUGGAUGUCAAAUAUUAGAAACUUUAGUAAUUGGCAAUUCUGGACGGCUCAAGUCAUGGAGGCAGCAUGGGGAUUUUCUAGAAGAAUAUAUGGUCGCUCACCAAAGGUUUAAGAAACCAGUACAAGGGCUAAAUAUGCUCGCUUCCCCUGAAGAGGUAACAAUUGAAGAAAGUUGUGUGAGUUUUGUUUUGUUUCCAGAGAUCAAUUUCUUUCCCAGAAAUCUGCGCUCUCUUCUAAUUUGCAACAGCACUGCUUUGAAAUCCUUACCCGAGGAAAUGAUGGAAAACAAUUCACAACUGGAAAGGUUGUAUAUCAGAGAUUGCGACUCUCUAACAUUCAUCGCAAGACAGAGGCUACCAGCAUCUGUUAAAAGGCUUGAGAUAGAAAAUUGUGAGAAAUUGCAACGUCUGUUCGAUGAUGAAGAGGAUGCUUCUUCUUCUUCUUCUUCUCCUUCAUCCUCGUCUUCCCCAGUGAUGCUGCAACACCUGAUAAUAGGGAAAUGCCCAAAGCUCACCAGUUUAUUAUCGGGUGUCCAAUUCCUUGAGGCGCUUGAAUUCCUCAAGAUAGAGCAUUGUCCAAAGCUGGAGUCAAUACCGGAUGGCCUGCCCAAUCUUAAAUGUUUACAGAGCAUUUAUUUACUCAAUUGUCCAAGUCUUGUUUCCUUCCCAGAAAGAGGGCUUCCCCACACCAUUUCAUUUGUUUGCAUUUGCGGAUGUGACAAGCUUGAAGCCCUGCCCAAUGACAUGCACAAACUCAACUCUCUUCGACAUUUAAGCAUACAGCUCUGUCCAAAUCUUGUAUCGUUUCCAGAAGAAGGUUUUCCUACCAAUCUAACAUCACUUACAAUUGGAGAUUUCAAAAUGUAUAAGAUACUCGUCCAGUGGGGGUUGCACAGGUUUACCUCUCUUAGACGCCUCUAUAUCGUUGAUUGUGAUGACGAAGCAGAGUAUUUUCCAGACGAGGAUAUAGGAAUGACGCUGCCCACCUCUCUCACUCAACUGGAACUUUCGGGAUUCAAAAAAUUGAUAUCUCUGUCUUCGACGGGUUUUCAGAGCCUCACCUCUCUUCAAAGAUUGCGGAUCUGGGAUUGCCCAAAUCUCACAUCAUUUCCAGAGGUGGGCCUUCCAUCCUCACUUUUGGAAUUACACAUUUACAAAUGUCCAAAGCUUAAAAAAGCGUGCAAAAGAGAUCAAGGAAAAGAGUGGCCCAAAAUUGCUGACAUCCCUUGCGUUGAGAUAGACAAUAAAUUCAUAUACGAUCCAGAAUAAGAGGAGUAGAUUCUACUAUUAAGGUCAGUUGAUUUGUAUUAUCCGCUAUAACAAGCUCCUCCUUUUUUUUUUUUAAAUAAUAAUUUUGCAGUCACUCACGUGAUUCCGUUUUCACAAGUCAGAUUGUAUGUUGAGGCUAUUUGCCUUUUAGUCGCAGAUUAAAUUAUAACACUUAUCUUAAAAUUUAAUACCAUAGACAGAUAGACGAUUUUUUAAUCCAAAGUUUUUUUUAUUCACUUCAGUUAGCAUUUUUUUUUUUCCCCAAAUCAUGCAAGCCGAGAGUUUCAAUCAAGAAUUGGAGCAUGGGAAUGGAAUUUUUGUGAAAACAUAAUGGAUGAACGAACAUUUCAUCUGUGAUCUCAAAGUCAACAGAAUUUUAUUCACUCAAUGACUUUUCAACUGCUGUGGUUAUUUAUGGGUGAAAGAAAGAUAAGGGCAAUUACAAAAAAUUUGCAAAAUUUGUCAAUUUCUUAGAUGGUAGAUAUAUCGACAUUUUAGAUUUCAGAUAUUUGUCACCAAUUUCAUUCCUUUUUUUUUAUUUUUUCAAGCAAGUUUGACUAAUUUUAACCAGAAUUGGAGUAUAAUAUUUUGGAGCAAGCAUACUUGAAAUUUCUGUCUUCAAUAUUUUGAUGCUUUUUUAAUUUUGGAUCUAGUAAAAAUACAUAGCCUUCACCGGCAGGAUUCUAGUCUUGGCUUUCACCUCUCUAACUCAUCCGGCCCCAUUGGGAUUCCAGAAAUUGAAAUUUCUGUCUUCAAGGGGUUUUCAAAGCCUCGCCUCCCUUCGAUUUUUGUGGAUCGGGAAUUGCACAAAUCUUACAUCAUUUCCCGAGGUCGAGGAAAAGAGCGGCCCAAACUUGCUCGCAUCCCUUGGGUUAUGAUAGAUGGAAAAUUCAUAUACGAUCCAGAGUCAGAGGUGUUGAUUCUCUUAUUAAGGUCAGCUGAUUUCUAUUAUCCACUCUGACAAUCUCCUAUUAGUGUUUUUCCCUUUUUUUUUUUCAAAAUUUUGCAGUUCCGUAUAAUUGAAAAUGCCACUCACUUGUUUCCUAUUAGUAUGUUGAGGCUAUUUGCUUUCUAUCGGUGUUUGUUAAGGUAAUUACUCACAGAUGAAAUUAUAACUUUUAUCUUAAAAUUUAUUGCCAUUGACAGAUGGACGAUUUUUAGUCCAAAGUUUUGUUAUUAACUUCAAUCAAAAUUUUAGAUUGCAGAUUUUUGUCAAUUAUUUCAUUUUUUAUUUUUAUUUUAAAGCAGAAUUGGAGUAUAACAUUUGGAGCGCGCAUACUCUGAUGCAUGCAAUUAACUGUUUUUAAUCGUUGGAUUUUGAAAUUAAUGAUGGUAAGAUGUGUACUUAUUUUUUCUUCCGGACAACCUUGCCUUCUUUCUUCGGUAGCAUAUCUAAUGAAUAUUUCUCUGUUUAGUUAAGGAUGAAUGCUUGGAGUGGUCUGAUUCACAACAACACCUCUUCCAGAAAAUAUGAUACAAGGCAAAGCCAUGUUCUGAAGCAGAAAUGAUACAGCAGUUGCGGUACCCGAGGUACCUUUUGCAUUUAACUUGCCUUUAUUUGUUUUGCUUGUGACUUAAGAACACAUCAUUUCCCAGAGAUUUGGAGAAGCAUCUCAAGAUGCUUAACAAACUUGACAAGCUUCAAGAUGCACUUGCUCCCAAGCAUUGAUUCUUCACAAUGGAAAACCUGUGAGUACACUUAUGCCCGCAAUUAUUGUUAAGUGUUUGCAAUUUUGAUGCAGCGAAAUGGUUUGUGGAUGCAAAGCUUUAAAACUGUUAAGAACUACCCUGCAGGCUUGUUGGAUGUUGUAUACUUCAAAAGCCACCAACACCAAGAACUACAACAGCAAGACUAGGUUUGCGUUGCUUCAAUCAGCUGAAAUAAUGAUGCAAAUGACACUAUCAAGCUGGACUUAGAGACUUGUCAGGUCAAUCAUCCAUUUCAUCAACAGUUAAUGUCAUGAUGGUGGCUAUCAGAGGAAACAAAAGAUCUGUUGGAAUCAAUUCAAACAGUGAGAAGCAUGAGAGGAGCAUUGAUUAUAAAUAGGCUCAAUGAGCUCAUGCUGGUAAGUGGUAAUUAAGAAAUUUGUGAGCUUAGUAUAGUUUCAAUUUUUUUCUGUUUGGGAUAUAGUUGAUAAGUUGAUACUCUGAUUAAGAAGCCUGAUUAUAGUAGCUGACUGUGCUAACUGCGUUCUUUUAUUUUUUAUUUUUUUGGUUUGCCGUCGUUUUUUCUUUUGAUUAUUUGUUCAACAUUAGAUUGAUCUGUUGAAGACUACGAGGAAGAUCCAGACUUGGAUGCAGGCGUGCAGCUCGUAAUAGGUGAGAACAAAUGAAUGCUUUAACCAUGUUUCUCACUUAUGACAAUGCACGGAUCAAAGGCAUCUGAGUUGAUCCUGAAAAUGUGAUGGAAAUAGGUCUCUGUUUUCAUAAAACAGAACAAAUAGAGAUCUCUGAUCACGCCUGAGAAUUCAUUGCAUUGAAAUUUCUACCAUUGGCAAACAUAGAAUAAACUGGGGAUACAUUAGCUUUAGACUCUAUUUUGAGGAGGAAGUUUGUACUUGCAGCCUAUAAAAUCAUAUCCCUGUUGUAUGUUUCUUUGGGAAAUGAAAGAUUCUGUGUGUUCUUUUAUUUCAAGUUUGCUGAAAUCACAUUUGUUUUCUAAGAUGCUUUACAGAAGGUACCAACAUCAUUUUCAAAAAUGCUGGGGUAAGAUACAUCGUGCAGUGCUCCUCAACAUGAGAAUUCCUGGCCGCAUUACCCAUAUGUGGAAUGAUCUGAGAGUACAACCGUGAGAAUGUUGUAAGGAGUACACAACCAGAUGUGAGUAGUUUGAAAAUGAAUUCGCAUGGAAUGAUUUCUUGCCAGUGCAGAAAUGGCUUGGUUCAAAAUAUGCUCAGCUUCAUUGACACUCUUCGGUAGGCCUCUCCGUCCUUCCAUUCUUAACUACAAUACUACUCUUGUCUGUCUAGUUAUGGAAUCUCUCUUUUAAUCCUCAAAGUUUGAAUUAUAUUAUAUUGCCUCUGUGUUACCGCAGAAACUGAGUCAGUUGGUGAUCCUUCAAAACAAGAAAAACCAAAAACAGAUACAGCGCGCGAUAAGAUAAUGAGACAGAUGGCUCCCGUUGCUGCAUGCCACUUGCUUGUGUGCGUAUUGGGACCAUCAUCAACAACAUUGACGUAAACCCAGCUCAAGGUGGGAAGCUAGUUCGAGCUGCAGGGACGUUAACCAAGAUUUUGAGAAAGAACCCACUUCAAGGUGUUGCUUAGUUAGGCUACGUUGUGGAAAUGAGAAAGUGAUUGACCCUAGAUGUCGCGCCACCAUUGGUACAGUGUCUAACCCCAGCCAUGGAGCUAAAAAGCUUAGUAAGGCAGGUCAGAGAAGUUGGUUGGGUCGAAGAGCUGUGGUUAGAGGAGUAGCCAUGAUUCCAGUUGAUCACCCUCAUGUUGAACAAAGCAAAAGUAGCGGUAACAAUGGAAGGUGUUCACUCACACCUUGGGGCAAGCCUUGUAAGUCUGGGAAUUAAACUGCAUCUCCUAAGAAGAAAGAGAAAUCAGCUGUCUGAUAAUAUUGUCCUUUUCUGCUAUUUGGUCUUUUUAACAUUGUUACACUGUUUUUACAUCUUUGAGGUUAGUUUUAGACCAAUUUUUAACUGAUCCAUAAUGAAACUGAAGUUUAAUUUUUGAUUAAACUUUCACUGGUUUUACUCUUCUGUCACUUCAAUUUAGCAUUGAUUUAAGAUACUGAAUUCUGUGCUUGGAGCUUGUAAAUUGGAAAGAGAUAUUUUGGGAUAGAAUGUAGAUUUUGUGUUUUGCUUUCUCAAGCUAGUUGUGACUUCUUAAAAGAGUCAAUCCAUGUCUUUAUAUAUUUUUCUUUUGUCUUGAUUCUGUUUCUUCAUACAGAUUCUUAUUUUAUGCUUCACAUACCACAUGAAAGAUGAAAGCCUUUUCUGUGAUUAGAAUUGACUUGCAUUAUAGUAACUUUAAACCACUUGGAUAUUUUUAUAAUAGCAGUCUGAGAUCUCCUUAAAGGAUUCAAAAGCAUCCACUGGCAUCCACUUUACUCGUAUCGGUCAAAAGUUUUGUGCAAUACAAUAUUAGCUUGACUGUAGCGCAGAGGAGAACAGGUUGGUGUUGGUCUGAAUUCUGAUAUUUGAAUAAAUAUAACAGCUCAUGUGACUCCACCACUUUUUACUUGUUCUGUAGUCUGUACCUACCUCCAUUGUCGGCACUGCCCAUACAAGGUCUUUUAGCUUUUUAAAAAGUUUCAUGAUAUUCCAUAGUUCACAUGGAUUUCUACAGUUUGUAGAAAACCUAAUUAGGGCACAUUUAAUUACUAUGCAGAAGAUUCUUUUAUCUUGCUCACCAAUAAUUCUUUGUACUUAUUUGAAAGAUGUGUUUCAAAAAAAUAAAAAAAAACUAUUUGAAAGAUGAGAAAUCCCUUAGCCGAACGACAAACUCAUCUAUCAGUCCUAUCAAAAAAAAAAAAACUCAUGUUUUAGUGGUUUUUUUUUUUCACUUGUAUUCAGUCGCACAAGUGAAGAUUGUGGGCAAUUUUUUCCUUGAGUAAAAUUGGAAUAGAUGUUUUUAUUGACACAAAUUUUUGAGCUAUGUUUGGGAAACCCUUAGACUUAAGACUUUGUUACGAUGAUAUGUAUCUAAGCUUUCAACAGACCGUUGAGGUCUUAUUAUCAAAAUACUAGAAAUUUACAAUUCAAUUUUGGUAAGGACCAAUUUAAUAAUGCUGUAAUUUUUAAAAUAAUUACCGUUAACUGUGUUGUAAAAAUAAUCAAUUAUGAAGAAAAUUAAUUAAACAUUUAGUAAACUUUAUUUUUACAAGUGCUUUGAAUUUUAAAAAUAGUCAUAUGUGUUCAGAAAAUCUCACUUCUAAAAUAGUAUAAGAAUGGAAAAAACUUAAAAAGACAAAUGUAUAAUAUUUAUUUACACAUGCAUUUAUAAAUAUGUGUAUAUAAUAACAUUUUAUGUGUACAUAUAAUAAUUGAUAACUAAAAUAAAUAUUUUUAUUUAUUAAUUAUUUUUUUGUCUCAAUGUAAUUGGUAAUACUUUUUUUUAAUCUUCUCAUCCUAAGUUUUUUUAUUGUUUUGUACAAAAUUCAAGGUUUGGACUUUUAUAAAAUGUCCACUCAAAAAUAAAUUGUUUUCUAACUAAGAUUUGUUGCUAAUGUAUAACUCAAAGUAAUACUAGCUAUUUGUAAUUUUAUUUCAAAAUUUUUAUUCAAAUGAUAUGGUAACUAAUGUACAUUAGUUGAUAGCAAUUUUUUUUUUUUUACAAUAUUCAAAUCAAUCAAUUGCAUCAUCUCAACAUUUUUAUGAUGUCGUGUUAUUUUAAACGAAUUUUUUAUUUUUAUAUAAAAUUUAUUAUGUUUAACAUCAUUUGCAUAACUUGACCUUUUUUUUUUCCUACAAAUAUUAAGUCAAAUUUACUCACCCUAUAUUUCUAUCUAAAAUCUACCUAAAACUCAUGCAUCACUGUAAAACAAAUCCAAAGAUUGCGGUACGUUUUUCUUGGUAACAAAUCAAUAAUUAGGUCAAGUACUACUACUAAGCGUGCUCAAUUAAUUCUAAAAUACUACGGUGAUCAAAAUCAUACUUGACGCAAGAGGAUAAGGGCUAAACCUCAAUUAGGCAUUAUUCAUCCAAAAUUCGUUGACCCGGCAUUCUUUGCAAGUUGUAGCACGGGACAGCUAAGAUUAGCAAAUGCUGUGGACCAUAUGCCCCCAUACAUUUGUGACAUGUGAAACUUGGCAUUAAAGGAAAGGCAACGUGUUAAAAUUUAAUAGCGCCCAAUUCUUCAUUGAAUGAUUAUCAGAUCCAAUGAGCAUCCUUUGAUUGGAUUAUUUUAAGUCAAUUAUUGGUGGAUUGGGGCCCACUUGACUCUACCAAAUCGGGCUCCACCAUAUCACCUAUUAACGACCACCUGUCCUUAUCAUAAAUAGCAAAUGUCACUUGUUUUAUUUUGUAUUUUACCAAAAGCAAAGUCACUAUGAACCCAAAUGAAAGUGACCCCAAUUUUGGGGGUCAUGAGCUUUGGAUUAUUAUGGACACAAGAGACAAGCGCAAAGUUUCUCAUUUAUCACCGGAUAAGAUUUAAGUUAUCAACCCAACAUUAAUAAAUUCUGCUUAAAGUAAAGUUUGAAGCUUCAUUUUGCGAAUAUUCAAUGGUUAACAUUUAAGUAAUUAACCUGAUAUUAAUCCAAUUAAACUUUUUAUGUAAUCCAAGUCAAAAAUAUGUUGAUAAACCUAAAUUAAUCUAAUUGGACAUAUUAUUUCAACUUGAAAAGGCGAAUCUAUCAUUUUUCAAUUAAUUUUGAAUCAAGCUAUGUAAAAUAUAAGCUUAUUAAAGACAUAUUUUUAUCAUGUUAAAAUAUCGAAAUACUUCUUACUCGUUUCGUAAUAACAUUAACAAACCUUUUGGUAAAUUUGACAGUCCAAUCAAUUCAGUUGGUUUUUUGUUAUUGAAACUCCAACAAAAUUCAUCACGAUUAUUAAAAACCCAUUAAAAAAAAAUGAAGGUAACUAUUUAAAAAAUUCUAAUUGAAUUAUUUAACAACUACAUUUCAACUAAAUUGUGUUGCUAAUUAACUUCCUCAACUUAAACUAUAUUUUUCUCAAUUAAUUCAUAACAAAUAAUGUUAGAUAUUUUAUUCGAAUAAUAACAUUCAACAUCCUUAUUCUUUAUGAUUAUUGCAUAAAAACAUAUUUUAUCCAUUUACAUCACAUAUGUUCCUAAAUUGUAUAAGAAAAUCACCAAAUUUACUCUUGUAAGUUACUAUAUCAAUGAACAUGAAAUUCACUAAUCAUUAAAGUCUCGGAAUGACAUCAUGAGAGGGAUUCAGUUACAUUUAUUGAUAGGAUUAGAUAUAUGUCUUCUCAAAUAUUAGUAGGAGCAAUUUAACAGAUGCAGCUACUAAAAAUAUAGAAUUACUUAUCUCGUCAAUAACUAACGAUAUUUUUUAUCUAUGCUCAAUAAAUUGUAAUAUUUGUAGAUUGUAACAAUUGUUAAAAAAAAAGAGCUCCCUGAGACUAAAUGACAAAAGGACUGUUUUGAAAUAGAUAGAUAAAAUAUGCCCUUAUUUGAGAAAAUGUAAAACACUAGGGAUCUAAAUGUUAUUAUAAUCCCAUGCACAAAAAUACCAAAAAUAACUAAUAACAACUAACCGAAAAUCCCAGGCGUCAUAUUCCUUUUUUCCGCGUUUUAAAAUGCCCUCUGAUUCAUUCACAGUCAGACGCUGUCGGCAUUUCUCUUCUCUCCCUCUCUCUCCACGUAUUAAAACAUGUAAAGUACGGAAAAAUUUAAAAAAAAUUUUAAAAUUACAUAAUUUAAAAGAUAUAAAAUUAUAAAUUUUUAAAAUUAUACGGUUUUAAAAUUUUUUUAAAUUUUUUCGUAUUUUAAAAUUUCAGACUAAAAAAUUAUUAUACGAAUACUUCGUAUAACCGCUUUGCGCUUAAAAUCUGUGCCUAACAAACUCACGAAAUCACUCCUCAUUUUCCUCUCUCCCUCUCCUCCUCUCAUUCCCUUUCAAAUCCUUCCACCACCUUCCCCGCCUCUCUCUCUUUCUCUCUCCCCUCACCGCCACAGCUCAACUUUUCCAUGUAAACCACCACGGGCGCCGUCGUUUCAACCUCCCACUCAUCCGACGUCGUUUUGUGUGAAUAAGAUAACGAUUUAAAUUAAAAUACGAAAAUGGAGAACUUAACGGCGCAGUUGAAGCGAGGGAUAUCGCGGCAGUUCUCGACGGGAUCGCUGCGGCGGAGCCUGACGAGGCAGAUGUCGAGGCAGUCGUCGUUCGAUCCGAGGAGGAAUAACAUGAGGUUUAGCUUCGGGAGGCAGUCGUCGUUGGAUCCGAUACGCAGGAGUCCGGUUCAGGACGAGUUGACGGUGCCGGAGAACCUUGACUCGACGAUGCAGCUGUUGUUUAUGGCAUGCAGAGGUGACGUCAAGGGAGUCGAGGAUUUGCUGAACGAAGGCAGUGAUGUCAACAGCAUUGAUCUUGACGGACGGUUUUGGCGAGAAAUCAAAGAAUUAAGAGACAAUAUUUAGUUAAGCUAAUAGUAUUUGUUCUGUUUAGUACGUCGUUUUACCAACAAGCAUCCCGGCAUUGCACGCAUUAAUAAAUUUUUUUUAUCUGUUUGGACUGAUGGUGGUAAAAAAUUCCACAUACUUUAUAUUAAAAAGGAAAAAGGACAAACACACCCCUAACGUCAACUUGGAGGGGGGUCGAUUCCGAGCUCAAGAAGUGGGAAAGAAGAAAGCUGAAGAUGAUUCAGGCGGUGCUCAAUGGUGGGUAUGACGGCAAAAAUAAGUUGGAGGUUUUCUAUGAAUUUGAACAUCUAAGAACAUUCUUCCCAUUACACAUAAGAGGUGGCUCCAAAACUGGUUACAUAACUCGUAUGGUUCUAACUGAUUUGUUGCCGAAGUUUAAAAGGUUGAGGGUGCUAUCUUUACAAGGAUACCAUAUUGGACCAAUUCCAUUUGAAGAUUUGAGACUUCAAAGUAUAAUUACCCAAAGUGUAUACAAUAAAAGCCAAAUUUAAGAAAUUCCUGAACCUUGCUGACACUGACAUAAGAAGUUUACCAGAGUCAACAUGCUCAAUGUUGAACUUGGAAAUUUUGAUAUUAAGAAAUUGUUUCCGUUUGAUGAUACUCCCACCCAAAAUGAGGAACUUGGUUAAUUUACACCCAGACUCUUUUCUUUUGACAUGGGGUUAACGAUCAAAGUUGGUUUCGUGCGGUAUAUAUUUACAAAUUGAUAGGUAUGCCUGGUGUUGAUGCAGGAUUCCGGUUCUUCUCGUUCUACGACCAGGAUCUCUGCUCGAUCAACUUCGUCACGACCAGGAGGUCUCCUCGCAAGACUUUUUCUCCAGAGAUUCCUGCGCACACAGACAAGUCAGAGUACGCCGGUUGUUUUCCCGGCGCAAACCCUCCGACGCUCAAGUCAGAUAUGAAGGUUCGGGGAACGCUUGCCACCGAUCUUAUGGCUUUUUCGUGGUUUUCUCUUCUUUUUAAUUCCUUUUCUAAUGAGAAAAAUGCCAACCCUUUUACCUCGUCGGCUACCUUUUUAUAGGCUUCCUCUGAAUCCCAGUUUUCCGCUCUUUUCGAGACGGUAUGGGACUCUGACUGCUGUGUUAUGGGCAAACGUGGGAUCUUGCGUGUUACGCCACCGUUCUGGGAAAAGCGCGGCAGUCGUGGUUCUGUGAGAUCUUGCGUGUUACGCCACGGUUCUGGGGAAAGCGUGGCUGUCGUGCUUAGGUUCUCGGGCUGGAGAGCAUGUCUCGUCAACUGCCGUCGACCGGGUCUCCUCGCCUCUCGACCUCUAGCCGGAAUGACCUUAUGCCUCUUACAGGAAAUUGGCCUCGCGGAUGACCUGCUCGUGGACGAGCAGGAUAUUUCUGCUCCUGUUCCCCCGCGUACCAGGCUUUUACGGGACACACCGGUUCGCAGAACUCUGCCAUCAGAUAUCUGCUCACCGUGCCUGGUCUCGUCGACGUAUUUCUCCCAAACACCGGUCCCCCAGUUUCUGGUGUUGGGUAAUGUAGUGGACCAGCAGUAGAAACUCGUUAGUACUCGCCCGCGUGGGAUUGGAAAAGGCUGCCAAGAGUCAUGUCGCAUUUAAUUGCGGACGAGGUGACGUGGCAGAAAUCCCCCCCUCCAUUUGAAUUUCAAACCGACGGUUAUGAGAUCCUCGGGAUUCAGCGCCGUUAAAUGCUGGCAACCCAAGAGUCCGUCCUCAUUAGGAAAACCAAAUCCUCUCGAACGGCAUAUUCGUCAUUCACUCCGUCUCCGUCUCUGUCUCCCCGGCAAAGAGGUUCCGGCAUAAAAGCCCUCCAUCUCUGAUUUUCACCGACUGAACCGUUACUUCAGGUAUUUCUUCUAUCUCCUUGGUCUCGGAUAGUUGUAGAUAAUUUCUCUUCUCUUCUGUUGGGUAGUAGUUGGUGGUGUUGUGGUUAGAGCUUAGGGAAUGUCGAAAGGCAAAGAGAAGGUCAUUGAGGUUGGUGACGACGAGUUGGACUUCCUGCCUAGUCUGCUCACCGAUCCUGCUUUUGACCCCGGGAUCCCCUUAGAGCCCAUUAGGUCUAGUGUCGGGACUAGUGCUAGGAGGAUGUCUCCCCAAACAACCUCUACGAGCGGAAGUAAUGGUGAGGAGAGAUCUUCUGGCUCCGAGGAUACUUUGAGUGAGAAUGGCGAAGGUGACUCUGGUGAGGUGUCUCCAUCUGGAACAUCACGACCAGAAGAACGGGGUAUAGUAGGAGGCAGAGCCUUGUCGCGCGAUUAUGCCAUUGAUUACAUGACGUGCACGACCUCGUUUGACGAGCUCAAUGACCUCCGGCUUAGGUAUAGCAUUCCUGGUGAGAUACCUCUCAAGGUCCCAGGAAAGAAGGAUGCUCCCAGCCGGCCUCCUAGGGGAUAUGUUACCCUGUAUCUGGACAGCUUUAAGUACGGGCUGAGGUGUCCCUUGCAACCUUACUUUGCCCGGAUACUUAACGGGCUAAAUCUAGCUCCUGGUCAGCUGAAUCCCAAUGGGUGGAGAGUGCUCUCUGGUCUGUUCAUAUUGUGGGACAGAUGUUGCCAAAGCGAGCCCACGGUUGAUGAGGUGAAGCACCUGUACCAGCUAAAGAGCAGCCCCAAAGAUGCCGUCUGGUACUACUUCCAAUCUAGCACCAAGAGCAGGAAACCUAUAACCGACCUCCCUACUGGUGGUGGUGGGAAUUGGAAGAGAAAAUUCUUUUUUGCUGGGGGUCCUUGGGGUCAGGUUGCACAAAUGGACGGGAAGGAUUAUCGGGUCCCACCCCGUUUCACGGUCCCAGGUUGCCUGCUCGCUUUAGAUGUCUUGUAUCCACAAUUGUUAUUGCUUUAUUGGCUUGUCUCUAACCAAGUGUCUGUUUGCGUUGUAGUUUCUUGGGGUGUUCACUUCCCGCUCCCACCUGACCAGCUCAAACGGGUCAAGGCUGUGCUCGCCAAUUCCUGCUCGAGUCGAGAACUGCUAACUACAUACAACUUGCUCGAAUCUCGCUUGAUACUUCCUGGCCAUAGGAUGGAGGACGCCGUGAUUGGGGCUCUGACCCGAAAACGUUCUCGACCUCCAACCACGAAGAGGGACCAGGGUAAGGAUGCCCCUGCUGCAAAGCGGGCCAGCAUCGUGCAGCAGGUCCCACCCUUGGAGAUUUUACCUCCUGCUCCUGAAAAAGUCGGGGAAGCUAGUGGAGCAGCCACAGAUCCUGCUUCCUCAUCUGUUCCUGUCGGGCCUCGAUCUCGCUUACCUGACAGCCGAGCAGAACACCUGGUCCCCUACCUCAAUGAGUUGUCUAAACUCGUGAGCAAGAAGGACCUGGAGGACUUCGACGGCUGCACCUUGGGUGAGCUGGUGGGGGCCAUGCAGCAUAGCGCUUUCCACCUCAGCUGCAUGACCACCUAUUACAAGGCUAAGGUUGGUCGAUACGAUCGGAAAAUGAAGGGGGAUAUUCAAUCGGCGACGACCAGAGCUGACAUUGCCGAGAAGAAAGCAGGGGAGCUGAACCUCGAGAAUCUGAAGCUGAUAGAGCAAGAAUCACUUGCUCAAGCAAAGACCAUUACCCUCGAGGAGGAGCUUACCAAGGUCAAGGAGGAUCUGCAAAGGCAGAAGGCUAUGUAUGAGGCCCAGCUCGAAUCUCUCCGGGACUCCAACCGAGCUCAGGUCGAGAACUUGGAGAGGGAGGCAGAGAAUCAGUACGACCAGGGACUUCGGCAUUCCUAUCGUUGCAUCAUGGCCGUCCUCGGGAAGCAACACCCUGAUCUGAAGAUGGAUGACCUUGCGGCUGGUGUUGCCCAACAUAUGGACGAGGAGGCGGCCAAGGAAGAUGCUGAAGGGGUAGAGCCGAUCGUGAUCGAGGAGGAAAGCUCUCCUCCUCGUGCAGUCCCUGCUGAUGUUGGCGAGGCGAGCACCCCUCCGGACGCAACUGGCGAUACCCCUCCCGCACCUGAGGAGGUCCAGUCAACCGAUGCUGCUCGGCUCACUGAUCUACCAUCUUUUUGAUAUAUUUCUUUUUGUAUUGUAAUAAACAACGUUUAUGAAAUUUAUCCCCUCUGUUAGCCAUUAACACAUUAAUAAAGAUGUUUUUUGAUUACUUUCUCGUCUUGUAAUCAUCACUUAUUUUCCGUUUGGGAAUCUGCUCGUCUCGUCUGGUCGAGCAGGUUCUGGUUUGGCAUAUGGUUUUGCAACAUGCCUUAGAAAAAUUUCUUUUUUUUUUUUUUUUUUUUUUUUUUUUUUUUUUUUUGCUUGGGGAUUCUGCUUGCCUUCGCGUGGUCGAGCAGGUCCUGGCAUGCUUGGCUUCAGUCUCGCCAUAAAAAGGCUUUGAGACUUGGUGAGGCCUUUGCAUGCCUUAGAAAACUUUUUCGAUGCUUGGGGAUUCUGCUCGACUUCGCUCGGUCGAGCAGACCCUAGCAUGCUUGGCUUCCGUCUCGCCAUAAAAAGGCUUUGAGACUUAGUGAGCCUUUGCAUGCCUUAGGUGGCUUCUUCAAAGCUUGGGAUUCUGCUGCCUUCUCGUGGCCGAGCAGAUCCGGGCAUGCUUGGCUUCUGUCUCGCCAUAAGACAGGCUUUGAGACUCGACGAGCCUUUGCAUGCCUUAGAUGGCUUCUUCGAAGCUUGGGAUUCUGCUGCCUUCUCGUGGCCGAGCAGAUCCGGGCAUGCUUGGCUUCUGUCUCGCCAUAAGACAGGCUUUGAGACUUGACGAGCCUUUGCAUGCCUUAGAAAUUUUCUUGGUUUCAAGCGAAAGGAAUUCCUCGACGUUCCAUUAAUGGCAGGAUUCGGCUUACAUGAACUUGUUUGGACAUAAAGCGUGAAAGAUAAACGAUAAUGAUCAUGAGCAAAAAUAGCUUUCAGAUGUGAACAAAUCUUACUGGAAGUAUUUUCGGAGGUGUGCUGCGUUCCAUGGGCGUUUCAGCUCGUGGCCGUCCGUGCGAACCAGCUUGUAAGCUCCGGGUCCCGCUAUCUGCUUGACUCUAUAUGGCCCUUCCCAAUUCGGUCCCAGCACUCCUUGAGUCGAAUCUUUGGUGCUCUGAUUCACUCUUCUCAGUACCCAGUCUCCGACCUUGAAUUGCCGUAUGUUCACCUUCUGGUUAUAAUACCGAGCAACCCUCUGUUGGUAAAGGGCUGAUCGCUCGGCUGCUUGCUCCCUCCUUUCCGUUAGCAGAUCAAGAUUCAAACAUAUCUGCUCGUCGUUCUCCUGCUCGUUGAAAUGACCUGUCCGGUGUGUGGUCGUUCCUAUCUCAGCCGGCACGACCGCUUCAUGUCCGAAAGCCAAAGCGAACGGUGUCUCCCCAGUUGCGGUUUUGUGGGUUGUUCUGUAUGCCCAUAGCACACCUGACAGCUCGUCAACCCACGCACCCUUUUUUGCUCCAAGCCUGGUUUUCAAAAGCCUCUUGAUGGUCUUGUUGGCUGCUUCUACUUGUCCAUUCGAUUGAGGGUGAGCAGGCGAGCAAUACUUCAGCUCUAUCCCGAGGUUCUGGCAGAAAUCCCUGAAGCUGUGAUUAUCGAACUGCCUGCCAUUAUCCGUUACCAAGGCAUAAGGGAUCCCGUAUCGACAGACCAGGUUUCUCCACACGAAGUCUGUUGUUUUCUUCUUUGUGAUCCUGCUAAGGGCUUCUACCUCUAUCCACUUCGUGAAGUAAUCUAUAGCAACUAUUGCAUGUGUUGCUGCUCCUUGUGCCUUUGGCAAUGGGCCGAUCAGAUCAAUUCCCCAUUGAGCAAAUGGCCAAGGGGAGGCCAUGGAGGUGAGCUUCUCUGGGGGUUGGUUAGAGAAAUUUGCAAAACUCUGGCAGCUUACACAACUCCUGGUCUUCUCUUGCGCAUCCUGGUGCAUUGUCGGCCAGAAAUAUCCCUGCCUAAGAACCUUGUGGGCCAGGGACCUCCCGCCAGAAUGAUUUCCGCAAAUUCCUUCAUGUACUUCUCUCAGUACGUAAUCCGCGUCGUCCUCAUCCAAACACCGAAGGAACGGUAGUGUAUAUCCUCGCCGAUACAGCGCCCCAUCAAUCAUCGUGUAUCUCGAGGCCUGGGCUCUAAUCUUGCGAGCUCGCAGCUUAUCUGGUGGUAAUACUCCGUCUCUAAGGUAUGAAACUAUCGGGUCCCUCCACGAGCAUUUUUGUUCUAUCCGCAACACCCCCGAAUUCUGAUCGAUACUUGGGCUGGACUUCACCUCCAGAGGGACCGACUUUGGCAUUUUUGGGUCGGCUACUGCUGCCAUCCUCGCCAAAAUGUCUGCUCGACUAUUCUGCUCCCUGGGGAUCUGUACCACCUCCACUGCUUCGAACUUCCCCAUCAUCUGCCUGACUAUCUUCAGGUACUGCUCCAUCUUCUCCUCUCUUGGUUGGAAUCUUUCACUGACGUGAUUCGCAACCAGCUGGGAAUCAGUUCUGAUCUUAACUCUGUCUUCUUUCACGGCCUUAGCCAAUUCCAGACCUGCUAUCAAGGCUUCAUACUCUGCCUGGUUAUUUGUGGCUGCAAAUUCCAACUUUACAGCAUAAGAGAUCUCCUCCCCCUCAAGGCCUUCCAGGACAAUCCCUGCUCCUGAACCCCGCUCCCCUGAUGACCCGUCCACAGACAUCUGCCAUACUUGAUUUUCGUCAUUGCCUAUAACUGCAUCCUGUUGAUCUGAGCAUACUUCGGGCUCUGUGAAUUCAGCUACGAAAUCGGCCAUUGCCUGGGCUUUUAUCGCUGCGCGGGGUUUAUAGUCUAUGUCGAACUCGCUCAGCUCUACAGCCCACUUGACGAGCCGACCAGAGGCAUCUGGCUUGUGCAGAGUUUGACGCAAUGGCUGGUUUGUUAUUACCGAGACCGGGAAUGCUUGAAAAUAUGGCCUCAACUUCCGAGCAGCAACCACAAGGGCAAGUGCCCAUUUCUCCAACAGUGGGUAUCUAGUCUCAGCGUCGAGUAGGGCCUUGCUGGUGUAGUAUAUCGGAUACUGAACUCCUUCUUCCUCUCUCACCAGAACAGAACUGGCGGCCCGAUCCGACACCGCCAAAUACAGAUACAACUUGUCCCCAUCCCUUGGUGUGGACAGCAGCGGAGCUUGCUGCAAGUAUUGCUUCAAGUUCUGGAAGGCUUCCUCGCACUCUGGGGUCCAUUCUGUUUUCUUUCCCCUCCUUAUCACUUGAAAGAAUGGCUGACACUUAUCUGUAGCCUUGGAGAUGAAUCUGCUCAACGCCGCCAACCUCCCUGUGAGGCUCUGCAUCUCCUUCAGGUUACGAGGAGACGUCAUUUGCACAAUCGCCUGGAUUUUCUCGGGAUUUGCUUCAAUCCCCCUAUGGCUCACCAUGAAUCCAAGGAAUUUCCCUGACUCGACCCCAAAAGCACACUUUUCCGGGUUGAGCUUCAUCUUAUACUUCCUCAAAAGCUCGAAUGUCUCCUCGAGGUGUCUGACAUGUUCCUUCGGGAUUUUGGACUUGGUGAUCAUGUCAUCCACGUACACCUCCAUGGUUUUCCCAAUCAACGGCUUAAAGACUUUGUUCACCAGCCUUUGAUAGGUGGCCCCAGCAUUUUUGAGACCGAACGGCAUUACCCUGUAACAGAACAAACCUUGGUUAGUGACGAAAGCCGUGCUCUCCUCAUCCUGCUCGUACAUGGGGAUCUGGUUGUAUCCCGAGAACGCGUCCAUGAAGCUGAGCAGACCAUGUCCAGCCGUUGAAUCUACUAGCUGAUCGAUCUUUGGUAGAGGGAAGCUGUCUUUUGGGCACGCCUUAUUGAGGUCUGUGAAAUCCACACACAUCCUCCACUUGCCGUUUGCCUUCUUUACCAACACCACAUUCGAUAUCCACUCAGGGUAACUGACUUCCCGAAUGAACCCUGCUCUCAAGAACUUCUCCACCUCGCUAUUUAUUGCCUCAUACAUCUCCUGGUUGAAGCACCUCCUCUUCUGCCUUACUGCCCGAGCACCUUUCUUUAUUGCCAGCUUAUGACAUGCUACCUCAGGGUCAAUCCCUGGCAUGUCUUCAUGUGUCCAAGCAAACACAUCAGAAUGAGCCUGUAAGCAUUUCACCAACUCCUGCUUUUGCUCUCCCUCAAGCCUCGACCCGAUUCUGAUCAUCUUUCCCGGAUUCUCUGGUCCCAGGCUUACUGUUUCCAGAUCUUCUACAGGUUCUUGUCUGCCCUUCUUGUUUUCCACUCGGGUAUCGAGGGAUGUUAUCUGCAUUGCUUCCCUUGCUGCCGAGGAGUAGCAGCUUCUUGCGAUCCUCUGGUCUCCUCGUACCACUCCUACUACCCCAUUCACCCGGUACUUCAGAGCGAGAUAGUGGUUGGACAACACCGCUUUGCUCAUCCUUAAAAAUGGCCGACCUAGGAUCAUCUGGUAAGGACCUUCCUCGUCCACUACGACAAAGUCCAGUAUCAUUGUUCUUUCUGUCAGGGAGCUCCCAAUUGUGAUAGGCAGCUCGACCACGCCCAGAGGGACCAGCUUCCCUCCUCCGAACCCCUUCAAGGAGGUAUUGGUGUAUUCCAACUUUCGGUCGGCUAUUCCCAUCUCUUCCAGGGUUGACUUAAAUAACACAUCAACUGAGCUCCCUGUAUCAAUCAGUAUCCGGUCAAACUUCUUGCUAGCGACAGUAGCCUUGAUGACUAAAGCAUCAUCGUGGGGGUAUAGAAUCCCUUCCUCAUCCUCAUCCGUCCACAUGAUUGGCACUUGCCUGACCCUUGCUCGUUUGGCUGCUGGGGUGUUGAAGAGUACCUCUUUACUGGUCAUGGCGUACCUAGCAUAAUUUUUUCUCGAUCUGUUGGAAUCUCCGGCCAAUGUUGGGCCCCCAGCUAUCACCCUUACUGCGGGCUGCUCGCGCCUCAAGUUUCUACCACUCUGCUCCCCUUCACCUGUUGUGGCCACCAUCGGGAAAGUCCCAUCCAUAAACUCGUCCAGGUACCGAUUUCUCACCAAAUCUUCGACCUGGAUCUUGAGAUCUCUACACUCUGCCGUGGUAUGGCCAUGGGUGCCAUGGAACUUACAAUAACGUCUUCUAUCCCUCCUGUUGGGUAGCUUUGUUAUUGGUGUAGGGAGGUGCAGCAGACCUCGAUCCUUUAUGGCCUCGUACACCUCAUCCAGGGACAUCUUCAAGGAAGUGUACCGCCCAUAGUCCGGGUCCUGGUCGAUCAGGUGCACUGCUCUUUCUCUGUUUGCCCCGCUUUGAGUUGGGGGCGGUGGAAGUAAUUCUGGUCUGCUCGCUCUGCUACCAUGUUGGUGAAGACCACCAGAUGCCGACUCAUGCCUUCUCCAAGGCUCCCUAGCUGGGGAACGAGGAGGUUGCGCCCCGCUGCGCUGAUACUGUGGUGGCCUCUGAUGAGGCUGGUAAGCAGUUACCCGACCUCCUGCUCUACUACCGGAGGCCUGGUGGUCUCUCCUCCUGAUCGGCCCAUUCCCCGGUAAUGCUUUCUUCUCUUUCCUCCCCAACCCUUCCAACUGGUCUGUCUUAAUCCGUGCAGCCUUCUCCUCUUCAAUCUCGAUGUCUCUCUUAGCCUGUUCGUAUGCGGCUGCAUACGUUUGAAUAGCUGGGCUUCUCAAAUUGUACCACAACCUUCCUAUCUUCACCCCUUCUUUCAAUCCCCUUAACGCCUGAGGGUGGUUGAAGGCUCCCAAGUCGAGGACAGCCCGAUGAAACCUCUUGAUGAAUUCCCGAAGGGUUUCUUGCUCCCCCUGUUUCAUGCUUUUCAGCUCCAUCAUGUCGUCUUCCGGUGCCAUUGCCCCACUAAACUGCUCCGCGAAUUCCUGGCACAUCUGCUCGAAGGUUUUAAUGCUGCCCCGAGGAAGUUUCCUGUACCAUUCUCGUGCACGUCCCUCAAGGGAUAGUGGGAACACCCUGCACCUUUGGGAUUGAGAUAAUCCUUGUACCCCAGUUAUGUCGUUGAAGCGCUCUAUAUGCACCAGCGGAUCAGUUCUUCCCGAGUAUCUGAGGUCUGGGAGGCGGAAAUCUCUCGGAAUAACUGCCCUCAUGAUUUCUGUUGCGAGCGGCGAUUCUCCGUCCAGCAUUAUCCUCCAACCAGGGGCUCUGUUCCUUCCUUGCAUGUCGUCAAUUAUCUGCGCUAGUCUGCGCACUUCCCCCUCCAGCUGCAACGCACGACCAGGGUCACGUGCUGCAACUUGAUCCCACUCUUGCUCUACAUCAUGCAAGUGUUGCCUCAACUCUGUUUCCUCUGCAUUCACCACCCCGUCGCCCUCGUCACCAGUCUGUCUUGCUGGGGACUGCUCUCUUUCUCUAUGAAAUUCUCCCUGCAGAGGUACGUUACCUCUCUCACCACCAAAUCUCCCGGGGGUUUGACUUCUCCCCGCACUAUCGGGACCUGGUGCCACUCCACCGCCUCUCACCCUUCCCUCUUGGGUUACCCUUCGCUCGCUCCGCAGCUCAUGCAGGAUGGUUGUCAAGGUCUCCAUCUGCUUUUCCAUCCGUUCCAUCUGGUCGAACAUGACUUUUUCCCGUGCUUCGCUGACUAUCUCCCUCAGCGUCACGGAAUCGUUAAGCCUCCUAUCACCCCCUUGUGCACUACUUCUUCCUGUCUCCAUUGCUUUUCACUUGCUUCACCCCUCUUCUUGCUAUCAACAGAAGCUUUUUGCUCUGGUCCCCACAGACGGCGCCAAAAUGUUGAUGCAGGAUUCCGGUUCUUCUCGUUCUACGACCAGGAUCUCUGCUCGAUCAACUUCGUCACGACCAGGAGGUCUCCUCGCAAGACUUUUUCUCUAGAGAUUCCUGCGCACACAGACAAGUCAGAGUACGCCGGUUGUUUUCCCGGCGCAAACCCUCCGACGCUCAAGUCAGAUAUGAAGGUUCGGGGAACGCUUGCCACCGAUCUUAUGGCUUUUUCGUGGUUUUCUCUUCUUUUUAAUUCCUUUUCUAAUGAGAAAAAUGCCAACCCUUUUACCUCGUCGGCUACCUUUUUAUAGGCUUCCUCUGAAUCCCAGUUUUCCGCUCUUUUCGAGACGGUAUGGGACUCUGACUGCUGCGUUAUGGGCAAACGUGGGAUCUUGCGUGUUACGCCACCGUUCUGGGAAAAGCGCGGCAGUCGUGGUUCUGUGAGAUCUUGCGUGUUACGCCACGGUUCUGGGGAAAGCGUGGCUGUCGUGCCUAGGUUCUCGGGCUGGAGAGCAUGUCUCGUCAACUGCCGUCGACCGGGUCUCCUCGCCUCUCGACCUCUAGCCGGAAUGACCUUAUGCCUCUUACAGGAAAUUGGCCUCGCGGAUGACCUGCUCGUGGACGAGCAGGAUAUUUCUGCUCCUGUUCCCCCGCGUACCAGGCUUUUACGGGACACACCGGUUCGCAGAACUCUGCCAUCAGAUAUCUGCUCACCGUGCCUGGUCUCGUCGACGUAUUUCUCCCAAACACCUGGUAUGACUGCUUAUGCUGGAUUUUAUGAGGUGUGCUCUCCUAAGCAAGGAGAGUGGGUCUUAAUAUGGGCAAGGGUGCAGUUGGUCAGCUUAUGGGGCAGUUUGCAAAGUUACUGGGCUGCUAUGUUGUCGGAAGUGCUGGAAGCAAAGACCAGGUAUACAAACAAACAAUCCGUAUCAGUUGCUUGAUUGUUCCCAUUUUGCUUUCAAAAUAUCUAACUUACAUAAGGAAAAUUUUCACCAUCUCGUCUUUUCUUUGAUUUUGAACGCUAAGAUUGAUCUACUGAAGAAUAGGUUUGGGUUCGAUGAGGCGUUCAACUAUAAAGAAGAUCCUGAUUUGAAUGCAGCCUUGAUAAGGUUAGUAUAUCAGCAAACUACAAAUUAGAAGACAUUUUUUCCUGAAAAUCAAAUAAUGUUUCUAAUUUGACAGGUGGUUUCCUGAAGGCAUUGACAUAUACUUUGAAAACGUUGGUGGGAAAAUGCUCGAUGCGGUGCUGAUCAACAUGAAAAUCGGUGGUCGAAUUGCUGUGUGUGGGAUGAUCUCGCAGUACAACCUUGACGAACCCAAAGGCGUACACAACUUGACGCGUCUUAUUUCGAAACGGGUUCGGAUGGAAGGAUUCCUCGUAUCGGAUUACAAUAAACUCUAUCCGAAAUUUCUGGAAAUGAUCAUUCCUCACAUCAAGGGGGGAAAGAUUGUAUACAUUGAAGACACGGCUGAAGGUCUUGAGAGUGCUCGGGCAGCUCUCGUCGGUCUGUUCUCUGGCCGGAAUCUCGGGAAACAGGUGGUUGCAGUUGCUUCUGAAUGAAUGAAGGAUUUGGUUGUUUACAUCAUGCUUCUACUCGUCCAUUUAUUUAAUAAAAUGGUUACGCUCAAUGAGUGUAAUUUUUAUGAUGCUAAAUUAAAUGUGGAAUGUGGCUGCUGGUUUGAUAAUGUUAAAAGUGCUAAAAAAUUUCAUGUUAGGCGCGGUGUGCGUCUGUAUAUCAUUUUUAGGUACGGGCAUUCUAUCUUUUUUUUUUAAUUAAUACAGACACAUUCUUAAACUGUAUGGUUUAAGAGAGAGUUAAAAAAAACUUUUACCACAUGGUUUAAAAGCGUAUCCGUAUGGAAAAAAAAUGAAAGUCCAUUGGAGAAGAAUUUUAUAUAUAGUCCAGGAUAUUAAAGUGCGGGAAAACUAUAGAGUUUUAAAAACUUAAAAUUUAAAACGUUUAAACUGCACGAUUUAUGUGUUUUUCGAUGUGAUCCCACAUUUUAAAAUUGUGGAUUGGAACAUUUGUCUUUGAGGGAAAAAAAACAAUAACAACAACUUCUUUUGGAGACCGUGGGGCUCAUAUGCAGAUUCAACCCCGAGCUAUACACUGGAUCUGGUGGGCUAGGUUUGAACCCAAAACAAGCUCUAUUCAUUACACGGUUCAGCGGGUUGGUCCAUUUGACGCUUCUAACUUAACAAUUUAAUCAUAAUAAAUUGAAAAAAUAAAAUAAAACCCACGUAUCUAAAUUAUUGUAUUGAGCUAUUGGUGCAGAGAAUAAGUAUAUAUGAGAACAAAAACAACACGAUGUAGUCGCUCGUUUUGUCACUUCUAAAAUCAGGAUUUAGAGCAUCACCAAAAGGCUCUUCAAAUAAGAUUUUAUUACUCAUUUGAAGAGCCACAUCAAUAUUUAAAGCUCCAAAAGACACUCUAAUUAAGAUUCUUCAAAUAAGAAUUGAUUCUCUCUCUUCAAAUUUGGAGAGUUAAUUUCUCCCUCUUCAAUUUAUAUUUUAUUACUUUUCAUUAAAAAAAGAGAGAGAAGUGCUUUAAUUGCUAUUGACUUUUCCUUUUAAAAACUAAUUAUAUGAUUAAAAUAAUAUUAACUUAUUUCUAUUUGAAGAGUCUUUUGGAAAAUAUCAUAUUUUUUCACCCUUCUAUUUGCCACAUAGGUAAGCAAAUAGAUAUUUGAAGAGUAAAAUUUAUAGAGGCUUUUGGAGAUGCUCUUAUGAUAGAGUCAUAGUGUUAACAGUACAUCGGUGUAUAAUUAUUUGUAAUGAAAUUAAUUAAUAUGGGUUUUAUGUUGUCUUUGUCAAUAAUCAAUUAAAUUUUUCGUUUUCAUUUAAAUGUUACUGAUCGAUGAAACAUUUGACUGCGUUCAAGUUAUCUUUUAAUUUUGUGAGAUCCACAUUGUUUUUAUUUCAAAAACAUAAUUUUUCAUAUUAUUAAAAAGCUGUUGCUUGGGCCUAGAGAAAUUGGAUUAAUGAAAUACCUUAAGGGUGUGUUUGACACAUUAUAUUGUAUUAUGUUGCAUUGCAUUAUUUUAUUUGGUGUUGCACUAUACUUUACUAAUUUUUUUGCAAUUAAUUUAAAUUACAUAGUUAGCAAAUAAUAUUUAUUAGUGCUUAGAAAAAUACUAAAUAUAGAAGUCUUAAAUUUUAGAAAUUUAACAAUUUUUUUACUAUAAAUGUUAAAAAAUAUAAUAAUUCUUCAUAAAGAUGGAAGCUUACAGCCUUAAGUUUUUGGAAGCAGAGCAUUUAUUUUUUAGUAUCUUCUAAAUAUAUAAUUUUUGAAAUAAAGAUAUAAGCACAUAAUUUAAUCACAUAGUCUUUAAAUAAUAUAACAACAUAAAUAAAUAGUUAAAAUGUGCAAGAUUAGUUCAAAACUCAUCUUAGGAUGAUAUAAUAAAAGUUUAUACACACCACAAGAUAAUCACAAAAUAAUAAAGUGAUAAAAUUAUUAUAACAUAUUCACUACCAAAAUAAAUUAUAUUAAAUAAUCCAAGUGAGAGUUCUGUAGUUUAUAUAAUAAUAUUAUUUAUGUUAUUAUUAUUAAUUUUAAAUUAAUAUUAUCCAAAUUUAUUCAUACUUAAAUAUGUAUUAUUAGUUAUAUUACAUUAUUUUUACAUAUUAAUUAUUGUAAUAUAAUUAAAUAAUGUAAAAUUAUAUUAUAUUUUUAUAUACUAUUUAAGUAUUUAUUAUUAAUUAUAUUCAAUUAUAAAUUUAUUAAUAAAUUAUAGUGCAAAAAAAAAUAGAAAUAAAAAUUAAUAUUGUAUAAUAAAUAACAUUCUGCUCCCAAUUUCUGGAUUUUAAAUUCCAAAAAUAGUAUUCACGUUCGCCACAUUCAAAAAUCCAACCUGGGCUUGGAGAUUCGAUUCAUCUCAUAGAUUAAUUUUAUAAACUAAUGUUUAGUGAAAAAUUAACCUUAAUGGGUCCUCCUCUCCAGGCCUAAUUCUUAAUUUUUUUUUUAAUUUGGUCCUACUUAAGUGGCUUCUAACGUUACCGUGUCUUUAUUUUGUGUACAGUUGUUUUACUAAUUUGUCAUUUAGUGCAAAUAACAGCACUCAACUUGUAAUAUCCAGUAUCCACAAAUCAGCCACUUCGGCCAAGGCCGAAGUGGUGGGCUGCUGCCCUCACAAUGCUUGUGAGGGCAGCGGUUCUAGCCCCCACAAAAGCAUUGUGGGGGUUAAAUGUUCUUUAUAUUUCCAAAAAAAUCCUUCUCUCUUGCAAAAUGUAAGUGGAGUAUGGACAUCCCUCUCCUGUGAGGGGUUAUUUGUCUGGGCAUGUACUUCAUAGAAUUCAUUGUAAUAAUGUAAGUCCCAAUCAUGUAUAUCUGAUUGUAAAUAUCAGUGUAAUAUCUCUGCUACAAUAAGCAGUUGUUGUAAAUAUCUGUCUGAUGAUUAAUCAGUAUUCAAAAAAAAAAAAGUAUCCACAAAUCAUGAACUCAUUUUUUAGUUCUUUCAUGUGUACUAACAUUCGUACAAAUAUACAAUAAGUUCAUAAUUUAGUCCAAGUUGACGAGAAAUUCUUGACCCACCCCUAAAUAUCUGUCCGCCAAUAGCGUGAAGUGGCCGGCAUAAAUUUAAAGCAGCUGGGACAUUGUAACUCAUCCAAAGAUUGUAUAACAUCUCUUUUUUGCUUUAUCGUUUUUCUCCAGUUGCAUAGUUUCUUAUCCUACCGCUUUAAAAACAAUUAUUCCUAGAAAUUUUCAUUUAUCUAAUGAAUUUUAAGAAUUUUUUCAGCAAACAAUUUUUACUUUUUUUUUUUUUUAUCAUUGAUGGGUAAAGAAAAUAUUAAUGAAAAAUGAGGAGUUAUUGGCUGGUUCAACGGAUUAAUUGCAAUGAUAAAUACAGGGAGGAUUGGAUUAUAUGGCAAAUUUUUAUAGUAAAUGUAAUAUAUAUGCUAACACUUUUUAUUUAUGGCAAAAUAUCUUCCUCUUUUGAGACUUUUCCCUCUAAGAAAAUUGGAGGAUACGACAAUAUAUAUAUAUAUAUAUAUACUAAUAUUUAUCAUUUAUAGAAAAGUAUCUAUCCCACUUAAGAUUUGCCCCACUAGAAAAGGAAAAAAAAAUCCCUCAAAAUAAAAGAGCGAAAUGGAAACAGAACAAAAUUUGAUUUUGUGGAUCUUGUAUUGUGUGAUAAGUCCGGCAUGCAAUUUUGGGCCAGCUUACCGUGCGCAUGGGAGCAUUCACAAAGUAUCUCUCGUCACUAUCGAAAACUUUUAACAGUCAAUACAAAUGCUUCCGUUUCAUCCCAUAAACAAAUAAAAUUCACAUCUGUACACAUCUACUUUGCUUUGCUAGAUAGAGUUCCUCUGCAUUUCCCAAUUGCCUAAAGAGAAGGGGAAAAGAAAAAGAGGGCCAAAAAAUGCCUGAAAUGGUAAGGAACAAGCAAGUGAUAUUGAAGGACUAUGUGUCUGGUUUCCCAAAAGAAACAGACAUGUACAUGACCGAAAGUUCCAUAGAAUUGAAGGUGCCAAAAGGUUCAAAUGGGGUUCUUUUAAAGAACUUGUACUUGUCCUGUGAUCCGUACAUGCGACCAAGAAUGACCUACAUCGAAGGAUCUUAUGUUGAAUCCUUUAAACCUGGCUUGGUUAGUGCACUCGCUCAUGGCCACGCUUUUCAUUUCCAUGGCUUCUUGCUCUUUUGUUAUAGAAAAUUUAUUUUUGGUUGCAGUUUGGUUCGACUGCUAAAAUCUCGUGCGAUAAUUGUAUAAGAUAUCUAGAGUUUGAACUUCUUUCACAUUAGGGUUCAAGGAAGUUAACUUAAAUGAUUUUCAAAAUUUUAAAUGUGUACCAAUGAAUUUAAUUUCAUAGCUUAAACUUAUUGUUUGAUCAUACUCUAACUUUGGACAGGAAAAUUAUAUUUUUCCUUUUGUUCUUUGACUUCGUGUAUGUUGUGUGAAGUACUUGUGCUUGAAAAUGAAUUGCUGACACAGAAAUUUCUAUGAAUGCAUGCAGCCCAUAAGUGGAUAUGGGGUGGCUAAAGUUUUGGAUUCAGAGAAUCCAGAGUUCAACAAAGGUGACUUGGUUUGGGGAAUGACUGGAUGGGAAGAGUAUAGUCUCAUUACGGCUCCACACUUGUUUAAAAUUCAGCACACAGAUGUGCCUCUUUCUUACUAUACUGGAAUCCUCGGUAAACUUUUUGUUUGCGCAAUUUAUGUGAGCAAAUUGUGUCUUCUUUUUCAUAUGUAAAUGUUUUUGAUAUCUUGAUGUGAAGGUAGAAAAUUGCAUGUUUUGAGUUUUUGCAUAUUUGAUGGAAACACAGAACCGUACCUGAAUAUUUCAGAACCCCCUUUUCUUUGAAGUUUGAACACUUUUCUUGAAUGUAUCAACUUUAUUUAUGGGAUAUGUUGCCAAAUUGGCAAAUCUAUUCGUUAUAAAACUUUCCUUUGACAGUUUAAUCUAAGCAGAUGUUAAUUCUGCAAAUAGAGUGUGCCUUAGUUUAGAUUGAUAGAUUUGUCUCCUUCUGUACAGUAAAAACUUUGAGCAUUUUCGCCAUAUUCUGAUCAAUACACUCCAACUAGUUAGUUCUUGAGGCGUUUCCUGGUUUCGUGGAGUGAGCCAAGAUGUAUACGUUUGCAAAUUGGCAAUGUCUUUUGCUUGAUGUGUUGUGAGUUGUGAGUGUCAAUAGGAAAGUUUCAAAGUGCGCAGUGCUCACUUGAGCACCCAUAUUACUUGGUGACCUGUUGCCUCAGCAAACAAGACCUCUGUUUUAUGAACUCCAAAAAGUUAUUCUGUUAAAAAGAUCGAGACAGAGGCCAUACUAUAUUUAUUAUUGCUAUAAAAGUGUCAAACAAUAUUCUUUAUUUAAUAUUCUAAACGAUUGAGCCAUUUAGUUAUGAUACUCUGCUGUACUGGGGCUAAUAAUCUAAGUCGGUUCAAAGUGGUAAAUUUAUAAAUUGAUAGGUAUGCCUGGUAUGACCGCUUACGUUGGAUUUUAUGAGGUCUGCUCUCCUAAGCAUGGAGAGUGCGUCUUCAUAUCAGCAGCAUCUGGUGCAGUUGGUCAGCUUGUGGGGCAGUUUGCAAAGUUAUUGGGUUGCUAUGUCGUCGGAAGUGCUGGAAGCAAAGACAAGGUAUGUAAUCUGUGUGAACUACUUGAUUGUUUCCAUGUUACUUUCAAACAUUUAAAUUAAAAAGGAAAUUUUCAUAAUCUUGCCUUUUCUAUGAUUUUCAACACCAAGGUUGAUCUACUGAAGAACAAGUUUGGGUUCGACGAGGCAUUUAACUAUAAAGAAGAAGCUGAUUUGAAUGCAGCAUUGAAAAGGUUAGCAUCAAUAAAUGCCUUAGCUUGAUGCAGCUUGAUGAAGUAUGAUACACAUUUCUGACCAAUAUACUGCGUUCCCUGAUCUCUUACUUGAAAUAUCUUGGUUUGAGAAUCUCAUGCCAAUGCCUUUAACAUUUUGGCAGGUACUUUCCUGAAGGAAUUGAUAUAUAUUUUGAAAACGUUGGUGGAAAAUUGCUUGACGCAGUGCUACCCAACAUGAAAAUCCGUGGUCGAAUUGCUGCAUGCGGUAUGAUCUCACAGUACAAUCUUGACAAGCCUGAAGGUGUGCACAACUUGAUGUAUCUUGUUUCGAAACGGCUUCGAAUGGAAGGAUUCAUUGUUCUGGAUCACUAUCACCUCUAUCCAAAGUUUCUGGAAAUGAUCAUUCCUCACAUCAAAGAAGGGAAGCUUGUAUACGUCGAAGACAUGGCUGAAGGUCUGGAGAGUGCUCCGGCAGCUCUCAUCGGUCUAUUCUCUGGCCAGAAUGUUGGGAAACAGGUGGUUGCUGUUGCUCCUGAAUGAAGAACAAGUUAGUGUUGUGUGUUCUUUUACCCUUUGACACAAAACUUCAAUGUUAAAGAGAGAAUGCUGCUCAUACUGCUUUAUAAAAUAAUCAAAUGAGUGCAAGUUUCAUGAUAUGUGCUGAAUAAAAAUAUUGGAAAUUAAGCAGCUAGCCUAGCUCCUUCUUGUAGUUGCAGUUUGAAUGAUGCUGCUGCACAACUGCUGCCGAAAAAAUCCUUAAUAGAUGAUUAGCAAGGUUUCAAAAAUAAAAAUAAAUGUUUGUGCAAUGUGCCGAAUAUGACAGCCACAAAGAAAGAGCAUACAAAUUGACUGGUUUUAUGUCUUCUCUAGGAGAAAGCUACAAUACAAGAAAUUGUAUUGAUGCCAUGGACCAAAUUUCUUAUUUAAACUUUUAAUUUUUUUUUAUUAAAAUUACUUAUGUUAUUAUGGUUUAUAUUUUUAGAAAUUCUUUAGAAAUUAAUACAGAACUAGUAGCAAGUUGAGAAAUCUAAUGAAUGGUCGAGAUAUGAUCAUGUUUAUUGAAUUAAAUUGACAAUCAUCAUUUUGAUAAAUUAUUGUUAGGAUAUUUGAUUCAUCACAGGUGUAAGUAACUAAAUGUGCUAAAAAAAAAGUUAAUGAGUUGUGAGUGUUUGAUAUUCGUUUGUUGUAAUUCUUUUAAUAAUUGUUGUGGGAAAAAAAUUAUGGUAAAAAAAUUAUAAUUAUAAAAUAAAAAUUAAUAAUAUAUUAUAAAUAAAAUUUUUAAAUAAUAAUUUUAAUAAAAUAAUAAAUAUAUUAUGAAUUUUUCAUUAUAAAUUUUUAAGUUAAAAUAAUAAAUAUUUAUUAAAUAUUUUAAUAGCACAACUUUUAAAUUAUAACAGUACAAUGUAAAUACCAGAGGUCUUAAAAAAUAAAAUUACAGUCAAGUUUUAAAACUGUUAAUAAUGCUAUUCAUAAAGGCGCUCGUCGUGUAAACAACACAUGGGACCCAACCAAUAAAUGUUUAUGAUCCUCAACUUUCCUCCUCACCGUCCCUGCAAACAAUUCUGAUUUUCUUGUCUGAGAAAAAAACUGAGAAACAAUGGCGGCCGAACAAGAAGCUGUGAGCAAUAAGCGGGUGAUUCUAAGCAACUAUGUGACAGGUUUUCCAAAAGAAUCGGACAUGAAGAUAACAUGUGGAUCAAUAAAACUGGAGGUAGCAGACGGUUUAAAAGACACGGUGCUUUUGAAGAAUCUUUAUAUUUCUUGUGAUCCUUACAUGCGAGAGCGUAUGAGCAAGCUUGAUAGACCUUCUUUUGUUGAUUCAUUCCAUCCUGGUGAGGUUAGUUCAUCACGACCCAUCUCUUGAUUUUUUUUUUUUUUCAUUUGCUUCAAGUUUUGAUGAGUUUCUGAGGUCAUUUGUACGGUUUUGGAAUGUGAACACUAUUAGUGAUUUUGGGGCUGUAACUGUCAUUAAUGAUAUGUAGUAAUUCAAUCAGAAUUUGGAUUUAGUGCUGAUAUGAUCUCUGCUCAUUUUUUAAAAUCUUGUGUCCAGAUGCAUUUUUAUAAUCUUGUACGGUUGAGAUUGUAAGUAGAUUAAUCUACGUGCAGUAUUCUUGUCUAAUGACUACUAACCACAACCUUAUGAGACGAUCGAAACCAAGCUCAGAUCAAUAAUCCAAUUGAGAGAGGGUCCUAACUCAAGCUUAUCGUGUGUAGGAAUAUUUCGGUUAAAUUGUAAUUCUUUUAAUAAUUGUUGUGAAAAAAAAAAAGUUAUGAUAAAAAAAUUAAUAAUUAUAAAAUAAAAAUUAAUAAUAUAUAAUAAAUAAGAUUUUUAAAUAAUAAUUUUAAUAAAAAAUAAUAAAUACAUUAUCAGUUUUUCAUCGUUAAUUUUUAAGUCACAACCACAAAUAUUUACUAAACACUUUAACACCAUAAUUAACACCACAACUAUUGAAUUAUAACUGUACAAUCUAGACGCCAAGAGGCCUUAGUAUGAAAAAAAAAAAUUACAGUUAAGUUAAAAUUCAUCAUACAGAUGUGCCACUUUCAUACUAUACCGGGAUCCUCGGUAAUGAUUUUUGUUACACAAUAAGAUUUGCUUAUAGUAAUAUCAAUACAUAUGCUGCUUAAAUGCUUUCUGAUUUUUUGCCGGCCAUUGUCCAUUUUGCCAGGGAGUCUAUAAUUGAAGGAAUUUACUGAAGGAAUGCUGAUUGUUGGGAAUUUGAUUAUUCUAGGUAUGCCUGGUGUAACUGCAUACGCUGGUUUAUACGAAGUUUGCUUUCCGAAGAAAGGAGAGUAUGUCUAUGUAUCUGCAGCAUCUGGAGCUGUUGGUCAGCUUGUUGGACAGUUUGCAAAAUUAGCUCGUUGCUAUGUUGUUGGAAGUGCAGGAAGCAAAGAAAAUAUAGCACCGUGCCUUCUAGCAGAAUUUUACUUGCUUUAUGUUCCAACUAAGCAUCCAUAUUUGAUCAUGAUAAUUAGCAAGGUCAAUAAUUUUUUUUUGACUAUUUUUUCAACGUAAGGUCGAUUUGUUGAAGAACAAGUUUGAACGAUGCUUUUAACUACAAGGAAGAGCCUGAUUUGGAUGCAGCACUCAAAAGGUCAGCUGCAACAAACGUUUCAACUCUAAUAUUUCAUUUUAAUAUUACAGAGCUUUGGUUGAAGUGUGUGAGUUGAUCCCAGAAACGUAACUUCAUCAGUGUCUCUGUUUUCAAAAAACAGGACAAAUAGAAAUCUGAUUUUGCUUUAAAAUUUCCCAGAUGCUUCCCUCAAGGAAUCGACAUAUAUUUCGAAAAUGUUGGGGGAAAGAUGCUGGACGCAGUGCUACUCAACAUGAGGCUCCGGGCCGCAUUGCAGUAAGCAGUAUGAUCUCACAGUAUAACCUGGAAAAACCCGAAGGCGUUCACAACUUAGAGCAACUGAUCGGGAAACGGAUUCGCCUGGAAGGAUUUCUAGCUGGUGAUUACUAUCACCUCUAUCUGAAAUUCUUGGAACUGGUCAUUCCUCCAAUCAGAGAAGGAAAGAUGCUGUAUGUGGAAGACAUGGCCGAAGGACUCGAGAAAAUUUCUCGUAACUGCUACACAUUAAACGCGUUUCACAUUUCCACUCUCUUUCUAUAAAUAAAUACGCACAUAAAAUUUCUCACCAUCCAAAAACAAAAUCUACAUAAAAAAUGGCGGGUGAAGAAGCAGUGAGCAACAAGCAGGUGAUUCUGAGCAACUACGUGACAGGGUUUCCCAAGGAAUCAGACAUGAAGAUAAUAACAGGCUCAAUAAACCUUAAGGUGCCAGAGGGUUCAAAAGACACAAUGCUUUUGAAGAAUCUUUAUCUUUCUUGUGAUCCUUACAUGAGAGGACGUAUGAGCGAGCUUGAUAAGCCUUCGUUUGUUGCCUCAUUCGAGUCUGGCGAGGUCAGUUACUUCAAUUCCCAUCUCUUGGUUUCAUAAUCUUUUAUGGUUUUAGAAGGUGUUUUAGGGAAACAUUGUGGUUUUGGUUAGUGGGCAUGAGUCUUUGAAGAGAUUAUAAUGUGUAGGACUAUGCAUGCAAUAAUAAGCAUAGGGGAUCUUGUUAGGAGAAGAUUCUCUUAGCAAAAUAAAAACUUUUAUCUUAUCAAAACAUAUGCAGGGAACUUAGUUAUGAUGUCAUGUUAGCAUUAUCUCUGAGGAUUUGAUUUCUUGAUGGGGAAAGGGGAAUUUAAGGUUACAUUAUUCAGCAAUGUUUUUUUUUUAAAAAAUUAUGUUCAAAUUAUGCAGCCUUUAAGCGGAUAUGGAGUGUCCAAAGUGUUGGAUUCCACGCCUCCAAAUUAUAAGAAAGAUGACUUGGGUGGCGUUUGUUUUUUAACUUAAUGACUUAAAGUGACUUAACUUAAUUAAUUAAGUUAAUUAGAGAUGUUUGUUUUUAUAACUUAAUGUGACUUUUUAAAUAAUUUUGACUUAAUAAAAUAAGCCAAUUUUAUUUACUUUUUACUUAAUAGAGACAUCUGAAUUAAGUCAAGUACUUUCUAAUGUCAAAAAUAUACAUGCUUUAUAAUUUAUUUUUCAUGUCUAUCCCAAAACUCACCCAUAGACAUUUACCCCACAUAAUAAUCUCAUCAUUAUUUUUUUAGCCGUCAUGAAAUCCCUCCUCACUUUGGUAUCAACUCCUCAACUAUUGAAGAUCAAAAUUACAUGCGACAACUUCGAGAUGAAUGGCAAAUCAACUGUUUCAAGCAUCUUAUUCGUUUUUUUUCUUUUUUAUAUUAUAUACGAUAAAAUUUGAAAUUUAUGGUAUUUUAUAUAUUAAAAUUCCAAAAUCAUUAUAUAUUCACUUGAAUAUAGUUUUACUUAUAAAUGUUAAAAUAUUGUGAUAUUUAAUAUAUUAUUUAUUUGACAUUCAAAUUUAAUAAGGAUACAAAUGUAAAAGUACAUAUUUUUCAGUUUUUUAAGUUGAAAAAAGCAAACAACUUAAUAAUUAUUUUUCGAGAUUCAGACGAAAAAACAAACAUAUUAUUCAGAUUCAGACAUUCAGAUCUAUUCAGAAUUUAGACUAAUUCAGGUCUAUUCAGAUUUCAGAUAAAAAAACAAACGCCACCUUGGUCCGGGGCUUAACCAGUUGGGAGGAGUUCAGUCUCAUCCAAUCACCACAACUUCUGAUUAAAAUUCUGGAUACAAGUGUGCCUCUGCCAUAAUUAAUUGACAGGUUGCUAUGUUGUUGGAAGUGCCGGAAGCAAAGAAAAGGUGAGUUUGCACCCUUAACCCUUACGCUCUAAAUAAAAACAUAACACCUUCUGAAAGAAUUGUGCAUAGAGAAUUUUGCAUGUCACAUUAUUUGUGUUCUAACUAAUCAUGGAUAUUUGAUCAUUAGUCUAACUAAAACUGACAUAUUACCACCUAGUUGACUGGUCUUUGAGAAAUGUUAGUUGAUAUAUGCUUGAAAUCAUACUUGUUUUAUUAGAUGAUUAUAUUAACCUGCUUCUUUUUCUUUGUGCUGUUUCUCGUUUGAUUACAUUUUCAACAUUAGGUCGAUCUAUUGAAGCACAAGUUUGGGUUUGAUGAUGCCUUUAACUAUAAGGAAGAGCCUGACUUGGAUGCAGCUCUUAAUAGGUUAGCACGAAUGAAUGCUUUAACCAUUUUUCUCACUUCAUUAUUACAAUGCGCUGAUUGAAGUAAUCAGUGUUGGCUCUGAAAAUGUAACGUAUACUUCUCUGUUUUCAUAAAACAGGACAAACAGUGAUCAGUGAUCUCAUUCGUUACAUUGAUAUUUUCUACCAUUGCCAUACAUAGUAUAAACUAGGAAUUCAGUUGCUUAAUAGAUAUUCAUUUCAGAGGGAAAUUUUCACUUGCAGCUAACAGAAUCAUGUUUGUGAUGUAUGUUUAUUUGGGAAAUGAAAGGAUUUGUUGCAUUAUUUUAUUCCAAGUUUGCUGAAAUCAUAUUUGUUUUCCCAGGUGCUUUCCUGAAGUUAUCGACAUCUAUUUCGAAAAUUUUGGAGGUAAGAUGCUUGAUGCAGUGCUACUCAACAUGAGAAUUUGUGGCCGCAUCGCUGUAUGCGGAAUGAUCUCACAGUACAACUUUGAGAAGCCUGAAGGUGUACACAACUUGAUGCAAGUAGUUGGAAAACGAAUUCGCAUGGAAGGAUUUCUUGCCAGUGAUUUCUACCACCAAUAUCCAAAAUUCUUGGAACUGGUUAUGCCGGCAAUCAAAGAAGGAAAGUUAGUAUAUGUCGAGGACAUAGCUGAAGGCCUCGAGAAAGCUCCAUCAGCCCUAGUUGGGAUAUUCACAGGUCAAAAUGUUAAAAAACAACUGGUUGUAGUUGCUCGGGAAUGAUAUGAUUACUAUAUGCUUUAAAAAGUGGACUUUGCCAUGCACUUUAAAAGCUUAGUGAAGAUGCCUUUGUCUUAUUUUUGAUACAUGUUAUGUUUGUUUGAUCAAGUUGUACUCAGCUAUAAAUCAAAGAUUCAGAACAUGUGUAUGAUACUGGUUUCUAAAUCAAUGAACGCGUUGAAAUGUUAGUGUUUUCACAGGAGAAUGCAAUUUAAUUCAUCAACAAUGUCCCAACAAGACCCUCAGAGCUGUAGCUUGUAAAGUUAAUUACGAUAUUUUUUUGUAAAGUAAAUUACCAUAUUUUUUUCUUUCCAAUAUAUUGCUUAUUUCAUAGAAAGUUUACAUUAAAGUCUCAUGUUUCUUUGAAAGGUAAGCAAGUGUGAACGUUUCAAUCUAGAGCUGGAAAAUGCAUUUCCGGGCAACUUACUUGAUACAUGAAGUUUUCAUCUCUGACCUUGAUGUUUCCCAUAGUUGCAUUCAUUUCAGCUGAUCUAUUUAAUUUUGUUUUCGAAGGAGUGACACAAAAUCUCCUUUGUUAAGGGGAGAAUUUAGAGUGGCUUUGACUGUUAGCAAAUAGCCUAAUGUAAGACUUAACCAACUUCCUGCCCUGUUGUAUGCUUAUGAAUUUUGAUAGAGCUAAGAGUUUGCAGAAGCUACUGUAUUAUUUGUCGUUAGAGGCUGUAAAAAUCAAACACAUUUAAAUUUCAAUGAAAAUUUACUGGAAGUAAAUUUCCUAUGAUCCCACAGGUGACUAAUUAAUGAGAACUUGACAAUGACAAAAGAAAGUCUAUGAACUUUGCAGGCUGGCAUGCCAAUAUUGACUGGGUGGCACCAUCCACCAUCUGCAAGUGAAUAUCAUUGUUGUUUAAUCAACAAGGUGGAGUCCACUGGGACCACACCACAUCGUCAGCCUUAUCUCUAUUCCUCAAUUUUCAGUAUUCCAUACAUCAAACCAAUUUCAGUUUUGUUAUCAAUUAUAAUUUUAUUGUUGGUGACGAUUCUGAUUCCUUUCUGACAAAAGGGAACCAUGGCUGCUGCUGGAGAGAUCUUACUCAACGCCUUCUUUCAGGUACUGUUCGACAGGUUGGCUUCUCGUAAUUUGCUCAGCUUUGUGCGUCAACUCCAAGGCGGGGUUGAUUCGGAGCUCAAAAAGUGGGAGAAAAAGCUGAAGAUGAUUCGGGCUGUGCUCUGCGAUGCAGAGGAGAAGCAACUGACUGACGAGGCUGUGAAGAUGUGGCUGGACGAACUCCAAGACUUGGCUUAUGACGCUGAGGACACUCUUGAUGAGUUUGCUACUCAAGCUUUGGAAAGCAAGUUGAUGGCGCAAAAUCACGAUAGUUCUGGCCAGGUUCUCAGUUUCAUCCCGGCUGGUUUGAAUCCGAAUGCUAUUAUGUUCAAUUAUAGCAUGGGGUCCAAGAUGAAAGAUAUUACUAGCCGGCUGGAGCAACUCUGCCAAGAAAGAAUUGAACUUGGACUGCAACGGAUUACCGGAGAGGCAUCAUCAACUGCUGCUGCUGCACACCAGAGGCCACCCAGUUCGAGUGUCCCAACAGAACGUGAAGUAUUUGGAAGAGAAAAAGAUAAGGCCAAAAUUCUUGAUAUGUUAUUAGCCGAUACCAUAAGUGAUCAUGCUAACUUUGUUGUAAUACCCAUUGUUGGCAUGGGUGGGAUAGGAAAAACAACUCUCGCUCGGGAGGUUUACAAUGACAAAGCCGUUGGAGGUUCCAAGUUUGAUGUAAAAGCAUGGGUUUGUGUAUCUGAUGUCUUUGAUGUUUUGGGCAUCUCAAAGGCACUUCUCGAGUCAAUCACCCGCAGGCCUUGUCUUCUAAACAGUUUAAAUGAAGUGCAGGUUGAAUUGAAAGUAGCUGUGGAUAAGAAAAGAUUCUUGCUGGUCUUAGAUGAUGUUUGGAACGAGGACUACAGCUUGUGGGUAGACUUAAAAGCUCCGUUCCUGGGUGCUGCACCAAACAGUAAGAUGAUCGUCACCACACGCAAUUCAAAUGUUGCAUCAACAAUGGGACCAAUUGAACAUUACAAUCUCAAGAGUCUGUCAGAUGAUGAUUGCUGGUCCAUUUUCAUAAAGCAUGCAUUUGAAUCUAGAGAUCUUAACGCACAUCAAAUUUCAGAAUCAUUCCGCAAGAAAGUUGUUGCCAAGUGUGGAGGCUUGGCCCUGGCAGCAAAAACACUCGGAGGCCUUCUGCGUACGACGAGGCAUGAUGCGUGGGAUGAUAUAUUAGAGAGCAAAAUAUGGGAUUUACCUCGACAAAGUGGGGUUCUCCCAGUAUUAAGAUUGAGUUACCAUCAUCUUCCUUCUCAUUUGAAAAGAUGUUUUGCUUUUUGUGCCAUCUUUCCAAAAGAUUAUGAAUUCACUGAGAAGGAGCUGACUUUCUUAUGGAUGGCUGGAGGUAUUAUUCGACAGUCAAGAAACAAUGAGCAGCUGGAAGAUUUGGGCAGCAAGUGCUUUGGUGAUCUAGUGUCGAGGUCAAUUUUUCAGCAAACAGCAAGCUCUGAUAGUUCUAAAUUUGUAAUGCAUGACCUUAUUCAUGAUCUUGCUGAAUUGGUCUCUGGAGAAACCAUAUUCAGGUUAGAGGAGGCCAAUACUCUGUCAAGAAGAUUUGAAAGGGUUCGCCAUUCUUCCUAUGCUUGUGGUGGAUGUGAUGGUAAAAAUAUGUUCGUGGUUUUCAAUGAAAUUGAACAUCUACGAACAUUCUUGCCAUUACGCUUACGCAUAAGAGGUGGCUCUAAUACUAGUUACAUAACUCGUACGGUUCUAUCUGAUUUGCUGCCGAAGUUCAAAAUGUUGAGAAUGCUAUCUUUACAAGGAUACCGUAUUGGUGAGUUACCAAUUCCAUUUGAAGAUUUGAGACUACUAAGGUUCCUCAACCUUGCUGACACUGACAUAAGAAGUUUACCUGAGUCAACAUGCAAAUUGCUGAACUUGGAAAUUUUGAUAUUAAGAAAUUGUUCCUAUUUGAUAAAGCUUCCGCAGAAAAUGAGGAAUUUGAUCAAUUUACAUCACCUCGAUAUAAGAGGUGCGAAGUUGCUGAAGGAGAUGCCAUUCGGAAUGAAAGAGUUGAAGAAGCUUCAAACAUUGUCCAAUUUCAUCGUGGGCAAGGGCGAAACUGCAUCUGGUUUGGAAGAUUUAAAAUGUUUAAACUUUCUUGGUAAUGAACUUUGCAUUGCUGGAUUAGAGAAUGUGAAUAAUCCACAGAAUGCAAGAAGAGCCGCAUUAUGCGAGAAGCUCAAUCUUGAAGCAUUGACUCUAGAAUGGGGGUCUCAAUCUGACAGUCCUCGAGAUGCAGUACCAGAAGAGAAUGUACUUGACACUCUACAGCCGCAUAAACGUAUAAAAGAGCUGGCAAUCAGACACUAUGGUGGUGCAAGAUUUCCACUUUGGAUCGGAGAUCCUUCAUUCUACGAGAUGAAGGUCCUUAAAUUGGAGAACUGUGACAAUUGUGUAUCUUUGCCGUCGCUUGGCCUGAUGAGUUCACUUAAGCACCUUGCUGUUAAAGGGCUGAAGAAACUAAAAAGCAUAGAGUCUGAGGUUUAUGGGGAGGGUUUCUCAAUGCCUUUUCCGUCACUGGAGAUUCUAAGUUUCGAGAAUUUGCCAGAAUGGGAGCAUUGGGACACCGAGAUCAAAGGAAAUGCGCCUGUUGAUUUAUUUCCUCGUCUCCAAGAACUUUCCAUUGCAGAAUGUCCCAAACUCUCUGGACAACUGCCUGAGCUCCUGCCUUCCUUGAAGACACUUGUUGUUAGUAAAUGUGAAAAGUUGGUAGUUCCAUUGUCUUGCUAUCCAAUGCUUUGCAGAUUAGAAGUUGAUGAGUGCAAAGAACUAGUCUGCCGGACUCCGAUUGAUUUUAAGUUGAUAAAGUCCAUGACUAUUUCAAAUAGUUCAUUAGACAUGAAUGGACGCAAGGGGAUGUUAUACGAUGGUCCAGCUGGCUCUUCACUGCCAAACCCCAUGACUACUACAAAUGUUUUAGAGUUUGGAAAAUUAUUGAAGCCUGGAUUUCAGAUAUUCGAAACUUUGGUAAUUGGCAAUUCUGAACAGCUCAAGUUAUGGAGGCAGCAUGGGGAUUUUCCGAAAAAAUACAUGGUCACUGACCAUGGGUUCAAGAAACCAGUACGAGGGCUGAAUAUGCUCGCUUCCCCUGAAGAGGUAACAAUUGAAGAAAGUUGCGUACGUCUUGUUUUGAUUCCAGAGAUCAAUUUCCUUCUCAGAAAUCUGCGCUCUCUUAUAAUUAACAACAGCACUGCUUUCAAAUCCUUACCCGAGGAAAUGAUGGAAAACAAUUCACAACUCGAAAGAUUGUAUAUCAGAGAUUGCGACUCUCUAAUAUUCAUCGCAAGACGGAGGCUACCAGCAUCUCUUAAAAGGUUUGAGAUAGGAAAUUGUGAGAAAUUGCAACGUCUGUUCGAUGAUGAAGAGGAUGCUUCUUCUUCUUCUUCUCCUUCAUCCUCGUCUUCCCCAGUGAUGCUGCAACACCUGAGUAUAGAGAACUGCCCAGAGCUCACCAGUUUAUCAUCGGGUGUCCAAUUCCUUGAGGCGCUUGAAGACCUCGUGAUACAGCAGUGUCGAAAGCUGGAGUCAAUACCGGAUGGCCUGCCCAAUCUUAAAUGUUUACAGAGCAUUAAUAUACGGGAAUGUCCAAGUCUUGUUUCCUUAACAGAAAGAGGGCUUCCCAACACCAUUUCAUUUGUUUACAUUUGCAGAUGUGACAAGCUCGAAGCCUUGCCCAAUGAUUUGCACAAACUCAGCUCUCUUCGAGAAUUAUUCAUACAGCUCUGUCCAAAUCUUGUAUCGUUUCCAGAAGAAGGUUUUCCUACCAAUCUAACAACACUUGUAAUUGGAGAUUUCAAAAUGUAUAAGACACUCGUCCAGUGGGGGUUGCACAGGCUUACCUCUCUUAAACGCCUCUGGAUUGCUGUACGUGAUGAUGAAGCAGAGUGUUUUCCAGACGAGGAGAUAGGAAUGACGCUGCCCACCUCUCUCACUGAUCUGCACCUUUUUGAUUUCGAAAAAUUGAUAUCUCUGUCUGCGACGGGUUUUCAGAGUCUCACCUCUCUUCAGAGUUUGUGGAUCGGGAAUUGCCCGAAUCUCACAUCAUUUCCAGAGGUGGGCCUUCCAUCCUCACUUUUGGGCUUAGACAUUAGAUAUUGUCCAAAGCUUAAAACAGCGUGCAAAAGAGAUGAAGGAAAAGAGUGGUCCAAAAUUGCUCACAUCCCUCACGUUGAGAUAGACGGUAAAUUCAUAUACGAUCCAGAAGCAGAGGAGUAGGUUCUACUAUUAAGGUCAGUUGAUUUGUAUUAUCCGCUAUAACAAGCUCCUCCUUUUUUAUUUUUUUUAAAAAUAAUAAUUUUGCAGUCACUCACGUGAUUCCGUUUUCACAAGUCAGAUUGUAUGUUGAGGCUAUUUGCCUUUUAAUCGCAGAUUAAAUUAUAACACUUAUCUUAAAAUUUAAUACCAUACACAGAUAGACGAUUUUUUAAUCCAAAGUUUUUUUUAUUCACUUCAGUUAGCAUUUUUUUUUUCCCCAAAUCAUGCAAGCCGAGAGUUUCAAUCAAGAAUUGGAGGAUGUGAAUGGGAUUUUUGUGAAAGAGUAACAUAAUGGAUGAACGAACAUUUCAUAUGUGAUCUCAAAGUCAACAGAAUUUUAUUCACUCGUUGACUUUUCAACUGCUGUGGUUAUUUAUGGGUGAAAGAUAAGGGCAAUUACAAAAAAUUUGCAAAAUUUGUCAAUUUCUUAGAUGGUAGAAAUUGGAGUAUAAUAUUUUGGAGCAAGCAUACUUGAAAUUUCUGUCUUCAAUAUUUUGAUGCUUUCUUAUCCCAUGCACAAAAGUACUAGAAAAAACUAAUAACAACUAACCGAAAAUCCCAGGCGUCAUAUUCCUUUUUACCGCGUUUUAAAAUGCACAACAAUGAUAUUCUUACAAAUUUGCAAAAUUUGUCAAUUUCUUAGAUUUCAGAUAUUUUAAUGCUUUUUUUAAUUUUUGAUCUAGUAAAAAUACAUAGCCUUCACCGGCAGGAUUCUAGUCUUGGCUUUCACCUCUCUAACUCAUCUGUUCCCAUUGGGAUUCCAGAAGCUAGAAAAAUGUGUAGUUUUCAGAUAAGGAGGCUUGUCAGUUCUCUAGUAAGAAUCCAAUGAUUUGCUUUUGAACGUCCAUCUAAUUUGUGGAUCCUUGCAUCAGAAUUUGAUCAAUCCAAAAGGAAUUGCUUUUAGACAGAAGAAGAAUAGCAGCACCUAGCCUACCCGCAAACCUGAAACUAUUAGAUUGAGGUAAAAAAAUCAUUGACCCUCACAUGUUAACUUCUUCUAGUUACUUUCGUUGGGAAAAAAAAAAACAUUUAAGGAAUUUGCAAUUUGUUGUUAGUUAUGGUAUCUGAUGUUCUUUUCUGCUUUAGCAUUUGUAGAAUCUACUGUAUUAUGUGUUGGCAGUUGCCGUAUCUGAGGUAACUUGCCUUUAUUUGUUUGCUUCUGACUUAAGGACACCAACAUUUGCCAGAGAUUUAGAGAAUCAUCUCAAAACACUUAGCAAACUUGACAAACUUCAAGAUGCACUUGCCCCCACGCCUUAUUCUCAACAACGCAAAACUUGUGAGUACACCUAUGCCUGCAAUUAUUGUGAAGUGUUCGCAAUUCUGAUGCAGAGAAAUGGUUUCUUGAUGCAAAGUAUUAAACUGUUAAGAUUUAUCCUGCAGGCUUGUUAGAUGCUGGAUACGCGAAAAGCCAACAACAUCAAGAACUGCAACUCCAAGACCAGCUUUGCGUUAAUUCAGUCAGCUGUAAUAAUGAUGCAAAUGACACUAUAUCAAGCUGGACUUAGAGACUAGUCAGAUAAAUCAUCCAUUUCAUCAACGGUUAAUGUCAUGAUGGUGGCUAUCAGAGGAAACAAAAGAUGUGUCGGAAUCUAUACAAACAUUGAGAAGCAUGAGAGGAGCUUUGAUUUUGAGUAGGGUCAAUGAACUCAUAUUGGUAAGUGGUAAUUAAAGAAACUUUGUAAGCUUAGUAGAGUUUCAGUAUUUUCUGUUUGGAGUAUAGUUGAUAAGUUGACUCUGUUUAAGAAGCCCGAUUAUAGUAGCUGACUGUAUUAACCUUUUUUUUUUUUUUUUUGGGUCUGCUGUUGUUUUUGGUUUCGAUUAUUUUUUCAACAUUGGGUUGAUCUGUUGAAGAACAAGCUUGGGUUUGAUUAUGCUUUAACUACAAGGAAGAGCCAGACUUGGAUGCAGGCGUUAAGCUUUUAAUGGGUAAGAACAAAUGAAUGCUUUAACUAUGUUUCUCACUUAUUAAAAUGCACGGAUUGAAGGCAUCUGGGUUGAUCCUGACAAUGUGAUGGAAAUACUUCUCUGUUUUCAUAUAACAGGACAAAUAGAGAUCUCUGAUCAUGCCUGAAUUUUUGUUGCAUUGAAAUUUCUACCAUUAUCAAACAUAGAAUGAACUAGGGAUACAUUAGCUUAAGACUAAAUUUUGAGAAGGAAGUUUGUACUUGCAGCCUAUAAAAUCAUGUCCAUGUUGUACGUUUCUUUGGGAAAUGAAAGAUUCUGUGUGUUCUUUUAUUUCAAGUUCACUGAAAUCACAUUUGUUUUCUCAGCUGCUUUCCAGAAGGUAACAACAUCAAUUUCAAAAAUGCUGGGGCAAGAUGUAUCAUGCAGUGCGACUCAACUUGAGAAUUCCUGGCCACAUUACCCGUAUGUCUAAUGAUCGCACAGUACAACCUUGAGAAGCUUGUAAUGAGUACACAACUGGGUGCAAGUAGUUUUGAAAUGAAUUUGCCUCAAAUGAUUUCUUGCCGGUGAUUAAUAUAACCUCUAUUCCAAAAUUCUUGGAACUGGUCAUACUAGCAAUGAAGGAUUGCAUACAUUGAAGACAUAGCUGAAGGCCUUGCGAGAGCUCUGUCAGCCCUUGUACCGGAAAACAGCUGGUCGUAGUCGCUUGUGAAUGAUAUGAUUAAUAGAUACUGCAAAAAUGAAUUGUGCCAUACAUUUUCAGCGCUCUGUGAAGAUGUCUUGGUCAUUUGUUUGAUGCUUGUUUGAUUUAUGUUGUAUUCAGCCAUAAAUCAGAGAUUCAGAACUUGGGUAUGUUUCUGGUUUCCAAAUCAAAAAAUUGCCUUGUGAUGUUAGUGUUCACUGUUUUCACAGGAGAUCAGGUUCCUUGUUAAUGAAUCAAGAAGAAGGCAAGCGCAUCCAUGUCCAAGUUCAAAUGUGUCUCCUCUAUUUUCUAUUACCCACUCAUUUAUUUUGAUUUCUUCAUUGUAAUUGAAUUAGUUUUUUAUUCCAAAUUAGUCAAAACCUCGUAGAGUCAUUAAGUUCUUUUAGCAUUUAAAGACAGAACUACGAACCAAAUGAUUUAAGUUCUUCGUUGUAAUUGAAUUUGCUUUCCCAUCUUUAAAGAUAUUAUGUUCUUUUUCACUUUUUCGAUUUGGUUAGUGGUGAUUUCUUAAAGACUCAAUCCAUUUGCGUUAAUACAUUUUUCUUUUGCCUUGAUUUCUGUUUCUUGGGGAGUUUAUACAUAUUCUUAUUUUAUGCUACACAUGCCAUAUACAGAUUCUUAUUUUAUGCUUCACAUGCCACAUGAAAGGUCAAAGCCUUGUGUGUGAUUAGAAUUUACUGGCAUCAUAGUAACUUUAAACCAUUGUGACGUUUUAGUAAUAACAGUCUGAGCUCUCCCUGAAGGAUUCAAAGCAUUUUAUUUUAUAUUAUACUCCUUUAUAUGGUUUGGCUGGUCUCUUUUAAGGCAAUUCCUGUUUAAAGUAAUCAAAAUUUUGAUUUCGAAGUGUCUUUCAACACUACCGCUAGUUCUUUAAGAAAAGUAAAUCGAUUUUGAGUCUUCUGUAUCAUCUGAUUGAAAUACAUGAAAGCACUCUUAGCUGCAAAAGUACACUUGGAGUUAUAAUAGCAUUCUGAAAUCUCCUUGAAGGAUUCAAAAGCUCUUUAUUUGCUAGUCUUUGCUUGCAAUAAACUCCUUUAAUAUACAUUGGUUGAUCUUCUUUAAAGCAAUUACCAUAAGUUCUUUAAAUAAUAAAACGAUUUUGAGUCUUCUGUAUCAUCUUGUUGAAAUACAUGAAAGCACUCUUGGCUGCAAAAAUGCACUUGGGGUUAUAUAUAAAGUCUUCAACAGAAUUUUAUUUCCCCCUUUAUCCUCAUGGUGGUUUUUUUAGUUGUUUUUUAAGAAAUCGCUUGAAGGUUCUCUUUAAAAAUAAUUUUAACAUAAGCAUUCUUUAGAAGCACUUUAGAUGUCUGGCAUUUAGAAAAUUUUGUUCCUGUGUUCACAUAAUAUAAUAUAUAUAUAGAAAGCUGACUGUAGAAUAGAGGAGAACGAGUUGGUGUUGGUCUGAACUCUGAUCUUUGAACCUCAUGUGACUCCACUACUUUUUACUUGUUCUGUACAAGGUCUUUUAGCUUUUCAAAAAGUUUUAGCUUUAUGGAUAAAAUACUGUUAAUUGUAAUCUAUAAAUAAUGAAAGGAAUUAAUAAAAUAUUAGGUAAAUUUUAUUUUCUAAAGUGUUAUGAGUUCUAAAACGGCUGUAUGUAUAUAAAUUUAUUUACACAUAUAUUUAUAAAUAUGAUUAUAUAAUAAUAUUUUAUGUGUACAUAUCAUAAUUGAUAACUAAAAUAAAUAUUUUUAUUUUAUUAAUGGUUUUUUCGUCUCAAUGUAGUUGGUAAUAAUAAUCUCUUUAGAUGUAACGAUUUUAUUUCCUAACUGAAUAAGGAAAAUUUUAGAUUUUUAUAAUAAAUGUUAAAUAUAUUUAGAAUUACAUUAAGUAUGAAAUAAUCCUCAAAAUUAGAUUUUGAAAAGUUAUUCUUUUCUUGCUUUUAAAAAUAUGUCAUAUGAUGAGAUGAUUUUACUAAAAGUGAUUUUUUUAAAAAAAAUUACUAAACAUCAAAAUUAACUCUUAACUUUUUAAAAUCAUUUCUAAUCUUCUCAUCCUAAGUUCUUUAUUGUUUUGUACAAAAUCCAAGGUUUUGACUUUUAUAAAAUGCCCACUCAAAAAUAAAUUAUUUUCUAAUUAAGAUUUGUUGUUAAUGUAUAACUCGAAGUAAUAUUAGAUAUUUGUAAUUUUAUUUCAAAAAUUUUAUUCAAAUGAUAUGGCAAGCAAUGAACAAUAGUUGAUAGCAAUUUGUUUUUUUUUUUAACAAUGUUCAAAUCAAUCAGUUGCAUUAUCUCACCAUUUUUAUGAUGUCAUGUUAUUUUAAAUGAUUUUUUUAAUUUUUAUAUAAAGCAUACGACGUGUUAACAUCAUUUGCAUAACUUGACCUUUUUUUUUUCCUACAAAUAGUAAGUCAAAUUUACUCACCCUAUUUGUACCUAAAAUCUACCUAAAACUCAUGCAUCACUGUAAAGCAAAUCCAAAGAUUGCGGUACGUUUUUCUUGGUAAGAAAUCAAUAAUUAGGUCAAGUACCGCUACUAAGCGUGCUCAAUUAAUUCUAAAAUACGGUGAUCAAACUCAUACUUCACGCAAGAGGAUAAGGGCUAAACCUCAAUUAGGCAUUAUUCAUCCAAAAUUCAUUGACUGGGCAUUCUUUGCAAGUGGUAGCAUGGGACAGCUAAGAUAAUUAGCAAAUGAUAUGGACCAUACGCACCCGUAUGUUUGUGACAUGUGAAUCUUGGCAUUAAAGGAAAGGUAAUGUGUUAAAAUUUAAUAGAGCCCAACUCUUCAUUGAAUGAUUAUCAGAUCCAACGAGCAUCCUUUGAUGGGAUUAUUUUAAGUCAAUUAUUGGUGGAUUGGGGCCCACUUGACUCUACCAAAUCGGGCUCCACCAUAUCACCUAUUAACGACCACCUGUCCUUAUCAUAAAUAGCAAAUGUCACUUGUUUUAUUUUGUAUUUUACCAAAAGCAAAGUCACUACGAGCACUAAUGAAAGUGACCCCAAUUUUGGGGGUCAUGAACUUGGGAUUAUUAUGGACACAAGAGACAAGCGCAAUGUUUCUCAUUUCUCACUAGAUAAGAUUUAAGUUAUCAACCCAAUAUUAAUAAAUUCUGCUUGAAAAGUAAAGUUUGAAGCUUCAUUUUGCGAAUAUUCAAUGGUUAACAUUUAAGGGUGCGUUUGGGAUUGAGGUUGGGCAGCUGUAGCUUAAAAGCUACAGUACUAAAGUGUUUGGUAAACACUAGCUACUGUAGCUUUUAAGCUAUGUUGAUAUAAUUUUUCACUUGUAUAAUAUAAAAUUUAUUAUAUCUUUAAUAAUUUUGAUAAAAUUAUUAUUUAAAAUUUAUAUUUACUAUAUAUUAUUAACUUUUAUUUCAUAAUUACAGCUUUUUUUUCACAGCAGCUGUAGCUUAAAAGCUACAGCACCUCAAUCCCAAACACACCCUAAGUAAUUAACCUGAUAUUAAUCCAAUUAAACUUUUUAUGUAAUCCAAGUCAAACAUAUAUUGAUAAACCUAAAUUAAUCUAAUUGGACAUAUUAUUUCAACUUGAAAAGGUGAAUCUAUCAUUUUUCAAUUAAUUUUGAAUCAAGCUAUGUAAAAUAUAAGCUUAUUAAGGACAUAUUUGAAAAAUUCAAAUUGAAUUAUUUGACAAUUACAUUUCAACUAAGUUGUACUGCUAAUUAACUUCCUCAACUUAAAAUGUAUUUUUCUCAAUUAAUUCGUAACAAAGAAUGUUAGAUGUUUUGUUCGAAUAAUAACAUUCAACAUCCUUAUUCUUUAUGAUUAUUGCAUAAAAAAUAUAUUUUAUCCAUUUACGUCACAUAUGUUCCUAAAUUGUAUAAGAAAAUCACUAAAUUUACUCUUGUAAGUUACUAUAUCAAUGAACAUGAAAUUAACUAAUCAUUAAAGUCUCGGAAUGACAUCAUGAGGGGGAUUCAGUUACAUUUAUUGAUAGGAUUAUAUAUAUACCUUCUCAAAUAUUAGUAAGAGCAAUUAAACAGAUGCAGCAAUUAAAAAUAUGGAAUUACUUAUCUCGUCAAUAACUAACGAUAUUUUUUAUCUAUGCUCGAUAGGCGUCUGAGCUAUAUUAUAAAUUGUAAUAUUUGUAGAUUGUAACAAUUAUUAAAAAAAAAAAAAAAAGCUCCCUAAGACUAAAUGACAAAAGGACUGUUUUGAAAUAGAUAGAUAAAAUAUGCCCUUAUUUGAGAAAAGGUAAAACACUAGGGAUCUAAAUGUUAUUAUAAUCCCAUGCACAAAAAUACCAGAAAAAACUAAUAACAACUAACCGAAAAUCCCAGGCGUCAUAUUCCUUUUUACCGCGUUUUAAAAUGCAACAAUGAUAUCACUACUACAAAAAUGACAUUUACUGACACUUUGUUUCUGACACUUAGUAAAAAGUGUCAGAAAUGGUGUACAUUUGGACCAUUUUCCUCCUUUAACAAGUAUGUAUCAUAAAUCAUUGAUACUAAGGUGUCAGUAGCUUAAAACUCAGUGAUUAUUGAUACUAAAGCAUCAGUGAUAAAAAAAUAAUAGUAUUAAUUUUGUUUUAAUUUGAACUCGAACUCAAGAUCUCUAAACUUAAAAUUUGUAAGUUUAGAGUGCAAACCAUUGAUGCAAGUGUUUUUAAAUUUUCAAUUUGAUUAAUUUUUUUAUUUAAUUAAAUUUUAUACAAUUACUUUGUGGACAAUAAUAAUAAUAAUAAUAGUUUUGAGAAUAAUAUUUUUUAUUUUGCCACAUGUCAGCUUGUAAUUCGUUGUUAAUAAUAAUAAUUUUACUUGACCACGUGUCGACUUAUAGUUUGUUGUUUUAUUAAAUUACAAUGCGAACAACUACACUAUAUAAUUUUUCAAAGUAUAAAAUGAAAAUAAGAAACCCUAAAUCUAACCUAAUCAAACACACCACUUCUUAAGUUGCUGCCGCCGCUCCCCUGCUCCUUGACUUUCACUGCUGCCGGCCGCUGCUCCUCGACUUUCACUGCUGUCGGCUGUCGUUCCUUGACGUCACUGCCGCCUUUGCUCUGCUGUUGCCAAGCUUCAGCCACCGACGACUAGCUAGCCACCUUUCAGUACGUCGCUGCUACCACUUUUAUGCCGUCACAUCAACUUCAGCUCAGCCAGCCACCGUUCCUUUACCGCCGAGAUCAAGAACCAUUUCUUUCUCUUCUCUCUUUUGGUACAGGUAUGAAAAUAUUGCAGAGGAGUUAAUCUGUUAAUUACCUUUCUGUACGUCGCUGCUGUCAUUCGUGUACGUCAUUGCUGCUACUCAUCUUGGUCACUGCUGCCGCUCCUCUGCCGCCACGACAAGCUUCAGCCUUUUUGACAAAACAUUUCACUUGGAAUUAUAAGCAAACCCUUUUGAGACCAUAAAAAACUAAGCCAAUUUCUUUGGUUUCAAGGCCUUGUUUUUUCACUUUGAAAUCGGAUCAUACAAUGACAAGCCAAUUGAAAACUUCUGUUCAAGAUUUCAUUGUUAAAUUCAGCUUUAUUUUUAUUAUUUGUGUUCCUUUCAUUUUCUUUCCCUUUUUUUGAUUUUUAAUUCAAUUUGGGAUUUGACAGAUAUAUUUUUUAAUUUUUAUAAAAAUUUAUCUUAUUUGCAGGAUGCUAAGGGACAGGAUGUUGAUCUUAGCAUCUACAAGGGAAAGGUUCUUUUGAUUGUCAAUCUUGCAUCACAAUGGUGUGCCUCAGCUCCUUUCAUUUUUAAUUUUUUUUCCAUAAUGAUUUAUUGAUUAUUGUUGAUGCUUCCAUUUAAUUAAUGCUAAUACGUGUUAUCUAUCUAUCGGGAGUCUAAAUUUUAUAGAAUUAUAUCAUACUCGGAAGUAUGCAUGCUCCCAAUACAAAUAAGUGUUUAUAAGAGAGGAUUUCACCCAAAAUCUUUAAUUCUUGCAAAAUGCUAGUGGCUCCGUUUGCACAAGUUUAGUUUUCAUCCAUGUUCGUUCCUUUACCAUAGCGGUUCCUUUACCACUGAGGUCAGACACCAUUUCUUUCUCUUCUCUGUUUUGGCACAGGUAUGAAAAUACUACAGAGAAGUUUCUCUAUUAAUUACCUUUUAUGAAAAUAAUAUAUAUAUAUUAUUCACAUGUUUAAUUGAGAACAUCUAAUAAUAUAGUAAUAAUAUAGUGGGCAAACUAUAGGAAGGUUGUUAGUAGACAAUUCUAAUUUUAGCUUUACUUUGCAAAUGAAAGAUUAGAAAUAUUCCGUCGAACCCAUUUUACUAUAUUGGAGGUUUGGGCUAAUCUUGUAUAGAUUUUUGCUCAGAAGAAGGAUGGUUCUCCAAGGGCGGUGGGUUGGUUUUUCUAUAGACUAUUCCCCUAUUUUCCCAUUUUGCUUUUCUUUGAGGAAACCUGGUCCAUUUUUUUUGUGUUUUCUUUCUUCAAUCAAAUAUGUAUUUCUCAAUCUCCUCUCAAAAAAUACCUAUCUCAUUUUAUUAUAUGUUUAUGAAUUACUAAUUGUAUUUUGUUAGUAUUCCAUGUUCGAAGAAGAAUAUUAGAUUGAAGAAAGAAGAAUAUUAGAUUGAAGAAAGAAGAAGUUGUUCCUUUGCUAAUCGUUUGAAACCCAGGUUUGCACUGAAUCUGAUUUUUAUCUUUAACUUUUUUACUUGACCCAUACUUGAAUCAAAUUUUUGCUCCACUUUCCUUUCUUUCGUCAAUUUAAUUAUCAAUCCACUUCAAACCUAAAAAGAUUUAGUAAUUGGGAAACCCUUUUUUUUUUAAAGAAUUGCAAAGUACUGUAAUUGGAAACUGGGUUCAUGUCUUAAAAAGUAACCUGAUUUGUAAUGUUUGGCUUAUAGUGGCCUUCUAUUUCUGUUUUUCAUCUCGGCUUGGUUAAUUUCUUUACUAGUCGUUUAAAUUUUGUUAAUUUUUAUUUUUCCUCUUUAAGCUCAUUAAAUAUCUUUUUUUUUUCAAUUUAUGGCUUUCGGUCCAACUGAUCAUCGUUGAAUGUGGGCACUAUAAAUGUUAUAGUGCUUGUUAACUUAAUGUAUUUGAUCAUAUAUUAUAGUAUUGUUUACUUUAAAUUUAGACAAUGAAAUAGAUUACAAAAAAAAUAACUUAUGCUUGUCAAGUUGUAGACACCAUCGUUCAUGUCAUCAUUACUGAAUAUUGAUGUACUUAUUAAGUGUUCUCUUUAAUACUUGAUAGAAUACUUUUGGUGAAGCAAUUUUGGUAUCAUGAUUGCAGGCUGUAAUUAACUUGGGAACGUGUAGAUUCUACAAUUUCUUUUUCUGAUUCCUUAACUUGCUUCUUUUAAUCCUACUCUUCUAUGUUGAAGUAAUUUAUGAAUAUUUUUGCUUCAAAAUAACUAAGAUAUAUUUUUCACAGUAUACUAAUUGAUUUUAUGCAUUUGUAGGUGGGAAAAAAAUGAAGCCGUGGAUGGAUAUUGAGUGACCUUGUGCUUUUUUUUUUUUUUUUUUGGGUUGGAAACUUAAUUGAGUAGUAGUUAGCACUUGUUGUUUAGAGAUUGUUGAAAAUUUAAUUUGAUACUUAUGUUAAGUCUUUUACAUAUAGUGAUGUAGUUGAAUUGUGUGAAUUUAUGUGAUGUAUUUGAGAUGUUUAUUAUAUGAAUUGUGUUGCAAGAUAUUUAAUAAUAAAUAUAUUUCGUGUUUUCUUUUGGUUGUACAACAAACACGAAAAAUAUAAUUAAAAUAAAAAUAUACUAUUAACCAAAAGCAGUAUAACAUUACUAAAUACUGACACUACAUAUUUAAAAUAACAAUAAGAAUUUUUUAUAUUAUCGAGUCAGUUUCUGAUACUAUAGUCACAUAAAUUACUGACAUGUAAAUAGUAUCAUUAAAUACCAACAUCAUCGUGUCAUUAUUUUAGUGAUACUAUAGUGAAACAAAUUACUGACACAAAAAUUACUGACACCAAAAAUUAGUGUCAGUGUGUUCUGGCUUGAGCAACACUGACACAAUUAACAAGUGUCAAUAAAAGUAAUUACUGACGCUAAAUUAGUGUCAGUAAAACUCAUUUUUCUAGUAGUGUAUUCUCACAAAAGUUGGUACAAAGGUUUGUACAACCAGGGCCUCUUUGUAAAUUAUUUCAAAGUUUUGUGUUAUUUUUUAAAUUUAUGAAUUUUGUUAAUUUUGAUUGAUUGGAGCAUUUCUCCUUCCAUCUCUUCUACAUCUAUCUUUAAAUUUCUUUAAAAUUUUGACUAUAUCUUUAUAGAGUUCUAAAUGAUUAUCUUUUUCAUAAAAAUCUAUACUUAAAUUAAUCCCUGAAUUUAUAAUCAUUUGUCUUCUUUGAGUCAUAGACCAAAUUUUUUCUUCUAACAUAUCUAUAUAUACUCCUAAGCUAUCUUUGCAGCUUAGAUACAUUCUAUCAAAGCUUUCGCAUAUAAAUUGUAAUUUGAGAUCUGCAUCUUGAAUCAACAUGUCUAUAUUAUCCAUUGUUUUACGCUCGAUUUUGAGUUCUAUUAUUAGUCUUGCACAUGUCUUGGAUUAUUUCGAGGGUAGUUAAAAUUGAUUCUAUUAAUGCUAUCCUGUUUUCUUCUUCAAAAGAAUCAAAUAUUUCUGAAUCAUUAAUUUCUUUUAUUUCUUCAUACAAGCGUUUGUUUGUCGCUAAUCUUGUUUUAAUCAAGGAAACUGUAUAAGCAGCUUGAUAUUCUUGACAAAAGUCUAAAUGAUCUAUUGCAUCUAGAAAUUUAUUAAUAGAUCUUUCCAUUUUUAAGAAAUUGAGUUACUCUUAUCACUUCCAAUCUUUUAACAUCUCAGAAAACAAACAAGGCCCAACAUGCUUCCGUUUGUAGCUAAAAUAAAAGAAGAGUUCAUAUCACUAACCAGUGUAAUAUCUCUCGGAAUUCUGAGAUAGACUCACUAAUUGCCUCUAACCAUAGAGAGGUCCAUGGUUAGCACCACUAUAGCUCCACAUAUCAUACAAAAUCACUUCAACGACUGUUCCAUAUGGCCCAAAGCAACACACAGCAGACUGGCCUAAUAGGAUAUGUUUAAGUGAUUUUCUUGCAGUUGUCUCUGGAAGAGUGCUUAGUAAUAGAAAAUCUUCUUCGUUUAGUACAAGUAUUGGCAUGUAAGGUUCUUGGUUAAUUUUUAAAAGAUGUAUAAGAUAUCUAGAAGAUGAUAAUUUCACUCAAAAGAGUUUUAUUUAUUCCAUCAUUGAAAUUGUUUACAGAGGAAGGUUACAGAGAAUACAGAGGUAAUUGAAGGUUAGACAUCUGAUAUAUUUCCUUUCUUACAUGCUUUCAUUUAUAUAUCUCUCUAGAGAUAAGAUUAUUUCUUUUACAUAACACAUGUUCGAUCCUUGUGGUGGAAUCUCAAUUUCCUUUUGAUAAGGUGACCCCUUCUUUAUCAUUGAAGCUAGUAGUUGUCUUCUUUUCAUGUUGGCAGACAUGAAAUAUCUGGUUCUGGUGAGCUUUUUCUUUUUUGGAAUCUGUCUUUUUGAAUUAUUGAUACUUUUUGGAUAGCACCUUUUAUCUUUUUCAGUGGUCCUCGUCACGUGCCAAUUAUCAGAUCUUCAUCUAUAGACAUGUCUUCCCCACUAGAAUCUCUUUUUUUGAUCCUUCGUAGUAGUAGCCACAUGAUGAUUGAUGCUUUAGCACCUUAUAUAUCUCGUGGUGUGUUAGCAAGGUGGAUUCCACGAGAUUUUCGAAUAUGCCCUUUUUCUUUUCUAAUAUGUUAUCCUCAUCUUUAUCAAAUUCACAUUUACAAUAUAAUUCUUUGAAGCUACAUGUAUAUUCUUCUAAAUAACAUAUAUUACAUAUUUCAAGCCUUGUUAGCUUCAUUAAAUUUUCUAUCUGUUUUCUUUUUAUUUCUUGUUGAAAAUCAAUUUCCUAAUCUUCUCCCAAGAAUUUUUUUCUUAUUUCAUUUUUGAAUCUAUUUAAAACCUGAUCAACACUUUCGUUUCGAUUAUUAUUUUCUCCAUACAAUAUUCUAUUUUUAUGGUUAUCAUUUAAUCCCAUAAACCAAUGAGAAACAAUUCCUAUAAACGAAAUUUUAAGGAAUUCUAUACUAUUAUCCCUAUCAAUUUUGUGAAAUGCAAAAGCCAUUUUCAUAGAUUUAACCCAAGCGGUAAUCGUUUUAUCUCUAUCUUUGAUACAGUCUAAAUCUAACCAUACACCAUCAUGGUUGAUUGGUCUUUCUCUAUAUUCUCCUGGAGUUUUAUAAUCUUUUUUAGGCUUGUUAAUCCUAAAAUAUUGACCUUGUAAUCUUUCCUGAGUUGGUAUUUCUUCCCUAACAUAGGAAGCUCCAUUACUAGUUUCUCCUUGUUAAAAACCAUUUGGCUUUGAUUCAUUCAUUUUUAGAUGUUCUAUUCUAUUUUCAAUAUCCUGCAAAUUAAUGACUAUAUCACCUUCUUCUUCGGAUUCAGAUUCUUUAUUAGAUAUCUCUUGAUUAGGUAAUUCUAUGUUUUCACUUAGCAUUCUUAGACUUAUUAAUUUUUUGUCUUUGUUUAUUUUGUUAAAUAUCGGUUUAGAUAUUGUUAUCAUUUCUUUAUCUUUAAGUUCAUUAUAGUAAAUUAUGGUAUCUUGUAAAAUUUUGUUUUGUUUAUUGAUCUUCUGUACUUCAAUCCUUUUGUAAUUUUCCAUUUAUGCUUAUAGCGAAUUUAUUACCAAGUUGUUCAACAAUUUUUUCAAAUUUUUGUAGUUGGAUUUCAAUCUUGUUUGAAUUUAUUUUCAAUUGAACUUUUGUUCAUAAUAUUAAAGAUUUCUUGUUUUAAUCUAUCUUGAUCUUCAAUAUUAAAGUCUUUUAUUAAUAGCUUAACAAAAUCAAAUUCUUCACUCAUUCGCUCUCCUAUCAUUUUGACUUGUCUUAUAUUUUCAGCAUCAAAGCUUUUAAUCUCAAGUAUCUCAUUUAUACUUUCUAUAUCAUCUAUGGUUAAAUUAGGGUUUCCUAAUUUAUUUAAUAAAUAUAAUGAAAUCCAAUUUAAUUGAUUAUUUCCCCACAUAUCGGAAUCAUUUACUAAAUCAAAUGGUUGAAAUCUUCCAUAAGUAAAUCCUCUAUGCCUAUAGCUAGAAGGUGGUAAUAUGUUGGUUUCAAUAUUUUGAGAAAUUAACAAUGGUUUUGGUAAUUUAUUCAUAGUACCAUCUGCAUAAUAUCUCAUUAUAUUCUAAUAAGUAUUUAUGACAUAUAAUAUUUCUUAUAUCCUUAGGGAUAUUGUUUUAUGUUAAUCCUUUAUGUAUAUAGCAAAGUUUAUACAUAAUUAAAUCUUUAUAUCCUAUUAGCAUGUUGCUAGAAGGAUAAUAUUUACUUCUGAUUCUUUUAUUUUUCCAAUUGUAUUCACCUCGUUGUUUAACAUUUAAAAAUCCGUUGUAAUCUAUUAUAAGAUCAUCUACAUAAUCUUCAAUAGAGUUAAUAUUCCAUUGUUUCCAUGAAAAAUUAUUUCUAUAUACUUCUCUCCUGAUCCUAAAGAGAAGAAUAGGAUCAAUAUUUAAAUUUCUAAUUUUUAUUAUGAUGAGUUCUCCAAUUUUAAAUUCAUGAACUCUAACUAAAUAAAACUGUAUUAAUUGUUUAUCAUCCAAUAUAUUAACUUCUGAAUAAUAAUAUUGUUUAUGUUUUGUUAUAUUAUCUUUAAUUGUAUUUCUAUCUAUCAUUAAAUUAUAUCUUCCAUUAUUAAUGGAAUAAAUAACUGUUUCGUCUAUUUUUAUAUUUUAAACCAAAAACUUGGCUCUAAUACCGUUUUGCAGAAAUCAACUAAACCCAAAAUCCAAAUGAAUUCAAAUAGGGAUGUAUAUGAUUAAUUGUUAAGAUUUUAUCUAAAUUUUGUAAUUAUAAUUUUUCAAAACUCACAGUUUUGUGCAAUCAUUUGUGUAAUCCGUUGUGAGAAUGUCUUUUUCCUUGCAUCUAAGGCAACAAAGUGGAAAACGCGUACCAACGACUCACAUAACAAUAUAACAUCUGUCCCGGAUGGAGCCGGUUGUUCAUGUCAGCAACCUACUUUGAAACGACACGUGGACCGCAAUUUGUUCUUGUUCUCAACGUUGCUAUGAAAGAAAGCAUUUUUUUCCCCUUUUCUUCUUCAUUUUUUAAAGAAAUAUUUUACUAUAUAUUUAAAAAAAAAAAUCGUUGCAAUCUGAAGAUAUUAAAUUGUGGAUCUUGUAUUGUGUGAUAAGUCCGGCAUGCAAUUUUGGGCCAGCAUACCGCGCGCAUGGGAGCAUUCACAAAGAAUCUCUCGUCACUAUCGAAAACUUUUAAUAGUCAAUACAAAUGCUUCCGUUUCAUCCCAUAAACAGAUAAAAUUCACAUCUGUACACAUCUACUUUUCUUUGCUAGAUAGAGUUCCUCUGCAUUUCCCAAUUGCCUAAAGAGAAGGGGAAAAGAAAAAGAGGGCCAAAAAAUGCCUGAAAUGGUAAGGAACAAGCAAGUGAUAUUGAAGGACUAUGUGUCUGGUUUCCCAAAAGAAACAGACAUGUACAUGACCGAAAGUUCCAUAGAAUUGAAGGUGCCAAAAGGUUCAAAUGGGGUUCUUUUAAAGAACUUGUUUGGGAGAAAUACGUCGACGAGACCAGGCAUGGUGAGCAUAUAUCUGAUGGCAGAGUUCUGCGAACCGGUGUGUUCCGUAAAAGCCUGGUGCACGGGGGAACAGGAGCAGAAGUAUCCUGCUCGUCCACGAGCACGUCAUCCGCGAGGCCAAUUUCCUGUAAGAGGCAUAAGGUCAUUCCGGCUAGAGGUCGAGAGGCGAGGAGACCCGGUCGACGGCAGUUGGCAAGACAUGCUCCCCAGCCCGAGAAUCUAGGCACGACAGCCACGCUUUCCCCAGAACCGUGGCGUAACACGCAAGAUCUCACAGAACCACGACAGCCACGCUUUCCCCAGAACCGUGGCGUAACACGCAAGAUCUCACAGAACCACGACAGCCACGCUUUCCCCAGAACCGUGGCGUAACACGCAAGAUCUCACAGAACCACGACAGCCACGCUUUCCCCAGAACCGUGGCGUAACACGCAAGAUCUCACAGAACCACGACAACCACGCUUUCCCCAGAACCGUGGCGUAACACGCAAGAUCUCACAGAACCACGACAGCCACGCUUUCCCCAGAACCGUGGCGUAACACGCAAGAUCCCACGUUUGCCCAUAACGCAGCAGUCAGAGUCCCAUACCGUCUCGGAAAAAGCGGAAAACUGGGAUUCAGGGGAAGCCUAUAAAAAGGUAGCCAACGAAGGUAAAAGGGUUGGCAUUUUUGAGAUUAUAAAAGAAAUGAAAAAAGAAGAGAAAACGACGAGAAAGCCAUAAGAUCUGUGGCAAGUGUCCCCCGAACCUUCAUAUCUGACUUGAGCGUCGGAGGGUUUGCGCCGGGAAAACAACCGGCGUACUCUGACUUGUCUGUGUGCGCAGGAACCUCUGGAGAAGAAGCCUCACGUGGAGACCUCCUGGUCGUGAAGAAGUUGAUCGGACAGAGAUCCUGGUCGUAGAACGAGGAGAACCAGAAUCCCGCAUCAACAUUUUGGCGCCGUCUGUGGGGAGUGGAGCAAAAAGCUUCUGUUGAUAGCAAGAAGAGGGGUGAAGCAAGUGAAAAGCAAUGGAGACAGGAGGAAGUAGUGCACAAGGGGGUGAUAGGAUUAACGAUUCCGUGACGCUGAGGGAGAUAGUCAGUGAAGCACGGGAAAAAGUCAUGUUCGACCGGAUGGAACGGAUAGAAAAGCAGAUGGAGACCUUGACAACCAUCCUGCAUGAGCUGCGGAGCGAGCGAAGUAUAAUCCAAGAGGGAAGGGUGAGAGGCGGUGGAGUGGCACCAGGUCCCGAUAGUGCGGGGAGAAGUCAAACCACCGGGAGAUUUGGUGGUGAGAGAGGUAACGUACCUCUGCGGGGAGAAUUUCAUAGAGAAAGAGAGCAGUCCCCGGCAAGACAGACUGGCGACGAGGACGACGGGGUGGUGAAUGCAGAGGAAACAGAGUUGAGGCAACACUUGCAUGAUGUAGAGCAAGAGCGGGAUUAAGUCGCAGCACGUGACCCUGGUCGUGCAGUGCAGCUGGAGGAGGAAGUGCGCAGACUAGCGCAGAUAAUCGACGACAUGCAAGGAAGGAACAGAGCCCCUGGUUGGAGGAUAAUGCUGGAUGGAGAAUCACCGCUCGCAGCAGAGAUCAUGAGGGCAGUUAUUCCGAGAGAUUUCCGCCUCCCAGACCUCAGAUACUCGGGAAGAACUGAUCCGUUGGUGCACAUAGAGCGCUUCAACGACAUAACUAGGGUACAAGGAUUAUCUCAAUCCCAAAGGUGCAGAGUGUUCCCACUAUCCCUUGAGGGACGUGCACGAGAAUGGUACAGGAAACUUCCUCGGGGCAGCAUUAAAACCUUCGAGCAGAUGUGCUAGGAAUUCGCGGAGCAGUUUAGUGGGGCAAUGGCGCCGGAAGAUGACAUGAUGGAGCUGAAAAGCAUGAAACAGGGGGAGCAAGAAACCCUUCGGGAAUUCAUCAAGAGGUUUCAUCGGGCUGUCCUCGACUUGGGAGCCUUCAACCACCCUCAGGCGUUAAGGGGAUUGAAAGAAGGGGUGAAGAUAGGAAGGCUGUGGUACAAUUUGAGAAGCCCAGCUAUUCAAACGUAUGCAGCCGCAUACGAACAGGCUAAGAGAGACAUCGAGAUUGAAGAGGAGAAGGCUGCACGGAUUAAGACAGACCAGUUAGAAGGGCUGGGGAGGAAAGAGAAGAAAGCAUUACCGGGGAAUGGGCCGAUCAGGAGGAGGGACCACCAGGCCUCCGGUAGUGGAGCAGGAGGUCGGGUAGCCGCUUACCAGCCUCAUCAAAGGCCACCACAGUAUCAGCGCAGCAGGGCGCAACCUCCUCGUUCCCCAGCUAGGGAGCCUUGGAAAAGGCAUGAGUCGGCAUCUGGUGGUCUCCAACAACACCCCCACGGUAUCAGAGCGAGCAGACCAGAAGUACUUCCACCGCCCCCAACUCAGAGCGGGGCAAACAGGGAAAGAGCAGUGCACCUGAUCGACCAGAACCCGGACUAUGGGCGGUACACUUCCUUGAAGAUGUCCCUGGAUGAGGUGUACGAGGCCAUAAAGGAUCGAGGGCUGCUACACCUCCCUACACCAAUAACAAAGCUACCUAACAGGAGGGAUAGAGGACGUUAUUGUAAGUUCCAUGGCACCCAUGGCCAUACCACAGCAGAGUGUAGAGAUCUCAAGACCCAGGUCGAAGAUUUGGUGAGAAAUCGGUACCUGGACGAGUUUAUGGAUGGGACUUUCCCGAUGGGGGCCACAACAGGUGAAGGGGAGCAGAGUGGCGGAAACGUGAGGCGCGAGCAGCCCGCAGUAAGGGUGAUAGCUGGGGGCCCGACAUUGGCCGGAGAUUCCAACAGAUCGAGAAAAAAUUAUGCUAGGUACGCCAUGACCAGUAAAGAGGUACUCCUCAACACCCCAGCAGCCAAACGAGCAAGGGUCAGGCAAGUGCCAAUCAUGUGGACGGAUGAGGAUGAGGAAGGGAUUCUAUACCCCCAUGAGGAUGCUUUAGUCAUCAAGGCUACUGUCGCUAGCAAGAAGUUUGACCGGAUACUGAUUGAUACAGGGAGCUCAGUUGAUGUGUUAUUUAAGUCAACCCUGGAAGAGAUGGGAAUAGCCGACCGGAAGUUGGAAUAUACCAAUACCUCCUUGAAGGGGUUCGGAGGAGGGAAGCUGGUCCCUCUGGGCGUGGUCGAGCUGCCUAUCACAAUUGGGAGCUCCCCGACAGAAAGAACAAUGAUACUGGACUUUGUCGUAGUGGAUGAGGAAGGUCCUUACCAGAUGAUCCUAGGUCGGCCAUUUUUAAGGAUGAGCAAAGCGGUGUUGUCCAAUCAUUAUCUGGCUCUGAAGUACCGGGUGAACGGGGUAGUAGGAGUGGUACGAGGAGACCAGAGGAUCGCAAGAAGCUGCUACUCCUCGGCAGCAAGGGAAGCAAUGCAGAUAACAUCCCUCGAUACCCGAGUGGAAAACAAGAAGGGCAGACAAGAACCUGUAGAGGAUCUGGAAACAGUAAGCCUGGGACCAGAGAACCCGGGAAAGAUGAUCAGAAUCGGGUCGAGACUUAAGGGAGAGCAAAAGCAGGAGUUGGUGAAAUGCUUACAGGCUCAUGCUGAUGUGUUUGCUUGGACACAUGAAGACAUGCCAGGGAUUGACCCUGAGGUAGCAUGUCAUAAGCUGGCAAUAAAGAAAGGUGCUCGGGCAGUAAGGCAGAAGAGGAGGUGUUUCAACCAGGAGAGGUAUGAGGCUAUAAAUGGCGAGGUGGAGAAGCUCUUGAGAGCAGGGUUCAUUCGGGAAGUCAGUUACCCUGAGUGGAUAUCGAAUGUGGUGUUGGUAAAGAAGGCAAACGGCAAGUGGAGGAUGUGUGUGGAUUUCACAGACCUCAAUAAGGCGUGCCCAAAAGACAGCUUCCCUUUACCAAAGAUCGAUCAGCUAGUAGAUUCAACGGCUGGACAUGGUCUGCUUAGCUUCAUGGACGCGUUCUCGGGAUACAACCAGAUCCCCAUGUACGAGCAGGAUGAGGAGAGCACGGCUUUCAUCACUAACCAAGGUUUGUUCUGUUACAGGGUAAUGCCAUUCGGUCUCAAAAAUGCCGGGGCCACCUAUCAAAGGCUGGUGAACAAAGUCUUUAAGCCGUUGAUUGGGAAAACCAUGGAGGUGUACGUGGAUGACAUGAUCACCAAGUCCAAAAUCCCGGAGGAACAUGUCAGACACCUCGAGGAGACAUUCGAGCUUUUGAGGAAGUAUAAGAUGAAGCUCAACCCGGAGAAGUGUGCUUUUGGGGUCGAGUCGGGGAAAUUCCUUGGAUUCAUGGUGAGCCAUAGGGGGAUUGAAGCAAAUCCCGAGAAAAUCCAGGCGAUUGUGCAAAUGACGUCUCCCCGUAACCUGAAGGAGAUGCAGAGCCUCACGGGGAGGUUGGCGGCGUUGAGCAGAUUCAUAGCCAAGGCUACAGAUAAGUGUCAGCCGUUCUUUCAAGUGAUGAGGAGGGGAAAGAAAACAGAAUGGACCUCAGAAUGCGAGGAAGCCUUCCGGAACUUGAAGCAAUACUUGCAGCAAGCUCCGCUGCUGUCCACACCGAGGGAUGGGGACAAGUUAUAUCUGUAUUUAGCGGUAUCGGCUCGGGCCGUCAGUUCUGUUCUGGUGAGAGAGGAAGAAGGAGUUCAGUAUCCGAUAUAUUACACCAGCAAGGCCCUGCUCGACGCUGAGACCAGAUACCCACCGUUGGAGAAAUGGGCACUUGCCCUUGUGGUUGCUGCUCGGAAGUUGAGGCCAUAUUUUCAAGCAUUCCCGGUCUUGGUAAUAACAAACCAGCCAUUGCGUCAAACUCUGCACAAGCCAGAUGCCUCUGGUCGGCUCGUCAAGUGGGCUGUAGAGCUGAGCGAGUUCGACAUAGACUAUAAGCCCCGCGCAGCGAUAAAAGCCCAGGCAAUGGCCGAUUUCGUAGCUGAAUUCACAGAGCCCGAAGUAUGCUUAGAUCAACAAGAGGCAGAUAUAGGCAAUGACGAAACUCAAGUAUGGCAGAUGUCUGUGGAUGGGUCAUCAGGGGAGCGGGGUUCAGGAGUAGGGAUUGUCUUGGAAGGCCCAGAGGGGGAGGAGAUCUCUUAUGCUGUAAAAUUGGAAUUUGCAGCCACGAAUAACCAGGCAGAGUAUGAAGCCUUGAUAGCAGGUCUGGAAUUGGCUAAGGCCGUGAAAGCAAACAAAGUUAAGAUCAGAACUGAUUCCCAGCUGGUAGCGAAUCAUGUCAGUGAAAGAUUCCAACCAAGAGAGGAGAAGAUGGGGCAGUACCUGAAGAUAGUCAAGCAGAUGAUGGGGAAGUUCGAAGCAGUGGAGGUGAUACAGAUCCCCAGGGAGCAGAAUAGUCGAGCAGACAUUUUGGCUAGGAUGGCAGCAGUAGCCGACCCAAAAAUGCCAAAGUCGGUCCCUCUGGAGGUGAAGUCCGGCCCAAGUAUCGAUCAGAAUUUGGGGGUGAUGCGGAUAGAACAAAAAUGCUCGUGGAGGGACCCGAUAGUUUCAUACCUUAGAGACGGGGUAUUACCACCAGAUAAGAUGCGAGCUCGCAAGCUUAGAGCCCAGGCCUCGAGAUACACGAUGAUUGAUGGGGUACUGUAUCGGCGAGGAUAUACACUACCGUUCCUUCGGUGUUUGGAUGAGGACGACGCGGAUUACGUACUAAGAGAAGUACACGAAGGAAUUUGCGGAAAUCAUUCUGGCGGGAGGUCCCUGGCCCAUAAGGUUCUAAGGCAGGGAUAUUUCUGGCCGACAAUGCACCAGGAUGCGCAAGAGAAGACCAGGAGUUGUGUAAGUUGCCAGAGUUUUGCAAAUUUCUCUAACCAACCACCAGAGAAGCUUACCUCCAUGACCUCCCCCUGGCCAUUUGCUCAAUGGGGAAUUGAUCUGAUCGGCCCAUUGCCAAAGGCACGGGGAGCAGCAACACAUGCAAUAGUUGCUAUAGAUUACUUCACGAAGUGGAUAGAGGUAGAAGCCCUUAGCAGGAUCACAGAGAAGAAAACAACAGACUUCGUGUGGAGAAACCUGGUCUGUCGAUACGGGAUCCCUUAUGCCUUGGUAACGGAUAAUGGCAGGCAGUUCGAUAACCACAGCUUCAGGGAUUUCUGCCAGAACCUCGGGAUAGAGCUGAAGUAUUGCUCGCCUGCUCACCCUCAAUUGAAUGGACAAGUAGAAGCAGCCAACAAGACCAUCAAGAGGCUUUUAAAAACCAGGCUUGGAGCAAAAAAGGGUGCGUGGGUUGACGAGCUGUCAGGUGUGCUAUGGGCAUACAGAACAACCCACAAAACCGCAACUGGGGAGACACCGUUCGCUUUGGCUUUCGGACAUGAAGCGGUCGUGCCGGCUGAGAUAGGAACGACCACACACCGGACAAAUCAUUUCAAUGAGCAGGAGAACGACGAGCAGAUAUGUUUGAAUCUUGAUCUGCUAACGGAAAGGUGGGAGCAAGCAGCCGAGCGAUCAGUCAUUUACCAACAGAGGGUUGCUCGGUAUUAUAACCAGAAGGUGAACAUACGGCAAUUCAGGGUCGGAGACUGGGUACUGAGAAGAGUGAAUCAGAGCACCAAAGAUUCGACUCAAGGAGUGCUGGGACCGAAUUGGGAAGGGCCAUAUAGAGUCAAGCAGAUAGCGGGACCCGGAGCUUACAGGCUGGUUCGCACGGACGGCCACGAGGUGAAACGCCCAUGGAACGCAGCACACCUCCGAAAAUACUUCCAGUAAGACUUGUUCACAUGUGAAAACUAUUUUUGCUCAUGUUCAUUACCGUUUAUCUUUCACGCUUAUUGUCCAAACAAUUUCAUGUAAGUCGAAUCCUGCCAUUAAUGGAACGUCGAGGAAUUUCUUUCGCUUGAAACCGAGAAAAUUUUCCAAGGCAUGCAAAGGCUCACCAAGUCUCAAAGCCUGUCUUAUGGCGAGACAGAAGCCAAGCAUGCCAGGAUCUGCUCGGCCACGAGAAGGCAAGCAGAAUCCCAAUCCUCGAAGAAUCCAAGGCAUGCAAAGGCUCACCAAGUCUCAAAGCCUGUCUUAUGGCGAGACAGAAGCCAAGCAUGCCAGGAUCUGCUCGGCCACGAGAAGGCAAGCAGAAUCCCAAUCCUCGAAGAAUCCAAGGCAUGCAAAGGCUCACCAAGUCUCAAAGCCUGUUUUAUGGCGAGACAGAAGCCAAGCAUGCCAGGAUCUGCUCGGCCACUAGAAGGCGAGCAGACUCCAAAGCAUUCGAAGAAAUGCCCAAGGCAUGCAAAGGCUCGACAAAGUCUCAAAGCCUGUUUUAUGGCGAGACAGAAGCCAAGCAUGCCAGGAUCUGCUCGGCCACUAGAAGGCGAGCAGACUCCAAAGCAUUCGAAGAAAUGCCCAAGGCAUGCAAAGGCUCGACAAAGUCUCAAAGCCUGUUUUAUGGCGAGACAGAAGCCAAGCAUGCCAGGAUCUGCUCGACUACUAGAAGGCGAGCAGACUCCAAAGCAUUCGAAGAAAUGCCCAAGGCAUGCAAAGGCUCGACAAAGUCUCAAAGCCUGUUUUAUGGCGAGACAGAAGCCAAGCAUGCCAGGAUCUGCUCGGCCACUAGAAGGCGAGCAGACUCCAAAGCAUUCGAAGAAAUGCCCAAGGCAUGCAAAGGCUCGACAAAGUCUCAAAGCCUGUUUUAUGGCGAGACAGAAGCCAAGCAUGCCAGGAUCUGCUCGGCCACUAGAAGGCGAGCAGACUCCAAAGCAUUCGAAGAAAUGCCCAAGGCAUGCAAAGGCUCGACAAAGUCUCAAAGCCUGUUUUAUGGCGAGACAGAAGCCAAGCAUGCCAGGAUCUGCUCGACUACUAGAAGACGAGCAGACUCCAAAGCAUUCGAAGAAAUGCCCAAGGCAUGCAAAGGCUCGACAAAGUCUCAAAGCCUGUUUUAUGGCGAGACAGAAGCCAAGCAUGCCAGGAUCUGCUCGACUACUAGAAGGCGAGCAGACUCCAAAGCAUUCGAAGAAAUGCCCAAGGCAUGCAAAGGCUCGACAAAGUCUCAAAGCCUGUUUUAUGGCGAGACAGAAGCCAAGCAUGCCAGGAUCUGCUCGACUACUAGAAGGCGAGCAGACUCCAAAGCAUUCGAAGUAAUGCCCAAGGCAUGCAAAGGCUCGACAAAGUCUCAAAGCCUGUUUUAUGGCGAGACAGAAGCCAAGCAUGCCAGGAUCUGCUCGACUACUAGAAGGCGAGCAGACUCCAAAGCAUUCGAAGUAAUGCCCAAGGCAUGCAAAGGCUCGACAAAGUCUCAAAGCCUGUUUUAUGGCGAGACAGAAGCCAAGCAUGCCAGGAUCUGCUCGACUACUAGAAGGCGAGCAGACUCCAAAGCAUUCGAAGUAAUGCCCAAGGCAUGCAAAGACUCACCAAGUCUCAAAGCCUGUUUUAUGGCGAGGCAGAAGCCAAACGUGCCAGGAUCUGCUCGACCACUAGAAGGCGAGCAGUCUCCAAAGCAUUCGAAGAAUCUCCAAAGGCAUGUGGCAAAACCAUGAGCCAAGCCGGAACCUGCUCGUCUAGACAGAGACAAGCAGAUUCUCAACCGAAAAUUAAUUCAUAAUUACAUCACAAGAAAGUAAUCAAAAACCAUUUUUAUUAAUUUGUUAAUAAUUAACAGAGGGGAUAAUCUUCAUGAACAUUGUUCAUUACAAUACAAGAAAUAUAUCAGGAAGAUGGUGGACCAGUAAGCCCGGCAGCAUCGGUUGGCUGGACCUCCUCAGGUGCAGGAGGGGUAUCACCAGUUGCGUCCGGGGGGUGCUCGCCUCGCCAACAUCAGCAGGGACUGCACGAGCAGGAGAGUCUUCCUCCUCAAUCACGAUCGGCUCUACCCCAUCGGCAUCUUCCUUGGCCGCCUCCUCAUCCAUAUGUUGAGCAACACCAGCUGCAAGGUCAUCCAUCUUCAGAUCAGGGUGUUGCUUCCCGAGGACGGCCAUGAUGCAACGAUAGGAAUGCCGAAGUCCCUGGUCGUACUGGUUGUCAGCCUCCCUCUCCAAGUUCUCGACCUGAGCUCGGUGGGAGUCGCGGAGAGAUUCGAGCUGAGCCUCAUACAUAGCCUUCUGCCUUUGCAGAUCCUCCUUGACCGUGGUAAGCUCCUCCUCGAGGGAAAUGGCUUUUGCUUGAGCAAGUGAUUCUUGCUCUAUUAACUUCAGAUUCUCGAGAUUCAGCUCCCCUGCUUUCUUCUCGGCAACGUCAGCUCUGGUCGUCGCCGAUUGAAUAUCCUCCUUCAUCUUCCGGUCGUAGCGGCCAACCUUAGCCUUGUAAUAGGUGGUCAUGCAGCUGAGGUGGAAAGCGCUAUGCUGCAUGGCCCCCACCAGCUCACCCAAGGUGCGGCCGUCAAAGUCCUCCAAGUCCUUCUUGCUCAUGAGUUUAGUUAACUCAUUGAGGUAGGGGACCAGGUGUUCUGCUCGGCUGUCAGGUAAGCGAGAUCGAGGCCCGACAGGAGGAAAAGAGGAAGCAGGAUCUGUAGCUGCUCCACUAGCUUCCCCGACUUUUACAGGAGCAGGAGGUAAAAUCUUCAAGGGUGGGACCUGCUGCAUGAUGUUGGCCCGCUUUGCAGCAGGGGCAUUCUUAUUCUGGUCCCUCUUCGUGGUGGGAGGUCGGGAACGUUUUCGGGUCAGAGCCCCAAUCACAGCGUCCUCCAUCCUAUGGCCAGGAAGUAUCAAGCGAGACUCGAGCAAGUUGUAUGUAGUUAGCAGUUCUCGGCUCGAGCAGGAAUUGGCUAGUACAGCCUCGACCCGUUUGAGCUGGUCAGGUUCAAGCGGGAAGUGGACACCCCAAGAAACUACAACACAAACAGACACUUGGUUAGAGACAAGCCAAUAAAGCAAGAACAAUUAUGGAUGCAAGACAUCUAGAGCGAGCAGGCAACCUGGGACCGUGAAACGGGGUGGGACGCGACAAUCCUUCCCGCCUAUUUGUGCAACUUGACCCCAAGGACCCCCAGCAAAAAAGAAUUUCCUCUUCCAAGCCCCACCACCACCGGUUGGAAGAUCGGUUAUGGAUUUCCGGCUCUUGGUGCUAGAUUGGAAGUAGUACCAGCCGGCAUCUUUGGGGCUGCUCUUUAGCUGGUACAAGUGCUUCACCUCGUCAACCGUGGGCUCGCUUUGGCAACAUCUGUCCCACAAUAUGAACAGACCAGAGAGCACUCUCCACCCAUUGGGAUUCAGCUGACCAGGAGCUAGAUUUAGCCCGUUAAGUAUCCGGGCAAAGUAGGGUUGCAAGGGACACCUCAGCCCGUACUUAAAGCUCUCUAGAAACAGGGUAACGUAUCCCCUAGGAGGCCGGCUGGGAGCAUCCUUCUUUCCUGGGACCUUGAGAGGUAUCUCACCAGGAAUGCUAUACCUAAGCUGGAGGUCAUUGAGCUCGUCAAACAAGGUCGUGCACGUCAUGUAAUCAAUGGCAUAAUCGCGCGACAAGGCUCUGCCUCCUACUGUACCCCGUUCCUCUAGUCGUGAUGUUCCAGAUGGAGACACCUCACCAGAGUCACCUUCCCCAUUCUCACUUAAGGUGUCCUCAGAGCCAGAAGGUCCCCCCUCACCAUUGCUUCCGCUCGUGGAGGUUGUUUGGGGGGACAUCCUCCUAGCACUAGUCCCGACACUAAACCUAAUGGGUUCUAAGGGGAUCCCGGGGUCAAAAGCCGGAUCAGUGAGCAGACUAGGCAGGAAACUUAGUUCGUCGUCAUCAAUCUCAACGACUUUCUCCUUACCUUUCGACAUUCCCUAAGCCCUAACCACAACACCACCAACUACUACCUAAACAGAAGAGAAGAGAAAUUAUCUACAACUAUCCGAGACCAAGGAGAUAGAAGAAAUACCUGAAGUAAUGGUUCAGUCGGUGAAAGUCAGAGAUGGAGGCCUUUUAUGCCGGAACUUCUUUGCCGGAGAAACAGAGACGGAGACGGAGUGAAUGAUGAAUAUGCCGUUCGAGAGGAUUUGGUUUUCCUAAUGAAGACGGACUCUUGGGUUGCCAGCAUUUAACGGCGCCGAAUCCCGAGGGUCUCAUAACCGUCGGUUUGAAAUUCAAAUGAAGGGGGGGAUUUCUGCCACGUCACCUCGUCCGCAAUUAAAUGCGACAUGACUCUUGGCAGCCUUUUCCAAUCCCACGCGGGCGAGUACUAACGAGUUUCUACUGCUGGUCCACUACAUUACCCAACACCAGAAACUGGGGGACCGGUGUUUGGGAGAAAUACGUCGAUGAGACCAGGCAUGGUGAGCAGAUAUCUGAUGGCAGAGUUCUGCGAACCGGUGUGUUCCGUAAAAGCCUGGUGCACGGGGGAACAUGAGCAGAAGUAUCCUGCUCGUCCACGAGCACGUCAUCCGCGAGGCAAAUUUCCUGUAAGAGGCAUAAGGUCAUUCCGGCUAGAGGUCGAGAGGCGAGGAGACCCGGUCGACGGCAGUUGGCAAGACAUGCUCCCCAGCCCGAGAAUCUAGGCACGACAGCCACGCUUUCCCCAGAACUGUGGCGUAACACGCAAGAUCUCACAGAACCACGACAGCCACGCUUUCCCCAGAACCGUGGCGUAACACGCAAGAUCUCACAGAACCACGACAGCCACGCUUUCCCCAGAACCGUGGCAUAACACGCAAGAUCUCACAGAACCACGACAGCCACGCUUUCCCCAGAACCGUGGCGUAACACGCAAGAUCUCACAGAACCACGACAGCCACGCUUUCCCCAGAACCGUGGCGUAACACGCAAGAUCCCACGUUUGCCCAUAACGCAGCAGUCAGAGUCCCAUACCGUCUCAGAAAAAGCGGAAAACUGGGAUUCAGGGGAAGCCUAUAAAAAGGUAGCCAACGAAGGUAAAAGGGUUGGCAUUUUUGAGAUUAUAAAAGAAAUGAAAAAAGAAGAGAAAACGACGAAAAAGCCAUAAGAUCUGUGGCAAGUGUCCCCCGAACCUUCAUAUCUGACUUGAGCGUCGGAGGGUUUGCGCCGGGAAAACAACCGGCGUACUCUGACUUGUCUGUGUGCGCAGGAACCUCUGGAGAAGAAGCCUCACGUGGAGACCUCCUGGUCGUGAAGAAGUUGAUCGGGCAGAGAUCCUGGUCGUAGAACGAGGAGAACCGGAAUCCCGCAUCAACAGAACUUGUACUUGUCCUGUGAUCCGUACAUGCGACCACGAAUGACCUACAUCGAAGGAUCUUACGUUGAAUCCUUUAAACCUGGCUUGGUUAGUGCACUCGCUCAUGGCCACGCUUUUCAUUUCCAUGGCUUCUUGCUCUUUUGUUAUAGAAAAUUUAUUUUUGGUUGCAGUUUGAUUCGACUGCUAAAAUCUCGUGCGAUAAUUGUAUAAGAUAUCUAGAGUUUGAACUUCUUUCACAUUAGGGUUCAAGGAAGUUAACUUAAAUGAUUUUCAAAAUUUUAAAUGUGUACCAAAGAAUUUAAUUUCAUAGCUUAAACUUAUAUUUUGAUCAUACUCUAACUUUGGACAGGAAAAAUUAUAUUUUUCCUUUAGUUCUUUGCCUUGGUGUAUGUUGUGUGAAGUACUUGUGCUUGAAAAUGAAUUGCUGACACAGAAAUUUCUAUGAAUGCAUGCAGCCCAUAAGUGGAUAUGGGGUGGGUAAAGUUUUGGAUUCAGAGAAUCCAGAGUUCAACAAAGGUGACUUGGUUUGGGGAAUGACUGGAUGGGAAGAGUAUAGUCUCAUUACGGCUCCACACUUGUUUAAAAUUCAACACACAGAUGUGCCUCUUUCUUACUAUACUGGAAUCCUCGGUAAACUUUUUGUUUGCACAAUUUAUGUGAGCAAAUUGUGUCUUCUUUUUCAUAUGUAAAUGUUUUUGAUAUCUUGAUGUGAAGGUAGAAAAUUGCAUGUUUUGAGUUUUUGCAUAUUUGAUGGAAACACAGAACUGUACCUGAAUCUUUCAGAACCCCCUUCUCUUUGAAGUUUGAACACUUUUCUUGAAUGUAUCAACUUUAUUUAUGGGAUAUGUUGCCAAAUUGGAAAAUCUAUUCGUUAUAAAACUUUCCUUUGACAGUUUAAUCUAAGCAGAUGUUAAUUCUGCAAAUAGAGUGUGCCUUAGAUUAGUUUCAUAGAUUUGUCUCCUUCUGUACAGUAAAAACUUUGAGCAUUUUCGCCAUAUUCUGAUCAAUACACUCCAACUAGUUAGUUCUUGAGGCGUUUUAUGGUUUCGUGGAGUGAGGCAAGAUGUAUACGUUUGCAAAUUGGCAAUGUCUUUCUCUUGAUGGGUUGAGAGUUGUGAGUGUCAACAGGAAACAAGACCUCUGUUUUAUGAACUCCAAAAAGUUAUUCUGUUAAAAAGAUCGAGACAGAGGCCAUACUAUAUUUAUUAUUGCUAUAAAAGUGUGAAAAAAUAUUCUUUAUUUAAUAUUCUAAACGAUUGAGCCAUUUAGUUAUGAUACUCUGCUGUAUUGGGGCUAAUAAUCUAAGUCGGUUCAAAGUGGUAAAUUUAUAAAUUGAUAGGUAUGCCUGGUAUGACCGCUUACGUUGGAUUUUAUGAGGUCUGCUCUCUUAAGCAAGGAGAGUGUGUCUUCAUAUCCGCAGCAUCUGGUGCAGUUGGACAGCUUGUGGGGCAGUUUGCAAAGUUAUUGGGUUGCUAUGUCGUCGGAAGUGCUGGAAGCAAAGACAAGGUAUGUAAAAUUAGAAUUUGAUCAACAGAUUUGGAGUGUUUGUUUACAGAGAAAAUCUAAGAGAAAAUGUAAGAAACUUUAGCUGAGAAUAUUCAUUUUGUUCAACUUAAUAACAGAAUGAGAUUACAAAGCUUAUAUACUGCUAUCAAGAAUCAUCUUAACACAUACAUCAUUUUCACGUGUAUUUAUCUUUGAAAGAAGCUAAAUAACCAGCUUAACAAACUCACAACUACUUUGCUGACUGGACUGCCACGUCACCAUAACUAACUUAACUAAUCCAAUCAGUUAAUCACAGUUAACACAUAUUCUUAUCAUCCCCCCUCAAGCUUAAGUUCGGGGAAGGACAUUAAGCUUGGUACGAAGAUAAGCAAACUGAUCAAAAGAGAGGGGCUUGGUGAGAAUGUCUGCAAGUUGUUCUGAACUGGAAACAUGACUGAUCGUGAGUUGCUUCUGGGCAAUAUGCUCUCGAAUAAAAUGAAGAUCCAACUCAAUGUGCUUUGUUCGAGAGUGAUACUUAGGAUUGCUAGCUAAUGCCUCAGCACUCUGAUUAUCACAUUAUAGAACAGGACUUUGAGUUGGCUGAAUUUGCAGUUCUUGAAGCAAAUAAGUGAGCCAAAGAAUUUCAGAGGUUGCCGAAGCAAGAGCUCUAUAUUCAGACUCUGCUGAGGAACGAGAAACAAUGGUUUGUUUCUUGGAGGACCAAGAAAUAAUAUUGUUUCCUAAGAAUACACAAUACCCUCCAGUAGACUUUCGAUCAUCAGGAUCAGCUGCCCAAUCAGCAUCAGAAAAUGCUGUUAAAGUCACAGAGCCUGAAUUGAAGAAUUGAAUCCCAAAGUGUGAAGUAGCUUGAAGAUAUCGAAGAACCCUUUUACAAGCUUGCCAGUGUGCAAUGGUUGGAUGAGCUAGGAACUGACUAAGCUUGUUAACAGGAUAAGCUAUAUCAGGUCUUGUUAGCAACACAUACUGAAGAGAGCCCACAAUACUUCUGUAUAAUGAGGGAUUAUCAAAAACUUCACCACUGUCCUUUGUAAGCUUAUCACCUGGACUCAUAGGAGUAUUAAAACCUUUGCUGUCAAGCAUAUUUACUUUUCUAAGGAUAUCACCAAUGUAUUUGGUCUGAGAUAAAUGCAGUCCCUGAACAGAGGGUGUUACUUCAGUACCAAGAAAGUAGUUAAACUCUCCUAGAUCUUUGAGUGCAAACUCUGAAUGAAGAUAUUGAAUAACAGCCUCAAUAUGUUGAGAAUUAGAACCAGUAACUAAAAUAUCAUCAACAUAUAUAAGAAUGAGCACAAUAUCAUGGUCAAUAUGCUGAAUAAACAUGGAUGUAUCAGAUUUUGAGGAUUGAAAACCUUUAUGGAGUAAGGACCCUUUCAACCUCUCAUACCAAGCUCUAGGAGCUUGCUUGAGACCAUAUAAGGCUUUGUUUAACUUGCAAACAUAUGAUGGAUUUGCAAAGUCUAUAAAACCUUGUGGCUGAUGCAUGAACACAUCCUCUUCAAGCAUACCAUUGAGAAACGCAUUAUUAACAUCCAGCUGUCUAAUCUGCCAAUGAUGCAACACUGCUAGACUGAGGACAACUCUGACUGUGCAAGGUUUCACAACUGGGCUGAAGGUCUCAAAGAAAUCCACCCCUUGAGUUUGAUGAUAACCCUUGGCAACCAACCUAGCUUUGUAUUUGGAAAUGCUGCCAUCAGGGUUAUACUUCACCCUAAAUACCCACUUAUUACCAACUAUUUUAGCAGCACUUUCAGAGGGCACUAGAGUCCAGGUUUGAUUUCUUUGCAGAGCAUCAAAUUCCUCUUUCAUAGCACAAAACCACUUGGAGUCAUGCAAGGCACUUUUGACACUAGUUGGCUCAAGAUUUUCAGUAGCUGCUAGAUAUGACUUGGGUUUGAAGAUACCAGCUUUAGCUCUAGUAAUCAUUGGGUGAGAUGGUAAUGAAGAUGAGUGAGUUGGUUCAGCUGAAGGAUGAGAAUAAGAAGGUUGUGCUGAACUGGAACUUGAUGGAGGAGACAUUGCUGAAUGAAAAUUAGGAGAUGAUGACUCUACAUUGCUACUGUCAACCUGAGCAGAAGUUUGAAGAAAAGAAAGUUGUACUGGUGAAGAAGGGACAUCAACAUUGGAGACUUGUGAGGUAGAGUGUUUUAGAAACAAUUCUGUGUUAGGAAACUCAGUUUCAUUAAAAACAACAUGUCGAGCAACAAACACUUUACCAGAUGAAUUUAAACACUUAUAACCUUUAUGAAGUGGACUGUAACCAAUGAAAAUACAUUUUUGAGUAUGAAAGUCAAGUUUAUGCUGGUUAUAAGGUCUGAGGAAUGGAAAACAGGAGCAACCAAAAACCUUUGGAAACUGAUAGUCAGGCAGAUGAUUAUGUAAUUUCUGAAAUGGGGAUAGAUUGUUUAGAACUGAUGUGGGCAUUCUGUUGAUAAGGAAAGAAGCAGUGUGGAAUGCUUCCCACCAAAAGGAGAGAGGUAACUGUGAUUGAGCUAGAAGUGUCAGACCUGUUUCAACAAUAUGCCUGUGUUUCCUCUCAACAACACCAUUUUGAUGGUGUGUAUAUGGACAACUAUACCUAAAACAUAUACCCUCUUGCUGAAGAAAGGUUUUAAAAGCUAUAAAUUCACCCCCCAUAUCUGACUGUAGUGUUUUGAUAGACAAGGAGAACUGUUUUUCAACAAGAAGUUUGAAGUGUUUGAAGGUUUCUAAGGCUUCUGACUUUGCUGUGAGAGGAAAAAUCCAAGAAUAUCGAGUGAAAUCAUCCACAAAAGAGAUAUAAUAUCUGUAUCCACUCAUUGAAUAUUCAGGAGCUGGUCCCCAUAAAUCUGUAUAUAGAAGCUCAAGUGGUGCUUUUGUUUUAAUGGUAGUGACAGAAAAAUGAAGCUGAUGCAUUUUGCCAUGUUGACAAGCAUCACAGAAGCUAAUGAAUUUAUUUGAAAAGCAAUGUGUGGGAAGACUUUUAAUAAUUGUUUGCAAAGCAUGUUUAUUGGGAUGACCAUAUCUAUUAUGUAACAACUGAACUGAUAUCUUUCCAGCUCUAGAAGAAUUUCCAGAAACAGAACAUGCAAAAGCUUCAGACAUAUUUACAUUAUCCAACUUUGACACAUGAUUAUUUGACUCUGGUAAAGAGUUUACAACUUUAUUAUCAAAACAAAAUGACAACAUGGAACUUGGUUUAAAAAGAUUUGGAUUGCAAUCUGCAGAGUAAGGAGAGAAGACAUCAAGUGACAGUAGCUUGUAAAGACCACCUUUAACAAUCCCCUGUGCCAGCAAAGUUCCCUCCUUCUUGUCCUUAAUAAAGCACAUGGUGGAACAAAAUUCAAUGAUUAUGUUAUUAUCCAAAAGAAGUUUAGAUAUACUGAUGAGGUUUUUGGUUAUUUUAGGAACACACAAAGUAUUGGUUAAGGAUAAACAUGUGCCAAAAGAAGUAGAAAGAUGAGUGCAGCCAAUAUGUGUGAUAGUAAGACCUUGUCCAUUUCCAACAAACAACAGUUGAGUACCAUUAUAAGGAUUACCUUCAACCAGGUUUUGCACAUUGUUGGUGAGAUGAUGAGUGGCUCCACUGUCCAGAUACCAUCCCUGAUCAGCAACUCCUUCUGAGGUAGCCAUAUAAGCUGUUCUUGGCCCUGGGUUCUGCAUUGGAGAAUUUGAAACAAAAUUUCUGUUAAAUCUGUUUCUACAAUCAACAGCUGAAUGGUUUGGUUUAAAACAUAUUUGGCAGGUAAUAUUUCCUCUGCCACCUCCUCUACCAAAGCCACCAGAGGACCCUGGAUUUCCACCAUUAAAACCACCAUUUCCACUAAAUCCACCAGUAUUUCCAUUAAAACCACCAGAGUUUGAACCUCUUCCUUGGUUUCCAAACCAGCCUCUCCCUGAGUUUUGAUCCAUAAAGCCACCUCUGCCAGAUCCAUAACCUCCUCUAUUGUUGAAAUUUCCAUUUCCAUUUCUAUUCACAAAAUUAACAUUCCAAUUACCCUGGUUAUUAGUAUUCCAAUUAGCAUUGCUUCCUGACUUCUUCUGAUUAUUACCAGUCUGAGCCACAUUAGCACUAAAAUUCACCUUAGUUUCCUUAGCUACACCAGAAUGAUUACUCUCAAGCCUAGCUUCAUGAGAUAGCAACAUAGAAUAAGCCUCAUUGAUGCUCAUUUUAAGAGCAUUUGCCUCAAUAUAAACUACAACAGGAUAGUAAGCCUGACCUAGCCCUGAGAUUAAAUGUGUAAUGAAGUCAAUAGAGCUAACUGAACUUCCAGCCAUUGCUAAUUCAUCAGUUACUGACCUUAGUUUACAAAAAUAUUCAGUAAUUGACAUGGAUCCUUUCUUAAGAUUGUUUAGCAGCAUCUUUAAAUGCACUUUCUUAGCUGCUGUUUCAAAUCCAAACUGUUCCUCUAAGCUUAUCCAAAGUUCUCGAGAGUUUUUAGAAUUUACCACAAUGCUUAAGAUCUCCACACUGAUUGAAGAUAGAAGCCAGCUCAAGAUCAUCUGAUCUUGCCUUUUCCAAGUAGUGUAGGCAGGAUUUUCUGAGAUGACUGCCGCAUCUGUGCUUGUUGAUUCACCAGUCAGCAGCUGGUUUGGACAGGUACGUGAUCCAUCAAGAAAACCUUCCAGAUCAUUUGCUCGAAUGGCUGAAAGGAUCUGAGAUUUCCAUAUAGUAUAAUUCGAUCUGUCAAGCUUGAUUGGUGUGGCGAAAGUAAAUGUUGAGAUUGCGGAAGAAACAUUUGUACUAAGACUUGAAGAAGCCAUGAUCAAGAAGUGAUUCAAGGCUCUGAUACCAAAUUAGAAUUUGAUCAACAGAUUUGGAGUGUUUGUUUACAGAGAAAAUCUAAGAGAAAAUGUAAGAAACUUUAGCUGAGAAUAUUCAUUUUGUUCAACUUAAUAACAGAUUGAGAUUACAAAGCUUAUAUACUGCUAUCAAGAAUCAUCUUAACACAUACAUCAUUUUCACGUGUAUUUAUCUUUGAGAGAAGCUAAAUAACCAGCUUAACAAACUCACAACUACUUUGCUGACUGGACUGCCACGUCACCAUAACUAACUUAACUAAUCCAAUCAGUUAAUCACAGUUAACACAUAUUCUUAUCAUGUAAUCUGUGUGAAGUACUUGAUUGUUUCCAUGUUACUUUCAAACAUUUAAAUUAAAAAGGAAAUUUUCAUAAUCUUGCCUUUUCUAUGAUUUUCAAAACCAAGGUUGAUCUACUGAAGAACAAGUUUGGGUUCGACGAGGCAUUUAACUAUAAAGAAGAAGCUGAUUUGAAUGCAGCAUUGAAAAGGUUAGCAUCAAUAAAUGCCUUAGCUUGAUGCAGCUUGAUGAAGUAUGAUACACAUUUCUGACCAAUAUACUGCGUUCCCUGAUCUCUUACUUGAAAUAUCUUGGUUUGAGAACCUCAUGCCAAUGCCUUUAACAUUUUGGCAGGUACUUUCCUGAAGGAAUUGAUAUAUAUUUUGAAAACGUUGGUGGAAAAACGCUUGAUGCAGUGCUACCCAACAUGAAAAUCCGUGGUCGAAUUGCUGCAUGCGGUAUGAUCUCACAGUACAAUCUUGACAAGCCUGAAGGUGUGCACAACUUGAUGUAUCUUGUUUUGAAACGGCUUCGAAUGGAAGGAUUCAUUGUUCUCGAUCACUAUCACCUUUAUCCAAAGUUUCUGGAAAUGAUCAUUCCUCACAUCAAAGAAGGGAAGCUUGUAUACGUCGAAGACAUGGCUGAAGGUCUGGAGAGUGCUCCGGCAGCUCUCAUCGGUCUAUUCUCUGGCCAGAAUGUUGGGAAACAGGUGGUUGCUGUUGCUCCUGAAUGAAGAACAAGUUAGUGUUGUAUGUUCUUUUACCCUUUGACACAAAACUUCAAUGUCAAAGAGAGAAUGCUGCUCAUACUGCUUUAUAAAAUAAUCAAAUGAGUGCAAGUUUCAUGAUAUUUGCUGAAUAAAAUAUUGGAAAUUAAGCAGCUAGCCUAGCUCCUUCUUGUAGUUGCAGUUUGAAUGAUGCUGCUGCACAACUGCUGCCGAAAAAAAUCCUUAAUAGAUGAUUAGCAAGGUUUCAAAAAUAAAAAUAAAUGUUUGUGCAAUGUGCCGAAUAUGACAGCCACAAAGAAAGAGCAUACAAAUUGAUUGGUUUUAUGUCUUCUCUAGGAGAAAGCUACAAUACAAGAAAUUGUAUUGAUGGAGCCUUGGACCAAAUUUCUUAUUUAAAUUUUUAAUUUUUUUUAUUAAAUUACUUAUGUUAUUAUGGUUUAUAUUUUUAGAAAUUCUUUAGAAAUUAAUACAGAACUAGUAGCAAGUUGAGAAAUCUACUGAAUGGUCAAGAUAUGAUAAUGUUUAUUGAAUUAAAUUAACAAUCAUCAUUUUCAUAAAUUAUUGUCAGGAUAUUUGAUUCAUGUCAGGUGUAAGUAACUAAGAGAGCGUUUGGGACAGACACCACAGUUGCUCCCGAUGCUUUAUUUUAGGGAAAUAUCCCCUGGAAUAAUGCAUAGGGCGCAGCCCCAAACGGACCCUAAAUGUGCUAAAAAAAAAUUAAUGAGUUGGGUGUGUUUGAUAUUCAUUUGUUGUAAUUCUUUUAAUAAUUAUUGUAGAAAAAAAUAUGAUAAAAAAUUUAUAAUUAUAAAUAAAAAUUAAUAAUAUAAUAAAUAAAAUUUUUAAACAAUAAUUUUAAUAAAAUAAUAAAUAUAUUAUCAAUUUUUCAUCGUUAAUAUUUAAGUCACAAUAAUAAAUAUUUAUUAAACACUUUAAUACUAUAACUAACACUACAACUUUUGAAUUAUAACAGUACAUUCUAAAGACCGUGGAACAAUAGUACAAAAGGUGCUCGUCGUGUAAACAACACAUGGGACCCAAGCAAUAAAUGUUUCUGAUCCUCAACUUUCCUCAUCACUGUCCCUGCAAACAAUUCUGAUUUUCUUGUCUGAUAAAAAAACUGAGAAACAAUGGCGGCCGAACAAGAAGCUGUGAGCAAUAAUGUAAAGCCACAAAUUUUCAUAAUAUUAAAUUAUGAAAAUUGGGCUUUCAUUGAGAAUUAUGGGUGGCCUAUAACCCUUAUUAAGAAAGGGAUACUAAUUAUAAAUACAAGUUAUUUAUGAGAUAGUUUUGAAAAAAUGUUAUUUUUCCUUAUUAAAUAAGGUUUCUUAAGACUCCCUAUAAAUUCAUACUUUUUCCCUUCCAUGACCCUAAGUCCAUGACGUUUAUUCUUCUUCUCUGCUGCUCUUUACGCUCCUACCCAAAUCAUAGGAUUCAAACCUUUGUUUAGGAGAGAAUCAAAGCGACGAGUAAGUUAUUCUCCCUAUUCUCAACAGAUUUCUAAUCACUCUAUCUAGGGUUUAUAUUGGCACGAUUCUAGAUGGUUAUAGAUCAUAAUGCAUGAUUUAGAAUGUAUUUAGGCUUUGUUUAGGGUUUUGAUUUAUUAUGAGUUUAGUUAAUCAAUCCUUGACGUAUUAAGCACAGGAUAAUUCUGGACAAUAUGAGUAUCUCGAAUUUAAACCUAUAUUUUCUGAACGAGUUUUAUUAUAAAAUUUAUAUUUCUGGAAACUAGACAUGUAGGGCUUCUUGAGUAAAUUUUAUUUCAUUAAAUUCGACUUCGUUUUCAAUUUUAUAUUUAUUUUCGAAAUAGAAACCACUGCACUGGAAAACUGCGAUUCCAGCAUUGCGAUCGGAUUCACAAGACUAUUUGUACCACCAAACGAACUCGGAAAAUUCUGAAAGUUUAUAUGUAGGUUAAUAUAUGUGUCUAGGAUUACCAGUUUUAAUUUCAUAAUUUUCUGAUUAGUAUUUUAUUUUAUAAAAAUCACAGAACCCGUUCUGUUUGGUUUAGAUUAUGUGAAAACAGUUUCGAAUUUGCUGAGAAAUAAAUAGUUUCGAAAAUGUUUUUGAUAUCGGAUCCUCUUGCAAAUUUUACAUAGGGUACUCAUGGAUGUCCAGAAUAGUCCCAUAGAAUAUUAUAUCAUUCUGAGUCUUAGAUUAAGAGUUAAAUUCUGAGAAUCAGACCUGUACGGGUAUGAAUUAGAAAAUCAGAUUCUUAGAAUAAGUUAUUAAUUGUCAUAUCUUGUAUUUGUUUAAGGUGUUGAAGGUGAUUGAGGUUCUUAGAAGCUUAAAGGUGUGUUAAUUCAAAUUCAUUUGUCGAGGUAAGUUACUUCAUUCCUACUAUAUUGGAUAUGUAUAAGUAUUUUGAUAUUAUCAUUAUAAGUAUAAAUGUUUUCAUACUAUUUAGAAGAUUAAUGGAUUUUCAUAACAAAAUUAGCUUAUGAAAAUGUUUUCAAAACCUAAUUUCUUUUUAACAAAGCAUUUUAUAAAUACUUUUUAAAUAUGUAAGUUAUUUUGUUACAUGCCUACUUUUAUGAUUUUAUUUAUAAAAUAUUUUGCAAGCCUAAAUUAUUGUUAUGGACUUUUAUGAAUCCGAUACGAAUGUUUUAUGCCUAUGCAUGAUUUCAAUUAUAUAUGAUUGUAUGGGGGCCACCUCUUGGGACUAUAUGGGGGCCACCUCUUGAAGGCCAAAGUGUCGCAAAGUGCCACAUAUAGUGCAAAGUGCCACGUAUAAGUCAUUAUGUUUUGGCUCAUUGUCCGUAGUCAUUUUGAUUCUGAUUCUGAUCAUAUAAUACGAUAUAUGUCUGUUUUGGACCAGUACUGGGUUUCUGUUCUGAGUGUGCACACGAUAUUUUGAUUCUGUUUCUGGCCGGGUCACUGGGACUAUAGGUGACACUAUGUGACAAGAGCUAACCUUUUGUUUUCUGUAUACGUAUUAUAUGAUUUACUUCAUAAGUAAAUAUGCUUUUGGAUAUUCGGAAUUAUUAAGAAUUUAUGUUAUGUUAUCGUGAUAUAUUGUUUUAUGAAAUUUAUGGAUUAUGAUAUAUGUUUUAAACAAAAGAAGGCUUGCAAUAUUUUUGUAUCGAUAGGCCCAGUAUGUUAGAAAUUGUUUUACUUACCGAGUUGACGGCUCACCCCUCGUCAUUACUUUUUGCAGAUUAAGUUUCUUUUGAGAGGUGCGCUUAGCUUUGGAGUUAGUAAUUUUCCGUUUCCAUUUGCCAUUUGAAUAAGAGGAGGAAUAAACUCGUGUUUCUAUUUAGUUAUUUCUAUUAUGAACGUGUAAUUUGGAGUUUGAGACUUUUGUUAUUAUUUUUAUGUCCUCGGGAGAGAUUAUUUAGUAUUAGACGUUAGAAUUUGUGGAUUUAUUUGAAUAAGAAUUGGAGGUAUUUCAGUUUGAAACUUAUGAGUAAAGAUUAUGAUUUGUGAGUAACCUCCUUCUUCACGUGCUCCGCACGUGUUAGAUUUGGGGUGUUACAAAUAAGCGGGUGAUUCUAAGCAACUAUGUGACAGGUUUUCCAAAAGAAUCAGACAUGAAGAUAACAAGUGGAUCAAUAAAGCUGAAGGUAGCAGACUGUUCAAAAGACACGGUGCUUUUGAAGAAUCUUUAUCUUUCUUGUGAUCCUUACAUGCGAGAGCGUAUGAGCAAGCUUGAUAGCCCUUCUUUUGUUGAUUCAUUCCAUCCUGGUGAGGUUAGUUCAUCACGGCCCAUCUCUUGAUUUUUUUUUUUCAUUUGCUUCAAGUUUUGAUGAGUUUCUGAGGUAAUUUGUACGGUUUUGGAAUUUGAACACAAUUUGUGAUUUUGGUGCUGUAACUGUCAUUAAUGAUAUGUAGUAAUUCAAUCGGAAUUUGGAUUUAGUGCUGAUAUGAUCUCUGCUCAUUUUUUUAAAUCUUGUGUCCACAUGCAUUUUUGAAAUCUGGUACGGUUGAGAUUGUAUGUAGAUUAACCUACGUACAGUAUUCUUGUCUAAUGACUACUAACCACAACCUUAUGAGACGAUCGAAACCAAGCUCGGAUCAAUAAUCCAAUCGAGAGAGGAUCAUAACUGAAGCUUAUCGUGUGUGGGAAUAUUUCGGUUAAAUUGUAAUCAUGAUCAUGAAUCAUGCAGGGAAAAGGGAAGUUGAGGUCAAUUUAUGCACUUGAUGGAAUUAAAGAACCAAUAUUUGAUUUUGGUUUACAUUAUUUCUCAGUAAUGGUGACUUUGUGAUGUUAAAUUUAUGCAGCCUAUAAACGGAUAUGGGGUGGCCAAAGUUUUGGAUUCUACACAUCCAAAUAAUGCAAAAGAUGACUUGGUUUGGGGCUUUACCGGGUGGGAGCAGUACAGUCUCGUUACAGCUCCGCAGCUUUUGAUUAAAAUUCAUCAUAAAGAUGUGCCACCUUCAUACUAUACCAGGAUCCUCGGUAAUGAUUUUUGUUACACAUUAAGCUUUGCUUAUAGUAAUAUCAAUACAUAUGCUGCUUAAAUGCUUUCUGAUUUUUUGCCGGCCAUUGUCCAUUUUGCCCGGGAGACUAUAAUUGAAGGAAUUUACUGAAGGAAUGCUGAUUGUUGGGAAUUUGAUUAUUCUAGGUAUGCCUGGUGUAACUGCAUACGCUGGUUUAUAUGAAGUUUGCUCUCCGAAGAAAGGAGAGUAUGUCUAUGUAUCUACAGCAUCUGGAGCUGUUGGUCAGCUUGUUGGACAGUUUGCAAAAUUAGCUGGUUGCUAUGUUGUUGGAAGUGCUGGAAGCAAAGAAAAGGUGCUGUUAUAUCAUUCUUAAGUAGUAAAUAUAGCACCGUGCCUUCUAGCAGAAUUUUACAUGCUUUAUGUUCCAACUAAGCAUCCAUAUUUGAUCGUGAUAAUUAGCAAGGUCAAUAAUUUUUUUUUGACUAUUUUUUCAACGUAAGGUCGAUUUGUUGAAGAACAAGUUUGGACGAUGCUUUUAACUACAAGGAAGAGCCAGACUUGGAUGCAGCGCUCAAAAGGUCAGCUGCAACAAACGUUUCAACUCUAAUAUUUCAUUUUAAUAUUACAGAGCUUUGGUUGAAGUGUGUGAGUUGAUCCCAGAAACGUAACUUCAUCAGUGUCUCUGUUUUCAAAAAACAGGACAAAUUAAAAUCUGAUUUUGCGUUAAAAUUUCCCAGAUGUUUCCCUCAAGGAAUCGACAUCUAUUUCGAAAAUGUUGGGGGAAAGAUGCUGGACGCAGUGCUACUCAACAUGAGGCUCCGGGGCCGCAUUGCGGUAAGCAGUAUGAUCUCACAGUACAACCUGGAAAAACCCGAAGGCAUACACAACUUAGAGCAACUGAUCGGGAAACGGAUUCGCCUGGAAGGAUUUCUAGCAGGUGAUUACUAUCACCUCUAUCUGAAAUUCUUGGAACUGGUCAUUCCUGCAAUCAGAGAAGGAAAGAUGGUGUAUGUGGAAGACAUAGCCGAAGGACUCGAGAAAAUUUCUCGUAACUGCUACACAUUAAACGCGUUUCACAUUUCCACUCUCUCUCUAUAAAUAAACACGCACAUAAAAUUUCUCACUAUCCAAAAACAAAAUCUACAUAAAAAAUGGCGGGUGAAGAAGGAGUGAGCAACAAGCAGGUGAUUCUGAGCAACUACGUGACAGGGUUUCCCAAAGAAUCAGACAUGAAGAUAAUAGCAGGCUCAAUAAACCUCAGGUGCCAGAGGGUUCAAAAGACACAGUGCUUUUGAAGAAUCUUUGUCUUUCCUGUGAUCCUUACAUGAGAGGACGUGUGAGCGAGCUUGAUAAGCCUUCGUUUGUUGCCUCGUUC
RNAcentral lists this long non-coding RNA (151349 nucleotides) under Citrus maxima (pomelo). RNAcentral's name for it is "long non-coding RNA (CMAX_LNC000709)". Lineage: Eukaryota; Viridiplantae; Streptophyta; Magnoliopsida; Sapindales; Rutaceae. The record is from RNAcentral.